AGUUACUAGAGAUACCAUGGGAACUUAUUUCAAACAUAAGCUGUUGUUUGCCACGCGUUUUUUAUCUGAAAUAAAUUAUAAAUGUAGGAUUGACAGUCUUUAAUUUAAAUGAGGUCUUUAAAUUAUAAGGAGAAAAUCUCAGUAAUGUUCCAUUAUUCUCAUUUAGCAUACACAUAACCAAAAUUGACCAUAAAUAGGGCCAAGUGUUUGGUAACAUAAAUUUGCAGUUCUAAGGGAUCUAAAUGAUACACAAUGUAGACAGGGCACAUCCACAAGCCUAGGCAUAAUGGACGGUUUACCAGAAAUGCAGUGACAAGAGAGGAAGAAAAUAUGAAGAGUAGGUGGGGAAGUUGAUGGCCAGGCCAAGCAGACACCAUCUCCCACACCCCCACCAAGCUCGGCGUUGAUGGCCGGUGCAGCACUCCUUCCAGGAAGGGUGGUGGCAGAGAGGAGGAACACAGAGAUGGGACGUGUAGCCAGCAGGGAGGGAGCAGUAGCACUGCAAGCAGUACAUUUUGGACAUCGAGCAAUCAGGAGUUAAGGAUUCAGGGAAGCCGCGAAGAGAAGGGGUAUAGACUCGAUGGUGCGCUCGGCCUGCCCCUCCUUCCCCUUUCUUCCCUUUAUUUAUCUUUUCCCCAUUUUCUUUGCUACUUCCUCUGCUGCAUUCCACUGUUCCUAGAUUGAUAUGACAUCACCUCACCUCACCUCACGCCUUCACCUCCCCUACCGCCUCAAGAACCUUGGUGAUACACAAAGAACUCGAAGGACAUGGGCCUUGUUUACUUCCACUCCAAACCCAAAAUUUUUCAAGAUUCCCCAUCACAUCGAAUCUUUAGACGCAUGCAUGAAGUAUUAAAUAUAGACGAAAAUAAAAACUAUUUGCACAGUUUGGUCGGAAUUUACGAGACGAAUCUUUUGAGCCUAGUUAGUCCAUGGUUGGACUAUAUUUACCACAAACAAACGAAAGUGCUACAGUGUCGCGAAAUUUUUCGCUUCGGGGACUAAACACGGCCAUGCUAUCCAAUUUAAAUAUUAAGAAAAAAACUGCCAUAAUUUGAAUAAGGUAAAACAUAGUACUACCAUAUGACCAUAGAGAUACUGGAAAAGGAACUAUAAAUUGUACAAGCUUUCCUCUUGGCUCUGCUAACAGCAUGAAAUUUCAUGGUAUUCAGGUACUGGAUAACAGGAUUUUCUGUUAUUCCAUAUUCAGGAGUAACGUAAAAUGCUUGUACGAGCAAGUUGAAUCCUUACUUUAACAGCCGGAGAAUCAUCUAGAUCCAUAUGACGUAAUGCUGAGCCUCCGAUUCCAUCAAUCCUGAUACUUUCUUCAUUCUUUUCCUCAUGAGGAACAAUUGAUUUAGGUGGAUCAGUCUCAAUGGUUCUUGCACGCAAUAAGUCUGUAAGUCGAUCAAACUCAACCCUGCAAAGGAAGUAAUGAUUGUCAUGAACAGCUUCAGUAGCAUUGAACAAAGAAUACAUUGUGAAAGCAGCACGCAAGCACAAACAGAGGAAACGCGAAGAGCGCACUGCGUGCAGCAGUACAACAAAAGGGAACCUCAUUUGAAAUAUAUUUUAGACUGGAAGAGGUGGAACAUCACAUGAACCAGAUAAUAGCCACUAUACCAGGGGUGAGGGUGAAAGCUACUUAUGAACUUUCAAAAUACAUUUUAAGAAAAAUAUAGCAGAUUAAGCAAUAGAAAUUGAAGAAUGGUAACUAUGCAGAUACAUACUUAGUGAAUGUCUUCCGCAUUAACAAGUGCUCUACUUCAGACAAUGCUUUGUCAUCUGAUGUGCCAACUAUGCUCUUCCCUUUAUCCAUUCCACCCUCUGGGAUUGGAAGCGAAUCCUGCAUUGAGUUUUCAAAUGUUCUGGUCUGAACAACGGUGAACCAAAUGAUACCAAAUAGAACACAGGCUCAUUAAACAUAAUAUAUGAUGUGUUCUGUUUAACUGCAAACGGUCGGUUGCUACUUACAACAUGUGUUGAAUCAGGCAAGUCCUGUUUUGGCUCGUUAUUUUUUCCUGCAAACACCAAAACUGCGAUCAGACCAGCAUCAACAUAAUUUAUUAAUUUACAGUCAACACACAAUCACUAAGAAUUAAGAGCCAAGAGUAAGAAAGAAUGGGGAGAAUAAGAGAACCCUUUUAUUUCGCAUCCACCAAUAAAAACACAAGGAUCCAAUAGGCUAGACACCUCUCGAGCGCUAAAAUCUAGACUCUGGCAUACACCAAUCAAUCAUUGUGACAUAUUUCCUUUUGAAGUAUAUAAUCAAAACAAUGCUAAAAAGCACUAUAUACAUAACUCCAAACCACGAUUUCAAAGCUUUGCGUCUCUGCAGGAAAGCUCAUGUGAGCUAACGUGGCAGAACAACUCGGCUUCAUCCUCUAUAUAUCGGCAAUACAUCUGCCACAGCCAAAAUCGCCCAAAACCGUGAGUAGGUGCUUACCAAUGUGAGGUAAACCCUAGCAUGCUUGGGAAGCCCGAAACCCUAGCCCCAGCCAAAAUCACGGACGGUUGUUGCAGAUGAAUCUCAGGGAGCAGGGAGGAGCGCAGAUGAAUCUUAGGCUCACCGGGAGGCGACGACAGCGGCGGAGACGGGGCCGGCGGCGGGGCGAGGCGCUUGCGGAACACCGAGCCGAAGAGGCGCGCGGCGCCGCCCGCGAUGAGGCGGGAGGCCGGGUCCACCAGCCGGGACACCCAGCCACCGCUCCCGCCGCCGCGCUCGCCGCCGCCCGGCUCCGAGGAUGCGGAAGCCGCUGCAGCAGCAGCGGCGGCCGCAAGGCGGUGCGCGGCGGCGGCGGCGGGGGGGCGCUCGUAGGGCGUGGACGCGGCGCGGGGCGGCGGGCGGCGCCGGAUCUUCCCUCCGGCGCCGGAGCCGGCGUACGGGCUCGGGUACAUGGCGCGGCGGAGGCGAGGGCGCGGGGUGGAGGCGGGAGCGGGGGCGGAGGCGCGGGGUGGAGGAAGGAAAGGGGGUGGAAGAACGCGAGGAAAAAGCUAGGGCUUCCGUUCCGGGAGUCGCGUCGCGAGGCCCGUGUGCUACGCAGCCCUCUCCUGGAUUCUGUUUCGGUGCUCUCGGGCGUCGUUGGCGUGCGCGGAGCGUGGGGCACUGGGCUGGCUGGCGUGCGGUGCGGAUGUUAAACUUGCGUGCGGGCGCCUGCCGCUUCCCGGGCAGCCCAUUAACGUUCAGAUUUGGUAGUUUGAACACGAUUAGAGCCGUUAAUGCAAAGGAUGGUUCGAAAUUUUGAACAGCCUUCCUUUUUGGCGCCGGAUAUGGCCUCGGUGCUCCUUUGCCGUUGUAUGUUUUUUAUAUCGGGGGUAAUCAGUCUCAAUGUAUAGUUUCAUGACAAAGUUACCAAGACUAUAAACUAGGUAACCCAACCACAAGAGUUUUAUGGGAAUGAAACUCCUCUCUCAUCUGAUGAAACAUCUUCAUUUAAUGAUCCUGCCAAGUCAGCAAUUUUGCUUAUGUGGCACCCUAUUUAAUAUGCAUGACACUCCCAUAAAACAUGCAUUGAGACUGACCUAAGUAUCCUAAUUUAUCUGGCACAUGCAACUAUAUUUUUUAUGGGUUUGAACAUCCAAGUUAUAGAUGCAAGGUUUGAAGUUUGUAGAAUAAAUUAAAGUGGGGGGGGCAUGUGUUUAUAUUAAAUUGUUAGUAAUAAAAUUGCUCUUUAGCUCAAAAUUCUGGAUGUACAUACAUAUGGCCGCCAAAAACCAUAGAACUUGUCGGUUCAAUAUAAGUUCUAGUAAAACAAAUGAAGUCUAUAUGUUUCCCUCUAAAAUCUCAAGGUAAAGACAUUUGGUGUAUGAAUAAAAAAAACAAGUUAAAUCCUCCUUCAUGUUAGUUCAAAGCAUGUGUCACCCUUCCAAGUUCCAAAUUAUAGAUCAUUUUGACUUUAUACUGAACUUAUUUAAAAUUUGACCAAAAGUAAAGCAAAAAUGUAUUAGCAUAUGUAUCAUCAAAUUUGUUUCAUUACAUGUACUAUGAAAUAUAUCUUCAUUGUAUGUAUUCUUUGGUUCUGUUUUAAAAGAAACUAAGUCUAUUCGCUUGAGCUUAUCUGUCGAAUCUGCUAGUCAUUCAGCUGUGUUCCUCACAACAAAUCAACGAACAAUAUUUUUAAUUAUGACUUAUCAGCCAAGCGCGAUAUUUAUAAUUGUAUUAUCUUUGAGACGAAGAAAGUAUCUUUUGGACACGUUAUGGUUGCUCUAGAAUAGAGAAGAAAGUACUCCCCGUGUCAGUGCUAAUUGGUCCACCACUUACUGUAUACUGCAAACAAAAAGGAACCAUUUUGCUGCACGUGGUGCUGUCGCAAGAAAACAUUGCCGGCGACGUUAUGCGUGCCGCGUGGGACAAAGCCUACUACACGUAUCACAGCAACGGGAUCCAUUGCGCCAUGCCUGGGCAUUUGUUGCUCGGCGAUCCUGCUUCCACACAUUGACACAUAGCUGGACGGCAUCCAGCCCACCCAUUGCGCCAUGUCUGUCCAUUUGUUGCCUUGUACUCAGGCAGGCGGCGCCAGGCUCAUGAGUUGCACGUCUAGCUGGACGGACAGCAGCAACCAACGGGGGCCAUCCACCCACGCCAGGGCAUCACAGAACAGAAUCAAGUAUCAAAAGAAAGUGAACCCAAUUGUCCUUUCAAGUUUUAUCAUUCAGGAAAGAUGCACUGAGGGGACAAGACCAUAACAGCAAUUACCGAAAGGAGAUUUCAAUUUUUUAUAUAUAUUAUACAUGUAAACAACAUGCUGACAUGGAGCACCAAACUCAGGUAGGUCCAUGAUAACACCGUAUGUAGUUAGAUCGUUAGGUCGGGUGUCCAGCUCCGAAUACAAGACAACAGUUGAGCACACAUUCUGAGUCAUAUGGAAGAAUAUGUUGCACUUUAAGGUUCAUGUAACUACAUCCAUGGCAAACUUGAAAUCAGGCUUAGAUGAUGGGGUUUGGCGUAACAAACCCGAUGCUGAACCCGAAGGAGAUGCAGGUAAGUUCCUCGUUGCUGUCCCCCUGCAACUUCAUCGUGAGGGUGUAGGAACCCUGCAAGAUAAACAACAUUCCAGGAAAAGUAAUCAGUAAUCCAGUAAGCAUAGUUUAUUAAUAUAUAGUUUAUUAAUAGAACUAAAUUUUGUGGUGCAUUAUACUUACUGGCGGGGUGAAUGAUGGUAAUGUCUGUUGGCUAGCUAGCACAAAUUCACCUGUUACUGGGCAAGAAGUCUCAUCGCAGAGGUUAUGAGUUUCUGAGUGGACGUGGAAAAUGAAGUACGCAACAUCUAUCACCAGUUUCCCUUUAGUGAUGUUUUUAUCUAGGGUAUUCAAACAAAAACAUCUCACGAGUCAUGAGUCAUGACUAGCCUGUAUGGGUCUGGCAGGAAGCAACCAGAUAAAUUCAAAUGGCGAUACAACACACAAAAUGAAUUACACUGAUAAGCAAACUGCAACAGUAAAAAGAGGUCAUCUAAAUGAUUUUUCAACUUCAGAUUCAUCACAGGGCUCCAGUUAGCCAUAUGAAACAUUUUCCUAAGGUAAAAUAAAAAGGAAAAAAAUGUAUGACCCUACAUCUGCAAUUUAUGAUAUGAACAUCCAAAAAUCGUUCCUGCCAGAGCAAUCUAAGGCCUUGUUUAGUUAGCAAAAAUUUUUGUUUUUGGCUACUGUAGUAUUUCGUUUUUAUUUGACAAACAUUAUCCAAUCACGGAGUAACUAGGCUCAAAAGAUUCAUCUCACAAAUUACAGGUAAACUGUGCAGUUAGUUUUUAUUUUCGUCUAUAUUUAAUGCUCCAUGCAUGCGACCAAAGAUUCGAUGUGACGGGAAAUCUUGAAAAUUUUUGCGAACUAAACAAGGCCUGUUUACCAUCCUGCUGCCCUAGAUUUGACAAGUCAAGAUAGGUAUAGUAUCUCUGCUCAAGUUUGCAUCCUCUGAUCCGGUACACAUCUACAGGCUAGAAUGGAGAUUCUAGUGUUUUGAUGUGUCAGGAAAUAUGUCAGCAAAAUUGCACUGAGCCUCUAUGCAAAAGUUUGAGAUGUGUCAGGUAAUGCAGAAAAAAAAAGGAAUAAUGAGCUUGGAAAAUUCUUUGUGAUGUUCUUUCUCAACUAAACAACAGUAGCUGUGGCAAAAUACACGAUGAUAAUAUAUACUACAAAGGUGACACAGUAGUAAGUCGUUCUGUUGUAAUAAAUGCUAAUGGAGAGGUAUCUAAGUUUCAAACAAUACUAUCAUCUAAAUGGGGAUGAUAACCAAGGGUUUGAAAUAUUUACCAAACUAAGAGAAACAAGAUAGUGACAUCAUAAUUUGUGAAUAAAGGUUCAACAGGCGAUAAAAGGGUGUCUUAAAUGCUAAAAUUAGGUGGCUAAAACCCACCAGUUUUUGAUGGGCUUAAUACAAGUUAUUCAGGCGGACCGCAAAGGCUCACCAUAGUUCUGAACAAGGAAAAGUUUUGAACAAGAAACCCCCUCUCCCCACUCCCAACAAACCAAACCAAACAAAAAAAUCACUUCAUAACUUCUUAUGCAGGUCUAGAACAGGUGACAGUACCUAAUUUCAUUAUCCAAACUGUAACUAAUCUUACAAAAGGAAGAAAAAGUGUAUAGAAAACAAGUUGCUUUAUAGGCUGAUAUCACCCUGCUUUGUAGAGGAACUUAUGAGCACAUCACAUAAAAGAUAACAUAUCAUUUGUAGGGUACUCUUAAUCUUUGAUUGUAGAGAAACUUACGAGCACAUCACAUAAAAGAAAAUAAAUCAUUUGUAGGAUACAACUAGUACAUUAAAGCAGUCCUCAUUGACAGAAAUACAGGCAACAAAAGAAAACAAAGUUCAAAAAUAAGAGAAAUCGCUGAUCUGGCAUGCACACAUGCAUAUGAAUUGCAACAUACACUGUUUUGUGCUUCCAUGUGAAAACCAUCUAUUGUCAAGAACAAUCCAAUAUGGUACCUAAGGAGAGAGCUUUUCUAGAUUGUACAUUGUAGCAACCAUUCCAACCAAUUCUAUGUCCAUUACCAUGGGCGGACCCAGGCCUACCUUAGAUCUUAACCAAAAUUACUAGUACUAGUUAGAUUUAGAAAGUCCAAAUUUUAAAACUCCAACAUUCUAAAGUACUUUGUCAGUCUUCAGACCAUCCCUCCUCUCGGCUAGUACUCGCUUGCGCUUGAUAUCCGCUAGGUCUAAUAUUGUUUUGGAUUAUACCAUAUUGAAUGCGAGAUAUUUUUGCCAGGCAUACCCUGGGUUCAAAUUCAAGACCCACCACUGUGGCUCUUUGUUGUGUUUGGUACACCAGAGACCAGACAAUAUUGUGAAACAGGAGCAAUGCCAUGGAAACGCUCAUCAACGUUACAGCAUUCUUAGUAUUAACAGCUCGAAUUUGAUCCCACGAGAAGCAUAUCCAAUCUGAGACAAUGGCUACACAGGAAUUCCCCGCUCGAACUACCUGAUGCCACAUACACGCUCUGAAUCCCUAACCCGCAACACAGAGGGUAGCCGGUUGAGCCCGUCGCAACGGACAGACUGGUUACCUGUGGAGGCGGAGAUCUUGAAGGUGGCCGGUUCCCCCCUGACGACGGGAUCGGGGACGACCUCCACGCCGCUCACCUUCACUGGGUAGUCCCGCCCCUUUUCUGCAGAAACACCACGAAAUCAUCACUCGACUCGGGGACACUUUUAGUUCUAGAGGCGCGCUUACUGCAGUACUCGACGGCGGUGGCGCUGGAUCCAGAGGGGAGGAGGACCAGCACCGCCGCGGCGCCGAAGAGGAGGUGGCGGCGGCGGUUGAGGUGCUUGGGCGCCAUCACUGCAGGCGGGCUGUCGCACUCCGGAGCUUGGACGGUGGACGCUAGAGCAGUCGAGCAGAUGAAUUCACCAGUUGUUGGGCACUGAGGUUUGCAUCGGGUUGGGCUGGGCUACAAUUUUUCCGUGCCGCCAGCCCAAUAUUUCUAUUAUCCGAACAUUUUGGGACUCUUUAUUAUACGCUGCAUUUUGGGUCAGUCAGUUUUUUUUUUUUGACUAAUAAAGGGUCAGUCAGCUUUCUAAGUGCAAUGCUAAUGCUAGAGAUUUCUUGAAAACAAUAAUGUUGUCUCAAAAUAUUGCCAAUCGAACUCCAAAUUUUACGUAACUCUUCCUCCCUUUCAUAGCUUCAUACACGGAGGAAAAGCUUUUACAUAGUAUUGAGUAUUGAUGAGAUGUUUUAUUGAUCAUUUCAGUUUCAUGUUCAUCAUAUAUCACUUGGAGAAUAAAAUCGUGCAGGAAUGUCUUAAUUAUAUGUAUAUUCCGGACAAAAUCUUUGCAAAUCUUUUGUUAAAUAUGUACUUUUAUUUCUGCGCAGACAGUGACAGGACUAGAUGGGAGAACAAGGUUGCAGAUUGCAAUAGAUGUUGGCAGUGGAUUGAUAAUUGUACCAUAGUACGAUUGGAAUACUGAACGAGCAGAAAGUCUUCGCCAUUUAAACAUUAUAUACUCCCUCUAUUCCAAAAAAUAAUACAAUGCCCCAUUUACAUUGUAGUAUUGUACUAGUUGGGAUUCAGACACAUCCCACAAAUUUGUUAUGGGACUCGUUACAUGACUUCUUCAGAGUUUCAUGUGUCUGUCAUAGGGAAUAACAUGCAUCAAAGGUAUGCUAGUGAACCUCAUGUCAGAAUUACACUAGUAAAGCACGAUGAAUCAACUGAUUACAUGUCCUUUUCAGUUGCUAAUUGCCACAUUAUUAUCUAAAAAACGUUAUUGGUUAGUUUGCCCUUUACUGCUGUUAAGGUACUACUAGGGAAUCCAAUGCCGUGUCUUUUGGAAAUGUCCCAUGUACUGCAGAUAUCAUCAAGAGAGAUUCAAAAUAGCUAUAAAGUCUUUUGAUCGUAGCAAGAUCGUGUACAGCAUUUGGAAACGAACAAAUCUAUCAGAACUAACUAUUUUGGCCUAAGCACCUAAAAGCUACAGCAACUUUGACAUGUAUCAUAGAACUACAGCUAUUUUCACUUCUGGCACCAUGAAACGACGACUCUUGAUACAUGAUAUACGAUGAAAAUACGUGUAGUUUUAUGAGAACGUUGUAGGUAUGUGGAUAUGUCAAAAUAGUUGUAGUUCAGUGACACAUGUCGAAAAUAGUUUUAGUUCCUUGAAAUUUACUCUUCUGAAAAUGCCCCCCCUCCCCCCAGUUUUCUAUCCUUCAGGCAGUGCAUAUGCCUUCAGGGAGAAAUUAUGUCUGGAGGGAAAAUACGUUUCAGCACAACCUUUGUCAAAUAGUAAUGUUUCCUUAGCCAAUUAUGUGAGGGAAAAUCAUCAGUUCGUCUGAAUCAGAGCAAUGAGCUGGUUUAGAUGGGUCACUGUUGUUUUAUUUAAGAUCAAAUUAGAAGUCGUAUUUCUGGGUACAUUGAAGAGCUGUAGGAAAAAAUGAGCCAUUAGCCUUUGUUUUGUACAGCAUGCAACAUUAUCCUUUGUUCGCAAUGACUUCGAAGCACGAACAAUGAAAUUUCCACAGGAGUUGACCCAGCAAACCUGGGAUAAAAGGGCCAAAGGGGGCUGCAUGUAGUACAUCAUUAUAGGUCAAGGGCAUGUUCUAGGACCAUUGGGUUGAUAUUCUAUAUUCAUUAAGUACCUGCCUAGUACGGAGUAGAACUUAAAAAAUAAUCAAGCUGUAGGAGAGGCUGAAGUCUGAACUUCCUAGUCUAAUUCUUCGUUUUACUUGACCCCAGAAGUCAAGAACAUUGAAGCAACUGGGAGAGGUGAAAUUAAAUCUUUGUACAGAACAAUUUGAAGUCAUGGAUCAGAGUAUCGGUAUGAAAUCAAUCUCCUUUAUACCCUGAAAUUGUAUUUUGAGAUAAUGAUAUAUACAUUUCUCAGGAAUCUUUUGGAUUACUGCACCAAAUUUUUAUCAUCAGGAAUUCACACCUUGUUGGGGCCUGGGGCCAAGUUCCUUGCCUUGCUGAUGGCAGCGAAACAAAAAUCGCGGUUCCAUAUAAUUCGAAAGAUUCGUCAAAUAUUUGUCAUCCGUACAGAAUCCUAAUUCAAAGCUAUGUUUUUCAUCAAGGAGAAAACAAAAAUACGCUGAACCCAAAUUUACAAUUACACCCAAGAAAAGAUUAUUCUAAUUCCUACUAUCCUGAACAUUUUCGCCCAUUCUAUUUUUUUUUUCAAAUUUAUCAUGUGCCCCAAUCUGGCAAUGGCAAAUCCACCACACUGCUGGUAGUGGUACAGCAGUAUCUAUGGACUAUGGGCAAGAAAGCAAAGAAUUUUUAGAAGAAGAAGAAGAAAAGAAAAGAAAAGAAGCCGGUUCGUGCCUGUUGUCACGACGACAUCCUGGCCAUUGCCAGCGGCGUGACCUCGGCGAGCGGCGUCGGCAUGGGGCUGGGCACCGGCGACGUCCGGCACACGGGGCACGUCGGGUGGUGGCGGAGCCACGGGUCGACGCACUCCCGGUGGAACAGGUGGCCGCACUCGGGCAGCUUCCGGAGCACCUCGCCGUCGCCGUAGUUGUCGAGGCAGAUGGAGCAGCACGUGCACGUGGUGCCCUUCUUGCCGGCGGCCUUGGCCUCCUUCUUGGCCUCGCCGUACACCACCUCCGGAUACCCUUUGAGCGUGGCCUCGUCGAUGCCGAGCUCGACGUCGUCGUGCGCGCCUUCGCCACCACCGGCUCCGCCGCCCCGGCCGCCGCCGUGGCGCCGCCGGGACGACGGAGCAGCCUCCCCCGCCGCCGCGUCGACGGGCGCUCGGGUGCAGAAGUAGGAGGCGAGCGUGAUGGUGGUGAUGAGCAGGAGGAUGCCGACGGAGACGCCGACGCCGUAGCCGAAGCCGCCGAUGCGGUCGGUGCUGAACAUGCCGCUGGAGCUGCUGUCCACCGGUGUCAGCCCCACGGGCGGCGUCCCGCCGGAGCCCAUCGCGGCGUGCCGAGCUUGCCGGCGAGGCGGCGAGCCAAGUGGCCACGCACGACACGACUAGCUCGAGGUGAGGCGUCGGCGUUGGUGUUGGUGCAGACAGCGAUCCGUGGCGCGCCCCUGCUUUGGAUCGUUUGGUGCGGUUUUGUUUGGGUUUGAAGGUAGGAGGAGGAGCUGCUCGGAUCCGGAGAGGUUGCGAGUGCGACGUCAACGCUGUGCAUGUCGCGGAGAGGGAGUAGUAUAUAGUAGAGAGAGGGAGCAAUGAUCUCGAGGUCAAUGCGUCGGUUUGCUGUUUUUUAUACGCCUGUUUCCUGCUGGUUUUGCUCGCGUAGUUUGUUUGAAAAAAAAAACACAGGUUGCUGCUGCACAACUUGCUGAUUUUGUCAAAGGUGAUCAGUACAAUAGGAUCAUGUGUGCAGGUUGACUUUCUUUGGUUAUUAUUAAUUUGAAAAUGUGAAUUGUGCGAAGUAUGCAUAUGUAAUUUGUUUUCUAUAAGCCAAACGGAUGUUCGUAUUUUUUAUAAAAAAAAUAUUUGUGGUAUAGGCAACGUGACAACAAGAUGUUCGUGAUCUCAAAUUCUGUUGGCUUAGUUUCUCACAAACUUUCAUGAGAAUAAGGUGAGCGUAUAUGGGUUUAUUUGGUUCGAGUCGAUCUAGCUCUAGACGUUGGGAAAAAAAUGGCCUAAGUGAGCUGGCCCCAGAUAUAUUAAUUUUUCGUCCAAACAAGCCCUAUAUAUGCAUAGGUUCAUAUAUGUUUUGUAGAAAAAAUAGAAAGAAAGAAUCUUUUACAGUGACAUCACACUAUCGAAUCCGCAAUUGCCUUGAGGGAUGAUCAUUUCCUUGAGUGUCAAAAUGAAACUUCCAUGAAAACGGUAGUUUUCUUAGUAGUUUACAUAGAGCUCUGAGAAAAUAUGUAUUCCUUGAGAGUUGACAAAAAUUGGCAAGGAAUAUGGAUAUUUUCUUGCCGGUCUCUAAGCAUCACCAAGGAAGUUACUCAUUAGGGCCUGUUUAGAUUUGAAAUUUUUUGGCCUAAAGAGAAAAAUUUUUGUGGAAUUGCGACCUGAGAACUAAACGGGGCUAAAAAAUUUUGGGGCAAAAAUUUUAGACUGCAACUGUGCACGUACUCCGAUGGAAGCCCACCAAUGACAACUGCAACUGCAUGCAGCCCAAGUUGUUAUUGGUGGACUUCCAUGGGAGUGCGUGCACAGUUGCAGCCUAAAAUUUUGGCCCUAAAUUUUUUUUGCUUUUUUGCCCCGUUUAGUUCUCAACUCUUUGGGCCAAAAAAUUUUAAAUCUAAACAGGCCCUAAGUGUGAUUAUAAACAAUCAAGGAAAACUAUAAGUGUAAUUAUAAACAAUCAAGGAAAACUAUAAAUAAAAACUCGACCUGUGAGACAGUACCCCGGACCUUCUCACGUAGGUUAAGAAAACCCCUGAACCUAUGCCCCACCCAUAAAAAUUCGCUCUCAUGGGGAGUCAAACCCAAAAUCUAAGGAGUACCGCCGGAUUCCUCUAACCAACUGAGUUAGAGGCCCUUUGGCAAGAAAAACUAUAAUUUUUUUGGUGGUGAUGGGCAACAAUGAAACAAACAAUUACCUUGGUGGUCUGGAGUAUUUUCUUGAAGGUUGCUGAUCCUCAAGAAAACUAAUUUACUUGGCAGCUAUAACAUUUUCUUGUCCUUUUGGCGAAUUAAGUGGGGCGCUAGUUUUGUUGUCCUUUAGUGUCAAAACUGUAAGAAAACUAAUUUUACUUGUCUUCUAUCCUUUAGUGAGUUUGUUUGACAGGUUUGUAGAUAAAGAUCAAUUCCUUAUCGGUUUAGGUCCUUUCUUUUAUCGGUCUGGACACUUAAGAUAAUUCGAGAUUAUGCUAGUGUCACACACGGGUGCCUCUUCUUUCGUGUGUUACUGAAUGUCGUCCUCGUAGGUGGAAUGGAUCAAGUCAUGAAAAAAAAAGUACCGAUCCAAUUCAAUACAGUAUAUGAUUGCUUUGUGAAAGCAUAAUCUAUUGUACCUUACUGCCUUAGAAGGCAAGGUCAUCCGACUUGUCCAAGUGCAUGCGAUCCUCAAGGAGUGACAUGUGAAGUGCACUUCAAGUCAUCUGAGUUCCGGACUUCUUUGUGUGCCAUGCUUGCCUUUUCUCACUCCUAUCUAUCGCCGAAAGAAUUUUUUUCCGCCCUUUUUUUUCUUCUGAGCUUCAGAAGUCGAUCGGCCCUUGUCAUGCCUCACGUCAGAGUUAAAUCUUUUCCAUGGAUUAUGUCAGGGUUGUUUAAUGUUAUACUCGUCUGGAAUGACCCUUUCUCCACAACCUGAAGUUAACCAUUAUUGUUCACACGCACUAAUAUAAACAACCUAUCAGGCAGCUAGCUAUCAUAUAAGAGGCCUACCAAAAUUACACGAAAACUGCAGCCAUGCAAGCGACAGGUAAAGAUGGCAAAAGUUCUUGCUUCACGUAUAGACUAGCAUAUGCCCGUGCGUUGCUACGGGAAUCUUAAAAAAAUUUAAUACAAUUCAACACAAUAUAAAAGUAUAAAAAAUUAAAUUAGGAGUCUCAAAUUUUCAAUUUUCAAAGGAGUAUCAAAUUUUCAAUUUUCAACAAACCUGGAUGGCCUGACUUCAUCUUCUCUCUACUCGAUCCCUUUAAAGGUUCUCACGAUCACAAACCUGUUAUAUGAAUACCGCGAGGUCAAAUGACGUGUAACCAGAUACUAAUUUGUAAUAGUAUUAUAUCAGACAGGAUUAAUAAAAACACAACAAUUUCUCUCAACAAUCUUUUUCAAAAAAAAACAGAACUAUCGAAGAUAAUAAAGAAUAGGAUUCCAUCAGAGUAUUGCAUCAUAAUCUGUAGUAUCAUUGGAUUAUCAGAAAACCACAUUUUUCUAGAUCCCUAUUAUUAGCUAUGAUGAUAAGAACAUGGCACUGCAGUCCACAAUAUGUGAAAGAAGGCAAGAAUUAAAACCAAUGGUACAAAGAGCUGCCCACUGACUGAAAUCGCUAUCCUAUUUUUGUGUCGUGGGGAUCUAGAAUUACAUUGCCUACUCAUUGUGCUAAUUUAAAACUUUUGAGGCAGAGCCAGCCCAAAAUGGCAUUAAACCACUUCUAAUCAAGUAUGGAUGCAGAAUUGGCACUGACCAGACAUUUAUUAACUGAAGCAAAUUAUGAACAUUGUAGUAUAAGCCAUUCUGUCAGCAGUGAAUUUUGACUUACAGCAAGUAGUUGGUGAAUUUUUGCAAGAACACACAGACAACAGCAAACUAAACUGACUUACUGGUUGAAAACAAUAAAAUAUAGGAAAUUAGAUGACUAAAAUUUACUUGUAAGAGACUAUUCAUUCUUCGUAUUUUGAGAACACCUGAAAAUAUGAGCGGAUACUGAUUUCCAUUUUUCAGAUCCCGACAGAUAACAAGUAGUUGGAGGAAUGUAUCUAGAAUGAAAUGGACCCUAUAACAUGUGCAAUAGAAGCCAGGAAAUGAUCAAAUGACUAUUACUUUUAGCUUCUGCGCAAUCUCUGAAAGAGUGAUAUAUAUUUGCAAGUAGUUGGCGAAUGCUGCAUCAGUCGUCCAAUUUAAUGACACCAAAGGUUAGAACUUAAAAUACUACACAAAUAAUUUAUAGGAAAAUGCUCAAGUACAGCACCCUUCAUCUGCUCAGAAGUUCAUGUAGCACUCAUGUUUGUGGCUGCCGAGUCCUGUCUUAAAGUGGCACAAGAAUUCCUGCCGACUCAUGCAAUACCAACAUGAGUGUGUGAGGGAGGGGUCGGGUUCUUUCGGAUGCAAACUAAUACUUAGUAAAGGGAUGGCUGGUAGGAAAGGAAGCAAGAUCCUCUAUUUGAGACUUGUUCAUUUCUGUUUUGCUCCAAAACUGCAUCUUUCAAUUUUUCAGGUUGCUUGAGAGAUCUUCAGUCCUUUAGCAAAUGACAUUGGCGAUGGCAAGCUGAAGGCAGUCCCAUAUGAACCUAGUAGACGAGGCCCCAACGAAGCCAAUUUUUCAUGUACUUGUCUUGACACUGACUAAAAUUGGUGCUUAUUUAUUUGAAGGUGUCUUAGAAUAGUAUGAGAGUAUUUGUUCGUUGAUAUGACUCACUGAUUUUUUUGGGUACUAUGUGUUGAAAAUUUGAAGGCACGGGCAUAGGCUAGUCAAGAAACAAUAUUAAAUUGCAGAUUUAGGUGGGCAAACCUUGCUCCUUGCGUCCACAGAUCGCGGGGCAAAAUGGAACGCCGCUGGCGACAACGGCGAACAGAAGGGCAAGGGAGCAAGCGAGGACGAUGCUGCUGCUGUGGCCGGCCAGGACACGGUGCUCGAAGCCUCAAACGGGACGCCAGGGCCAGGGAGUCCUGGCUCAAGGGCUAGGCGUCGCACCGUCGCCACCGGGGUUGUGCGCUUACGAGCAAGGGGGGAAGCUGGGAGCGGCUGAGCAGCGAGCAGCGAGCGGCAGCGCGCUGGCCGCCGGCUGUGAUGUGACCCCACCGGAACACCGCCCCGCCUCUACCACUCUCCCUCCCCGGCUCCUUCUGCUACCGUCUCCACUCUCCCCAGCUCCUACCUGUUUCAAAGAUAUGACCAACAAAGAAAACAGAGACAUGUUAGAAUUAGAAUGCAGCUACUAUUUCAGUCCUUUGCAAAUUAUAUUUUAGUGCUGUGCAAAGGUUUGGCUAGCAACAGCCAAAAAACCAACGGGUGUUGUGCAAAGGUUUGGCUAGCAACAGCCAAAAAACCAACGGAUUGGAGUGGAUGACCUGUAUAUGUUGAACAUUGUUGUGCAGUGCAAUUAUUUCAGAAAAGGCAGCUCAUGAGUCUGACCUCCUGAUAAGAAUGCAAGUUUGGUUUCAGUUUAGUGCAUCACUGUAUCUGUCUAUUCUCGGCAAUGCUCGAGGGUAAUCUACACCACUGAAAUGAAAUAUCAUUUGUCUUGUAUUGUUUAUAAGUAAAAUAAUGAAUGUGUGAUCAGAUAGCUUUUCUGUAAAGAUAAAGUUAACUAAACGUAUAUUUAAUAAACUUUUGCAUUGUGUCAAUCAAUUACCUGUUUCAGAGAAAUGACCAACAAAAAAAGAGACAAAAACAGAUUCACUUGUUAGAGUUCAACUACUAUUUCAGUGUUUUGCAACAGAUUUGUACACACUUGAGAAACGCUAGUAGAUAUGAGUACAGCUCAUGGUCAUGGGUUCUGAAACAAUUGUCUUGCACUGCACACAGAACAAGAGCUAGCUUGUGGGCAUUUGUGCUACUAUUGCUAUGUAAGACACUGAAAUGGAAAGUGCAACUAUACAUAGAACCAGUCAAACCACAAAUGGAAAGGAAAUGGUAGCAAGCAUUAGGAGUGAAAUCAUAUUUUAAGUUUAAGUGUUUCAAAACACUCAUAAUAUUCAGUCGCAAAAGAAUAAAACUGAAAAUAAAUCAUAAAUUGGGAAAUGCAAAUUGCGCAUUUAUUGUGCCAUAGAAAAUCUGUGUCAGAAGUAGCAGAUUGUUCAUAACAACAAAUUAUUCAGUCAUUUUAACAAACACGUAGCAGAUAGAGUGUGGCUUACACUGGCCGGUGGGCACAGCUCGUGCAUUCGUGGUGGACCUGGACGUAGCGUGCCACAGCGGCAGCCGGCCUCCUCGCAGCCCAAGACGCUGCAGCGGCUUAGCAGGUGUUCGGCCGUGCUGCUCUCACGUGCUCACAGCUCUCGUCCCCUCCUCUUGUGGUCAAGGCACCAACGCUGCCCGAAACACCACAACGGCUCGGCGGCCGUCCAUGCCGCACCGACGCCCGGUUAGGUGCCCACGGCGCCUCUCUAGUCAGCCACGCACCCGCGCUGCCUACCUUGCUUGCCGGCAAGAUUCACCCAACGGAGGAUCUGGGGGAGCUUGCUAGGGGCCAGUAGUGGAUGAGGUGUCUGGGGAGCUGUGUCGGAGUGUAUCGAGGGGGCUGGAAUCAAUCGUCGCGGCUGCGGUACUGAGGUGCGCCCAAGUUGUUGCCGUCGAGUAGAGCGGGGCCCACGCCGGUGUACCCGCUGCUGUCGCCUCCGCUGCCGCCACUGGAGGUGGAGACAGCGGCGAGGAGGGCGCUCGGUGGCGGCGGCUUCAGGGGCGCUCGUCGUCAGCAGCAGCAGGGGCGGCCUCGGUGCCCGGCGACGGCGGCCUCAGGGGCGCUCGGCGGAGGGGCGAGUCGAAGGGAUGAGGAGUUGCGGAGGGAGGGGGAGUUGGAGGCAGAGAGGGUGUGAAUGGGAUGCAAUCCCUGCACCCCUGCUGGACAGGAUGGUGCGCAACGCCUCUGUGGUUGGGCUUUGGUGCUGAUCGAGGACAGUGUAAGCCGGUGCGGGGCGAUGGAGUGCUGCGGGGCGAUGGAGUGCUGCGGGGCGAGGAAGCGCUGUGGACGAUUCUUGUUUCGUCUUGUUAGUGCCUUCACGCACAACACAAGGGACGUCACAAGAUCUAGCGAAAUACUACUAGACCCUCUUCACCUCUACCAAACCAGGCUUACCUCAUCUUGCCAAAUGCCAUUCGGAAAGCUGGUUUUUUUUUUUUUCGAGGACGCCGCAGCCGAUUGGAACUCUGGAACCGAAUCUUGGUUGGUUGCUGUCCAGAAUAAUGUGGAUCCUUGCUGCUCUCGAUUCUGACUUCUGAACUUUCCGUUGCAACGUCAGAGAAGGUGGGUUGGGUUGAAGAACAUGUGUGGUCAGUUACUCGGUCUGGAAGGUCAACGUACGUCCAGAAAAAAAAAAGCACAUAAAUUGGUUUGUUUGGACGUUGAUUGAUGGAACUUGAGUCGAAUUGUCAAUGCAAUUGUAUAUAUAAUAUGCCCUAGUUUAGCAGCCUAAUAGCAUAGCAGUUGCAGAUAGCACAACCUCCUCCAGCGAUGCCCUUCCCCUGAUGCUUCUCCGCUCCCUGCAUCAUCGGCAGGUGGUGGCUAGUUCAGGUGACAGUAGGCGAUGGCCCUACGAGGCUGUGAGAGCUCGCUCAACGGCCAACUGAGAUCAAGGCCAGGCACGCGUCGCCGUCGCCGUCGCCGUCGCUGUCGUCGCGGGGUUUGAACCCUGAAGUCGCACGCUUGGCCGCCACCGCAGCCGCCGCCACAGCAUCAAGUACCACAUGCUUGCAUUGACAUCACAAAGUGGAGAAUCUUGGAUUCGUAAGGAGAAGAGAGACUGCACGGAAUCACAGAUUAAUGGUGUUAGAGGAGAAUAAUAUUGCGGUUGAAAGUUCAUGAAUGCGAGCUGAACUGCGGGACGGAUUUAUAUACGAACCUGAGCCGUGCUCGACCAUGAAUGCGUUCAUGCAUGACCUCUAGGUCCAACUCUGAACUAAAUGUUCGACGAAAUCUUGGCUCUGUACGAAUAGAUCAUGAUAGAGGAAAAUGGAGGCAAACAGGUGGUAGAACCGUUGAAGACUUGAAGUAGAACGGCGGCGUUGCGCACGUACUGACGUAACAGCAUUUAGCAACCACGACAACACAUGUGCACACAGCACCCAGAGGGGGUGAAUUGAGCUUCUACAAUUUUAUAGCAAAUAACUAGAGGGGCUUUGUGUGCGUGUGUGUGAGGUUAGGACCUCUCUCUCCGUCUCUCAUAUAGAUAAAAGUAGUACUCUCUCCAUCCCAAAUUAUAAGUCAUUCUAAAAAUUUUGGAGAGUCAAAUUUUUCUAAAUUUGACCAAAUUUAUAUGAUAAAAUCAUUAUUAUUAUUAUACCAACUAAGUAUCAUUAGAUUCUUUCUUAAUUAUAUUUUUAUAGUAUACUCACUUUAUGUUACAAAUCUUAGUAUUUCUGUCUAUAAUUUUGAUCAAACUUGAAAAUAUUUUGACUCUCCAAGAUUUUUGGAAUGACUUAUAAUUUGAAAUUGAGGGAGUAGAACAAAAUUUGAAAGAUCUACAACCGAAAUAAGAAUCAAUUCGUUACAAAGACACGUAGAGGGUGGACAAAAAUAAUCUCCAAAGAUUCAUGCACCCAAAUAUACUAGCAAAUAUUUGACAAUAAUUACACAAAACAAUAAUAAGAACAAGUAGAACACAAGUGACACAAAUUUACUCUAAGGUUGGACAAAACCAUAAAGGCAUGCUUGGGUCCCCAUUGUUGAUGUGACCAAACCCCAACUCUCAAGUGACCAUAAAGUUCAAGUUGAGAAAUCCACUAGAAUCAAAUGGGUGAUACAAACUACCCUUGAAGGAUCCACAAGUUGGAAGCUCCUGAGCAACUCCUUGUCGACUAGGAUUCAAGAAUCCGAGAGUAAUAGACUCAAAGCACAUAACAGACUACCAAUUUAAAAAAAACACCAACACCACCGUACAAUCAUAUUUCCUCAAUGCCUUUUCUUUUAUACAAGCUUAUCACAUGGGCAUGUACUCAUGGAUAAUUUCAGGUGAGAGGAUAAAAUUGUUUCCUCUCCAUCAUCUAAAUGCUUAUGAUGGUGGAUUGAGCCUUCAACUCUUGUUUUGCAGAGAUCUAGAGUGCACUCUGUGAUCUACAACCACAUCCCAAGGUCAUAAGAGGACCAAGUGUUGCAGAUACCAACUUCAUCUCUGUCAAGUUCAUCAUCAGCUAGAUUGAAAACUAUGAUAUAGGGAAGGACAAUGUUGGUCGAAGAUGUCAUUCAUUGUUUAGCUAGAUCAUGGCUUUCGAUUUGAUAGGCUUUGUGACUAACAGAUUGAUGGACACAGGGCAUGUUUCUUCUUUUUUUUCAGGUACUAUGUGUGUCCGCGUGUUACAUGAGGAUAAGUCGUGUAUGAAGAGCUGUUACAUUCAGUUGGUGCUAUCAUAGGCCCCGUUUGGUUCCACUUGCUAAAUUUUAGUUAGCUAAAAUUAUUUUAGCUACUCUUGGAUGACUAGUGAGACUAAACUAUUCUAGCUCCUUUUUAGUCAAUGUGUUUAGAACUUUAACUACUAAAGUGACUAAAAUUUAGUUAGCUAAAAUUUAGCAAAGGGAACCAAACGGGGCCAUAGAGUGAACUCAAACAUUGGUGCUAUCAUAGUGUGAACUCAAACAUUUAUAUGGUUAUCAUUCUGGUACAAUGCACGAUGCUUGUGUUGUACGGAAGAACAAUCUAACUUUGUGCUUCUUCAAAAGUGAUAAUUGGGAACUUUGUAAACAUCACAAUCGAACAAUCACAAAUUUUAAAAUUUAUCAGUGUGUAUUGUUAGCAUUGCAAGUUUGCAACGAACCUGUGUGAUGUUUCGCACCUUUAGGGCCUGUUUAGAUUGGAAAUGAAAAUUUUUUGGGUGUCACAUCGGAUGUGUCGGAAGGAUGUCGGGAGGGGUUUUUACAGACUAAUAAAAAAACAAAUUACAUAGCUCGUCAGGAAACUGCAAGACAAAUUUAUUAAGCAUAAUUAAUCUAUCAUUAGCAUAUGUGGGUUACUGUAGCACUUAAGGCUAAUCAUGGAGUAACUAGGCUUAAAAGAUUCGUCUCGCGAUUCUCAACUAAAUUGUGUUAUUAGUUUAUUUUUUUAUCUACAUUUAAUGUUCCAUGUAUGUGUCUAAAGAUUCGAUGGGAUUGAUGAAAAAAUUUUGGGUGGUGAACUAAACAGGGCCUUAUAUUGCCGAACUUGUGUGAUGUUCCGCACCAUUAUAUUGGGCUUGUGAACCUGUGUGAUGUUCUGCACCUUUAUGUUGGUCUAUUGCCAGCAGCACAGGCAUCAUCGUGAAAGGUAUCUUCGGGGGCGGGGCGACAGGUCAGAGCCAGCUGACGUGCGGUAACGCAGCCAACAAAAAAUAAUGUGACGAUGUCUGUCGAGCCUUCCACCUGAAUCACUCCUAGUCCUUCCCAAUCCCCCACAAUACAUGAAACUGAGGUGGAUUGGAUUGCAGCUAAACAAAAGUUCUGUAAUGUAUUCCAAUGUACUUUAGAUUGUCAUACUGUUACUUAGCGAUCAAAUUUUGCAUGCAAACUUGGUAUGACACGGGCAAGUUCAAGGACGAAGUGACACAUCCGCACAAUGACGCUAUUUAUAAUGACUAUACAAUACAUAAAAGAAGACACCACAAAGUGAUGCAUGAAAGUGAUGCAGGCAGACAUGACUCGAUCCAUAUCCUUCUCCCUGUAAUACAUAAAUACUGUGAGAAAAAUGGUCAGAUGGAUGUUCAUAUUAUACUUGCUUCACUUAGCAAGAGAAGGGUACCAUGCAAUCUGUGGCCGACCAAGCUCGUGAAUCGAGCCUGGGCAAAUCACAGGACCUCCACCAGACCCCGUGGCGUGAAGCUUGCUGAAGAGGGUGCUGCGAACAAACCUCUAGUAAGCACCCGUAGGGCAGGUGUACAGGGUCUGCCACUGCAUACAAGGACGUCCACCAGACCAUGUGUCUUGAAGCUUGCUGCAGAGGGUGCUGUGACGGAAGCUCUAGUAAGGACCCGUGCAGCAGGUGCCCAGGGUCUGGCACUGCAUGAAAGGAUGUUUUUGUUAGUUUAUUUAUAACAAACUUCAUAAACUUAAACAGCAACAGAAAGGAGCCUAAAAUGCUCCCCGGAUACAGACUGCAAUGCCUCUAGACAAGGCAAGAAAGAUAGCCGCCAAGGGCAGAACAUGUACAUGAGAAUUGGGUAAAGGCAUGUGAUGGGCUAAAGAGUGAAGAGUAGCAUUUAACGAGCGGUGAAUUUUGAGAACCUUGAAGUCCUUUCCUGCUAUCUGCUUCUAGGAAACCCGGCUUUUCGUAAAGUAAUAGUGCUAUAUUUACAGGAUACAAUUGCCAGAAACAGACACUGAAGAUAAUUGAGUGGUAUACUUAGCUUCCAUACUAAUAAUUUCCAAGAUUUGAAAGAAGGUGUUGACAAUUCUAAACAUUCUUAUGCCUGAUAAAUAAAUUUCACUUAAACUUAAAAGCUACCAAUGUUUAGACCCCCCUGGAAAACAUGAUUUGUUUUCAUAGAACCCUGUGCUUUCUCGUAGAAAUUGACUUGUUUCACAUGAAAUUGUGAUGUCUGAUUCAUGUGAAUUUUCAGUACUUCUGUAGUUGGAGAAAGAUGGUGGUUCCGGAGUAAGUGAAAUGCCAGGCCUGUUUGGAAAACGGGAAUUCCAUAUAGGUUCAAUUUCACUAGGACGAUGCAGGAUUCAUUGGAGAUGGGGUGGGGGGUGGGGGAGGGGACAUGCUCCAAAAAAACAAGGCCUAAAGUGAAGAGCAGUUGCAUAUAUGCAUUCAUAAAUAAAUAUACAACCGACCAGCACAAAUCAAUUAAGUAUAAUAUGAAAUAUAAAAGCCAGAACAGCAGCAAAGCAAUAUAUAUUACCUUGAGAGGAACUUGGAGAACUCAGAUGAAAGGAAUGGCAAGGGAAAGGCAGACUUUACUUGGGUCAACUCAAUCUUGUCAGUGUGAAGGUCCGCCAACCCAUUGAGAUACUGAGAACAUGACUCCACGAUCCUGGUGCUCAUGUCAAUGGUGACCACCCACAUCUUCAUCAUCACGUACUCAUAGUCGCAGCAAAGGAAGUGCACCACAUGUGGCCUGUAGAUGUCCACCUGAGGGAACAUGAGAAUGUGGCGAGGGAGGUCCUUUGGGGCGUUUGCAGACCACAGCUCCUUGGAGGUGACCGUGUAGUCCUUCUUCCACUCCAUGGAUUCUAAGGAGAGGGUGUGGCAGGUGAUGGUGAAGCCACCAACACUGGUUUUGAGUGCCCCAUAGCCAACGCCAUCAUGGCGGGCGAUGUCAACAAACUUGAGCUUUCUGCCACCGACGUCGGACGCGCCACGAUACAGCCAGCUGGAUGGUUUGCCCCGGAUAGGAAACUCGUCAAGAGGGAAGCGGAGGAAGGAAACAGUAGGGGUGGGAUCUCCGAACACAUCGCAGAAGAGGAUGCCACGGUAGUAGUCGAUCCAGCACAGCCAGCGGCCAACAGGAAUGACAGUGUCGGUCUGCCAGAUGCAGAGUUGCCAGGUAUCAUCAGGGUCGGGGUUCUCGAAGCCAAGGAUUCCAUUACCAUCGGGCUUCUUGCAGAAGCUGCGGAUUGGUACGCGGCAGGAGUUCCAUUUGCCCUCGAUGGCACCAGUGGGUACAGCUAGUUUGUGCAGCCAAAAGAUGUCAGCAAAGACCUCAGGGGCACAGACCUUAGGGUCAGGGCAGCGGCCAGGCCUGAAAAGUCGUAGUUCUGCUACCACGAACUCCUGUUGGUCUCGGCACAAGAUGCCCAUGGAUCUGACCGCCAUCAGACGCGGUCGCUGCUCCUUGUUAGGAGGAGGGCGACGGCGACGGCGACGGCGACCACCACGACCACCACCAUGGAGGGGAUAAUCCAUGCAAGCGGGCAGUGCUUUGAGUUUGGAAGGGUCGUCGGCAUCUGAGGCGCUGUAGAUGAAGAGCUCCUGCCGCAAAUCAAAUGUAUCGUCCUCGAUACAGACGCGAAACAGGACGAGAUGUUGGUGGCUCGCCAGGAUGGCUAAGGGCACCUGUUUUAAGGGAUCCGGAAAGCCCGGCAGCCGCGCGUAGAGGCGGGAGAUCGCCGGGGGCUCGGCGAGCUCGAAGGCGAUGUCGAAGGGGGCCUCCCACCGGGUGAUGCCGGAAGCCCUGAUGGGCAACUUGUCCUCGUCCGGGAAGGCCUCGUCCAUGCGGAAGACGAAGCGCUCCAGCAUCACCCACUUGGGGGGGGAGGCGGCGGCAGAGGCGGCGGCGGCAGACAUGGCCGCGGACAUGGCGACCUUGAGACAGAUGAGGAAAUUAGGGGGGACCAGGGGGGAUCACCGUGAAGACAAAUCGGGAGAAUUGUAAGAAGAGGUGCCUUACCCACGGAGAAGUAGGCAGCUGCCGGCCGUCGAGAAGAGAGGAGGGGAGGCGGCAAGAGGCGUGCGGUAGAGGCUCCGGCGAUGCGGCGGCUUCCCGAUUCGAGGAACCAAAACAGAUCUAGGGUUUCGAAUUGGUGGCUGGAUUUUUUUUGAAUAAUAGGGUGGGGGGGUUUUUUGUUGAAACAAAAAUAAUAGGGUGGUUGGGAACUUGUAUAGGAUACGAAAGCUGUAUUGGUGGGCCUGCACUCUGGUCGGACUCUAUUGGACCAAACAUCUAUUCGUGUACGUACUAAUUCGAAGUGUUAAUUAAUAAAUAUAAAUUAAUGAUAAAACUAAUGGUACAAAAUAAGACUAAUUUGUAAGAUAAAUCUAUUCGAAUAUAAUUAGUUUAUAAUUUGAUAAUAUAGUACUAGUCAGUAAACUCUUGUUUGAUACGGAGUACGUACUAAUUUGAAGUGUUAAUAAUAAAUAUAAAUUAAUUAUCUUUUUCCUAAUAUAUAAUUGUGAAAAUUUCAGUCCAUUAUAUCUUUAUAUGUCCACCAGUAAGAUUAAUUAAACGAUGCUCCUCUCGUUCGGACCUAAUUUUCUAUUAUUUUUAGCUUAUUUUUCUGUUCAUGGCACGAAGACUCCUAGUCCAAUUGGGUUAGAAAAAAAAAAGAAAGUUAUGGGCUGAAUCUAACUCAGAAGCCUCACACGAGUUUAAACCAAUUUUAGACCGAAACAAGCGAAUAGUUGGGCUCGACUAAAAUCCAAAAUGACUAGAAAUUUUUCCUUUUUUAUUAUUAGAGAAGAAGAAGGAACUAUAGGACUUUGCUUUUUUUUCCUCCGAUUGACAUCUAAAUAAGGGGGUGUUUAGUUUCUCAUAGAAUCCAAAAUGUAAAAUACCAACUACUUUGGAAUGAUGAAAUACAAAAGGCCAAAAUUUUUAGGGUCAUGGUUAGUUCCAUCCAAAAUGCAGAAUUUAUUGUCCUCAUGAGAGCCUCUUGAGACUCUUUUUGGGUUUUUUUUGGUUUCUUAAGGUCAAAAUACAAAAUGGAGAAUAACCACAUUUUUUGCCAAAAUUUUUGCAUAGUGUUUAGUCCAUUUUGCAAAAUGGUUGACCAAAACCUAAAUUUUUUGAAAAAAGGGAAACUAAACACCCCCUAAAUAAAGAAAGUGGAGCAAAAUAAAGAACAUAAUUCUUAUCCUUUUCUAUUUGACUAUUAAGAGUUCUAUUUAGAAUACUUAGGAUGUGAGGAAUCUAUUUAUAUUAAGACUUCUACUCCACAUAUUGGUUUAGACGCAAGUUAUUCUAACUCGUAUGAGCAUGGGUUAUAUAUAUAAGUCCACAUAAAAGAAACAUUUCAUUGUUCGGUAGUUAGAGGAAGAUAGACAAAAAAAUAGAUGGGCAAAAAAAGAGCCUAAAAUUUUACCUCUUUAUUAUUAGAUAUAGAUAUAUAUAAUUAGGUAAUAGAGAUAUAGAUAUGGAUUUGAUAGCUUUUUUUCUCCCGUUGCAACGCACGGGCAUUUUUGCUAGGAAAACUAAUGGUACAAAAUAAGACUAAUUUGCAAGAUAAAUCUACGGCAGCGGAUGGCGGGAACUCGAGGUGGGCGAACACAGUGCCUCCGCCGCCGAGGACACUCACGGGGGUGGUGGCGUUGUUGGUGUAGACUACCCCUGCUCGUUGAGGAGCGCUUGUCAGCAUAGAAGUUAAGUUCAGUUGCUCGUUGAGAGUUCAGUUGCUCGUUGAGGAGUGCUAUAAAGGUACACAGGAUUUGAACAUGAACACUGACUCAGUAAGUGUAUGGCCCUCGCCCUAUUUUAACCUACUGUGAAAUGUCAAUGACCUGUAAUUUAAUUUUGCAGUCAUGGAUGAAUGAGUACAGGCGAUCAGUUCUACAUUAUCUUACCUUCCACCAAUCACAAGUCCUGAGACAGCUGCAAAAGAUAGGUUCAAUCCCUAUGCACUUCUCGUCAUCAGAAGCAGACGUUGUUGUAAUAGCUUGCACGCAGAAGGAAGACACUGAAUCACCAAAGAUGUAUAACAGAAGCUCUUGAAUCACAACAGCUGUAACAGAGCAUGCAACCCAUAUAUAUAUGGGUGCUCCAUACAUAAAGAAGCCGCUGUUAUUAAGUCGUGCGUGCGUUGAGGUCGAUGAUCACGAGUGAUAAAACGACAUUCAGAUUGUCCGUUUUUUGCUGGCGAGGAGCUGGUCCGUGUCUCCGGUUAAAGACAUCGUCCGUCUCCGUUAACCGGAGACUGUGCUUCUAGAGUUAGAUAUUUUGUAAAGAAGUGUGCUGAAUAUGGACACAUGGUAAAAUCAUGAGCCAUUGAGUCCUACAUAUAUACCUAGGACCCUCCUCAUGUGCUAACCAAACCCUCCAUUACCUUGCCUCCACAUUCUGUUAAUCCAAAAAACUACCAUAACUAACAUGUGGUCUCGUACAACCAUUUACUCCUCCGACGAGGAUGGUGACUCUGUCAACAACUACUCCUCCGAUGAGUAUGAUGACUCUGCCCUCUCAUCAGAGCCCUUUAGUAGCGUACCAAAUUCUCCUAAUGACUCUUAUGGAGAGGAGACCGAGUACGACAAGGAGGAGGACGACGAGAGCUCGGACGAGGACGAUGUUGAGGAGAGCUCGGACGAGGACGAUGAAGCGACAGAAGAGGCCAAGAAGAGGAAGCGAGCGAAGGAGCAUAGAGACAAGAAAGGGGCUGCGGAGAAGAGAAGGGUGGGGGAGGAGGAGGAGGAGGAGGAGGAGGAGGAGGUGGACUCGAAGAUGGCCAGGAAGUUUCAGAGUGCAGACUUCGACAUCGACGAUGGUCCCUCCAAUGUCGGUCCUAGGGCUCCUGCUAGUCUCGGUCCCAUGUCAGAUUCAUCGGAGAACUCCUCGAAGGGGUCGUCGUAGAUUAGAUUAUUCUGAUAGUCCGAUUCAGUGUUUUAUUUUACUCCUCACUGUCAGGGGCUCCUAUACAACUGAAAAUUAUAUAAAUUGCAUGCACAAAUCAACAAAUCCAUCUCCAAUAAAUUUCAGUCAAUUUUGCUAAAAAUUUUUUGUGUGUAUGCGAGUUUUUAGUUUUAGAGCCCGACUCUUGACGUGGGGGCGACCUAUAGGUCUAGUCACGCUAUUGUGCACAAAGUUGUUGCUUAAUUAUCAUAUUGAGUCAUCUCCAACAAAUUUUAGUCUAUUUUGCUAAUUGAGUCAUAUCAUGAAGUAGACAUGACUUAUAUCAUGAAGUAGACAUGACUUAUUGAGUCAUAUCAUGAAGUAGACAUGACUUAUACAAUUAAUUUUAUAAUUAAUUUAUAUAAAUUAUACAACUGAAAAUUAUAUAAAUUGCAUGCACAAAUCAACAAAUCCAUCUCCAAUAAAUUUCAGUCAAUUUUGCUAAAAUUUUUUUGUGUGUAUGCGAGUUUUUAGUUUUAGAGCCCGACCCUUAACCGGCAUCAGUUCCCUUAACCGGCAUCAGUUCCCUUAACCGGUGUUAAUUCUCUUAACCGGCGUUAUGUCGCUUAACCGGCGUCAAUUCCCUUAACCGGCGUCAGUAACCUUAACCGGCCUCAAUUCCCUGAACCGGCGUCAAUUCCCUUAACCGGCGUCAGUAACCUUAACCGGCAUCAGUAACCUUAACCGGCAUCAAUUCCCCUUAACCGGCCUCACUUCCCUUAACCGGCGUCAGUUCCCUUAACCGGCCUCAAUUCCCUUAACCGGCCUCAAUUCCCUUAACCGGCCUCAAUUCCCUUAAUCGGCGUGAAUUCCCUUAACCGGCGUCAGUAACCUUAACCGGCAUCAGUAACUUUAACCGGCAUCAAUUCCCCAUAACCGGCCUCAAUUCCCUUAACCGGCGUCAGUUCCCUUAACCGGCGUGAAUUCCCUUAACCGGCGCCAAUUCCCUUAACCGGCGUCAGUAACCUUAACCGGCAUCAGUAACCUUAACCGGCAUCAAUUCCCCUUAACCGGCGUCAGUUCCCUUAACCGGCGUCAAUUCCCUUAACCGGCCUCAAUUCCCUUAAUCGGCCUCAAUUCCCUUAACCGGCAUCAGUAACCUUAACCGGCAUCAGUUCCCUUAACCGGCGUCAAUUCCCUUAACCGGCCUCAAUUCCCUUAACCGGCAUCAGUAACCUUAACCGGCAUCAACUUGAGGACUAGGCUCCCGUGGCGCGCAGGCGAGGGGGCGCGCCGGUGGCAGAUUUUGGCCACUGGAGUGGGGGGAGGGGCGGUGGCGCCGGUGAGGUGUAGUGUGGGGAGCGAGUGCGGGCGAGGCAGGGAGGCGGAGGGGGAGAGAGGCGCCACGUCAGACAUGCCUAUGUGGCGUCACGUAGGCCAAAACAGCCAUUAAAACCACCGAGGUUGAAAAAAGGACGGUUUUAAUAGUUCAGGUGCCCUGAACAACUGGUUUCGUGGUUGAGGGUUUUAAAUCAGUAAACAAUUAUCGUUGUUAUUUUCUUAUAGUUCAAAUGUAAGCCCGAAAUAUUAUUAAAGGAUGCUCAUGGUUAUAUAUAAUUAUUGCCAUAUAACUUCAUGUGUACUCUGUAUUUCAUUUCACUUCAUUAUUCUAAAGAGAUGGCUUAUGUCGAGAAAAGAUGUCUUGAAAUUCAUGUGUACUUUGUUUGGUUCCAUCAUGAUUCUGGGAUUAGCAAGUUCAUGGGGAAGUUGGGGAUUAGUUUUUCUUAUUUGCUAAGCUGAGUUUGCACACGUGUCUUCGUAGAUGACACACUUCAUUUAUACUGUUUAGUAUACUGUUUCGGUCUCGCGCGUACGUGCGGGUGGCUCUUGCGCCACGACUUGCGCUCCUCGGCGAGGCGGCAGCAGGCGACGCCUCCGGACGCCAUCCGACGCGCUAGCUGCUCGCUCUCGCUUGUGGAUGUGGUGGACUCGAGCUUGCGCGCUGUUCGUACCGGCCACGCCGUCGUCUUCGUUCUCUCCGGCGGGGUUACAUGUGAGACCGCGAGGACGGCGGGCCGGGGGUUGAAUAGGGGGUUAGUGCGGAGCGUGGAGGUCAAGCCGAACAGAUAAACACCGAAGGUGCCACUGGCCAGGUAGAGACGUGGUCCCCGCCGUCCGGUAGAUUGGCCGCCGGGACGCCGGUGGGAUCCAGAUAUCAGCGGGAGAAGCGUGAGGGGAAGGUCUGGGACGGGAACGCGGGACUGGGCGUGGGCGCGGCGAGGCUUCGGACGCAAGGCAAGGGGUUCCGUGUUCAAGAGGACCGGUCAUGCUAAAGCAGGCAGGAUGGGACCCGCGAUGGACUGUUGUCGUUGCCGGACAACGGAGACCAGCAGUCGCUGGGCCUUGACUCUUGUGCACGCCACCGCUGCUCCGCGACUGUAGCUGUGACUCGGCCACCAGCACAUGGUGGAGGUGAGCGCGAGAGGUUUAGGGUUUAGGGUUGAUCAAGGUGAACGGGGUGGCGAUGGCUUGGCGAGGAUCCGCGUUCGCGGCGGAACCCAGGAUCCGCGUCUGCGGCGGAACCCCGUUCACCUUGGUCGUAGCGGCCGAAGAUGUCCUGGUGGCCUCGACUUCCCUCCGUCGUGGACGCGGAUCCUCAUGCUUUGGCCGCAAGAAGACGGCGGUGGCCGCAAGGUUAGUCUAGCACCUCUUCAUCGCUUGAUUCUCCCUGAACCAGUGAAUCCCAACUCAAAUCAGUCUGUGAGUUUUCGUUCUUGGUAGAUGAUGCAUUCUCCUCUUUCUUCUUGUAGGUUCGAUUGAAAUUAGGUGCAUCAUAACUAGUAUCACUUACGAACUGCACCAAUGGGGUGGUUAUGGUGGCCUGUGGAAAUCUUCUUUUUAUAUAGUAAAUUUAGGAGUAACUUUUUGGAACAAAACAAGGCCAAGAACCCACAACAGCAGCUGUCACAAUGGAGUCACAAGGACCCGGCAGCUGUUUGCCUUGCCUGCCUCACCCGCUACCGUCGGAUGAUACGUGAACGGCGGAAAACCUUGAUGGGCGAUGGGUUUCAAACCAGAUGGCCGAGGAAUCCAGUUAUCACGCCACAACCGUACAGACUUGCCAUCUCCAAUACGCCACACAACACCUUUUUUAAUCAACUCCAGCCCAUACUCAACGGCCCUCCAUGUCGCCGAAGCAUCAUUAGCUGUUACCGUGUCUAGCAGAUUACCAGAUGGGUAGUAUUUAGCUUUCAAGACUUGCGCACAAAAGCUAUCAGGGCAAAUCAGCAAGCGCCAAGCUUGGCGUGAAAGCAGUGCUUGGUUGAAUAGCUACAAAUCUUUAAAUCCCAUACGCCGUUGACCAGGUCAGUACCGGCUUGCCUCCAUCCCCUCUCUCUGCAAAACUCGUUCCUCCUCGAUGGUGAGCCAAGUUGCACGGGCGGUGGCGUCGCGCUCCAUGACGGCGUUGGCGAGGUCUCCGGUCAUGAGCUGAUUAAGCAAUUUUACUCAUGACGGCGUUGCACGCCUCCUUGGCGAGGCGCUCCUGCUCCUAGCGCUCCUCCUCGGCCUUUUGAUCGGCAGGGUUGGGAGGAGCGGAGGCCUUCUUGGCGGGGUCGAUGAGAUCGGAACCGCCGCCGAGGCCGGGAGCGGAGGGGGCUCCAGUCAUGGCGCGACAGGGAUGGAGGGCGGCGACGCCAGGGGGUAGGGGUCAGCGGCGUCGGUGGCAUCUCGCUAGGGUUGCGAAGUCCUCGUGGAGGCUACCGGCUUAUAGACAUCCACUUAGUUAUGAGUCAUCCACUUAGUUAUGAGACAUCCAUAAAUUUGGGCGAGACAUCUACUCCUCCUUGGCGAGGCGCUCCUGCUCCUAGCGCUCCUCCUCGGCCUUUUGAUCGGCAGGGUUGGGAGGAGCAGCAAUUUUACUCAUGACGGCGUUGCACGCCUCCUUGGCGAGGCGCUCAUGCUCCUAGCGCUCCUCCUCGGCCUUUUGAUCGGCAGGGUUGGGAGGACCAGAGGCCUUCUUGGCGGGGUCGAUGAGAUCGGAACCGCCGCCGAGGCCGGGAGCGGAGGGGGCUCCAGUCAUUUACAGGCGACGAGAUAUUGCAUGUGGAGUGUGCAGUACGUACCGGCUCUGUACCGGCUCUGUUCCUCUAACUAAUCCUGUGGCAUCCUUUUGCUCUGUUAUUAAACUCGUUCAGUAUUGUCAAUUUUCGUCAGUAAUAAACUGCAAGAGGUACUGCAGUCGAUGUGAGUGGUUUGUUCAAUUGAUUAACCACCGAAUGCUUCUGUAAAAAGUGGCCAACACUUCUGAAAGAUAAGAUUAUAGAGUAGUAACAUUUUGUGAUAAAACUAAGACAAGAAAGUACACUAUGCACAAGUUCCUGAAUUCUUACAGAGCCAACUUCUUUGUUUGUUUGUUCUAUUUGUUGUGGUAAAAAAAUUGUGCUUGUUCACUUUCUUGCAGGGGCGGGCCCACGUGUAUUCAUGGGUAUUCAACUGAAUACCCAUUAUUUUUGACAAAAAAAUUUGUAUGUAUAGUGUAUACCAAGCAUAUAUACCAAAACAAACAAAAAAAAAUAGCAUGUGUUCUCAUCAAUUCUAGCCCGUUAAGGCAAAAAGCUCAUCUCCCUCCUCUUCCCGAAGGCCCAAACGGCCCAAACGGUCCAAACCUAAACUCCACCCACCACCAGCCCAUCUGACCAUCUCUGAUUCAGUCGAAUCGUUCCCCAUCGACGCUCAUUCGCUCCCGUCGCGGCUCGCCCUCGCCCUCUCGUCACGCCGUCACCGCGUCGGGCGUCGGCGGGUGCUGACCCUAGGCGGCGGCCGCCGGCCAGCAGCGAACAGCCCAGGCGCGGAGGCGCCCACCAGCGGAGCAGAGAGGGCAGUUCGCGGGAGAAAAGCAGCGGGAAAGGCUGUCCCACGUUCCCUGAUUCCUAGAAUCCAGCUCAGGCUUUCGCCCUCUGCUAAUCCGUCUCCCGAGCCGUGAGAGUGCAAAGAUCGGUAUGGGCUUCUUCAAUUCCCAUUUCCUUUUUUGGUAGAAAACGCAACUCUACUUGUUUUUCGCCGAGAUGCCUUUGGUUGGUUCAUUCGUUGGGUCAUCUGUUUGUUUCUUACCCCAUUGUGAAAUCAGGAUGGAUGAUUUCGUUUCCUUGGUGUAUAGGUCGUACUAGCCAGCAGCCCAGCAAGGCGGCGGCGCGGGCACGCGGCGCGGCACUGCGGCAGGCCAGCAAGGUCCGGGAAGGCGGCGUGCAUCUCUAGGACUCCGAGCUGGGCUCCAGGAAGGUGAGCCGUGAGCCGAUUUGGAUCUGAAAAAUAGAAUAAGAGUCGUUGGACCUGCUGUUAGACCACUAGUGCUAGUGGUGAUUUACGAAUUUUGAUUUCCAUCCGUAAUCCGUUUCUGAUUGCAACUUGUGUGUUGCGUGAUUACGAAUUUUAUGUGAGAAAGGAAGACAGUAGUGCUACUACUACUGAUUUGAGGCAAUUUUUUUGCAAAGGAAGGCAUUUUAGGUUCAAAUCUAUAGGAUGCAAAUUUUCUUAUAAAUUGGUUGUUUUAUCAUCUAUUUAUUUCAGACAUUGAAGCUUUGAUAUGUUGUGUUGAAUAUCUUCAAAUUUGAAGUAAUUUUAUUAAUCGAUGAUGUUUGUACUCGAUUUUUUGUUGUGCAUUAAUAAUUUAGCCCGUCUAUAAAAAAAAUGUUCUGUUAUUUAAAAAUUUGAAUACCCAUGUUCAAAAUCCUAGGCCCGCCCCUGCUUUCUUGUGGUAUGAUUGUCCAAUAUUUCAGUUGUUUGUUCACUUUGUACACUUAACUAGUAUGUUCAAGAUGAUGUGGUAAAUUUUGUUGUGCUUGUUCACUUGGUUGCUUCUUCAAAAUUACGUGUAUGAAAUAUGGUGCUGAAAUAUAAUCAAAUUUGUAUAGUUUGUUUGGUAGUUUUUGUCCUGUUCUUGCGUUAGUAUUACUGAUAUAGGGUUCUGAUAUUGUCCAAUACAGUUUCAAGUGUUAAUGCAUCUGGUGCUGAAAUAGUCCAAUAGUAUUACUGAUAUAUGGUGCUGAAAUUGCUGUAGCAUUACUGAUAUAUGGCGCUGCAGGUCUCGUUCGAGGAGAGCAAGGGCACGGUCAUCUGUUGCUGUCCAAGGAAAGCUGGAAGGUACGCAUUUCCUCCCUGUCUCCUCUUUCUUCCUCCCUUUUCCCCUCGUUCCUUGUGUACUGUGCAUCUGGCUGUGCUUUGGAUUUUGCUAUGAACACUUCAUUAUAUGUUUAAAUAUCUGACGCUCCGUUAGUCGUUCAGAUCUAGUUUAUAUUGUCUCUACUAUGUCUUUGUAUGUGUUAAGUUCAUUCACUGUAACAUCCCGGGUGCGCUGUAGUAUGAUCGUCUACUUCUGUAUCUGGCCUCAUUUCAGGGCCCAUAUGGUGUAGCUCUAGUGUUAUCGCAUAAAUUCUUUAGGUUGCUAUAUCUCAUAGUAAUUGUGUAUACUUAUCUGCAAUUAGAUUGUCCACAUUCACAUUAUGAAGCACUCAGUUGGCUAGUGAUGUAUGCCAGGCAUUAUCCAUGCACUUGUUUAAUUUAUAAACGUGUGCACUUGGUGAUUCAUUUCAUUCUGAACCAUGAACUCGUUAUUUUUGUGAUGAAUCUGCAUCUCACGGAAAAUCUAAAUGUUAAGGUCAUCAAGUUCAUGGUCCUAGCUAGUGUAUUCAGAUUAGGAGUCAUGGUCAUAUUCUGUGGUCAUAUUCAGAUGCUUCUGUAAAUGUUAGUUUCUAUCUAUCCUAAUUUCUAUCUCUGAAUAUGGAUUUGUUCUAAUUUGUAUCUUGUUUUUUUUAUCUUGUUCUAUCUAUAGUUAGGUUGUUUCUUUUUUGAAGUCACGUUGGUGUGUACUAGUGACAGUAUCUUAGACACAAAAAAAUUCACUCGCAGUGCAUAAUUUGACAAGUCUAGGAUACGCUUUGAAGCAGAUCGUUCGAUUUGCUCUUGAUUGUUACUUUUUUAUACAUUUAAAAAUUAAUUGGCUGCUGGUUUCAGCAUAUUCUACUGAUGAUAGUUGACUUGCAAGUUGACACAACUUAUCGUUUUCUCUAGUUUUUCGCCGAGAUGCCUUUGGUUGGUUCAUUCGUUGGGUCAUCUGUUUGUUUCUUACCCCAUUGUGAAAUCAGGAUGGAUGAUUUCGUUUCCUUGGUGUAUAGGUCGUACUAGCCAGCAGCCCAGCAAGGCGGCGGCGCGGGCACGCGGCGCGGCACUGCGGCAGGCCAGCAAGGUCCGGGAAGGCGGCGUGCAUCUCUAGGACUCCGAGCUGGGCUCCAGGAAGGUGAGCCGUGAGCCGAUUUGGAUCUGAAAAAUAGAAUAAGAGUCGUUGGACCUGCUGUUAGACCACUAGUGCUAGUGGUGAUUUACGAAUUUUGAUUUCCAUCCGUAAUCCAUUUCUGAUUGCAACUUGUGUGUUGCGUGAUUACGAAUUUUAGGUGAGGAAGGAAGACAGUAGUGCUACUACUACUGAUUUGAGGCAAUUUUUUUGCAAAGGAAGGCUUAUAGGUUCAAAUCUAUAGGAUGCAAAUUUUCUUAUAAAUUGGUUGUUUUAUCAUCUAUUUAUUUCAGACAUUGAAGCUUUGAUAUGUUGUGUUGAAUAUCUUCAAAUUUGAAGUAAUUUUAUUAAUCGAUGAUGUUUGUACUCGAUUUUUUGUUGUGCAUUAAUAAUUUAGCCCGUCUAUAAAAAAAAUGUUCUGUUAUUUAAAAAUUUGAAUACCCAUGUUCAAAAUCCUAGGCCCGCCCCUGCUUUCUUGUGGUAUGAUUGUCCAAUAUUUCAGUUGUUUGUUCACUUUGUACACUUAACUAGUAUGUUCAAGAUGAUGUGGUAAAUUUUGUUGUGCUUGUUCACUUGGUUGCUUCUUCAAAAUUACGUGUAUGAAAUAUGGUGCUGAAAUAUAAUCAAAUUUGUAUAGUUUGUUUGGUAGUUUUUGUCCUGUUCUUGCGUUAGUAUUACUGAUAUAGGGUUCUGAUAUUGUCCAAUAUAGUUUCAAGUGUUAAUGCAUCUGGUGCUGAAAUAGUCCAAUAGUAUUACUGAUAUAUGGUGCUGAAAUUGCUGUAGCAUUACUGAUAUAUGGCGCUGCAGGUCUCGUCCGAGGAGAGCAAGGGCACGGUCAUCUGUUGCUGUCCAAGGAAAGCUGGAAGGUACGCAUUUCCUCCCUGUCUCCUCUUUCUUCCUCCCUUUUCCCCUCGUUCCUUGUGUACUGUGCAUCUGGCUGUGCUUUGGAUUUUGCUAUGAACACUUCAUUAUAUGUUUAAAUAUCUGACGCUCCGUUAGUCGUUCAGAUCUAGUUUAUAUUGUCUCUACUAUGUCUUUGUAUGUGUUAAGUUCAUUCACUGUAACAUCCCGGGUGCGCUGUAGUAUGAUCGUCUACUUCUGUAUCUGGCCUCAUUUCAGGGCCCAUAUGGUGUUGCUCUAGUGUUAUCGCAUAAAUUCUUUAGGUUGCUAUAUCUCAUAGUAAUUGUGUAUACUUAUCUGCAAUUAGAUUGUCCACAUUCACAUUAUGAAGCACUCAGUUGGCUAGUGAUGUAUGCCAGGCAUUAUCCAUGCACUUGUUUAAUUUAUAAACGUGUGCACUUGGUGAUUCAUUUCAUUCUGAACCAUGAACUCGUUAUUUUUGUGAUGAAUCUGCAUCUCACGGAAAAUCUAAAUGUUAAGGUCGUCAAGUUCAUGGUCCUAGCUAGUGUAUUCAGAUUAGGAGUCAUGGUCAUAUUAUGUGGUCAUAUUCAGAUGCUUCUGUAAAUGUUAGUUUCUAUCUAUCCUAAUUUCUAUCUCUGAAUAUGGAUUUGUUCUAAUUUGUAUCUUGUUUUUUUAUCUUGUUCUAUCUAUAGUUAGGUUGUUUCUUUUUUGAAGUCACGUUGGUGUGUACUAGUGACAGUAUCUUAGACACACAAAAAUUCACUCGCAGUGCAUAAUUUGACAAGUCUAGGAUACGCUUUGAAGCAGAUCGUUCGAUUUGCUCUUGAUUGUUAUUUUUUUAUACAUUUAAAAAUAAAUUGGCUGCUGGUUUCAGCAUAUUCUACUGAUGAUAGUUGACUUGCAAGUUGACACAACUUAUCGUUUUCUCUAUUGUAGGACAGCAGGUCCCCAGAUGAAGAGUCAGAAGUUGGGCGCACAAGGAGAAAGAGAUGAGCGCUUGUGUAUUGACUUUGGCUUUAAGGCCCAAGAGGUUAUGGAAGCAGCGGCUUGUCUUGAUGAAGCAGAGCGAGAUGAAGUUAAGCAACUUGGGUAUGGAGCUUUCCUAAACCUAAAGUUGGGACCAAUCAGCCAGCGCAAGGAAACCUAUCUGUGUAUGGAGCUAGUUGAUCUGGAAGAGGAUGCGAUCAAGGUGCAGCUACAAAAUGAUGUAAUUGUAUACAUCAGACCAGAUGAGAUCUAUGAUCUCUUGAUGCUGCCCCAAGGUACUAAGGCCCCCCUCAAGUACAAUUCGCAACAACAUGAGGACUUUGCUCGAUUGAAGGCUGAAUUGGGUGAAACGUUGUUGGACACUGCGAAUAUAUUGAAGUUUAUGAAAAAAGAGGAGAACAAACAUUUGAAGGUCAAAUGUUUUUUCAACAUUCUCUUUUCAAGAUUUCUAAUGCCUACCACUUCACAAAGUAUAAACGUACAUGCAGUGAUGUACACAAGGAAUUUGGCAAGCCUCAAGGAAUAUAACAUGUGUAAAAUAGUGUAUGAGCAUCUCAGGGGUUCUAUCAAAAUUUGGAAGGAGCAGAGGCAGAAUGCAAAAAACAAGGCAUCACUUACUAUGCCUGGUUGCCCAAUCAUAGUUCUGGUAAGCAUUCUGGUGCUCUCAUCAAUUACUAGCUUUUUUUACCUGCCCAGCUAGCUGUCAUCUUUGGAUUUUUUUUAUCGUGCUUGAGUUGCCUGCUUCAUAUGGAUUUGAUGUGCCUGCUUCACAGUUAACUUGUUUAACUGUAUAUUCGGUUGUCAGGGAUUUAUUGUCGAUAAUUUGAAACUGACGGAUAGUGUAAACAAGAAUCGUCCUCGGCUCAAUGAGUAUGAUAUGGCGACUUUGACGGAUACUAUUCGUAAGGCUAAGGUCAAUGGCAGGAUCUCCUUCGAGAACUUUGAGGUAUUGAUCAUCUCUUUAUCUUGAAAGCAUACUAUGCCGUACUUGGCUUCAUAUCUUACAUCUUCUCUUCAAUUUCCCAUUUCAGUUGAAAUCUCUAGAGGAGAUCUGCUAUGCGCCAUCAUCAAGAUUUUGCAUCCAGUCCGCAGUUGACUCCCAAGAUGUAAGAUCUGCUAUGGUGACUUCUGCCGUGGUAACUUUGCCUGAGUCUCAAGAAGCUAUCCAGUCCGCAGUUCAGAUCCUUUCUUCAGUGCAGAAUCCUGAAUCUUUUGGAGUUGACCGAGCAAAUCUUGAUGCAUGCAUAGCUGGAUUAUCUGCAUUGCAGCCAGUUGGUGCUUCCUGCAGCAAUGUUGGUGCCUCCUGCAGCAUUUCUGAAGCUGCUGAAGCUACCAGCACAAAGAAGGCUGAUGAAGAAGAGACCAUUGCAUUGCAGCCAGUUGGCUCUUCCUGCAGCAAUGUUGGUGACUCCUCCAGCAUUUCUGACAACACAAAGAAGGCUGCUGCUGCUGCGGUGCCUGAAGCUGCCAACACAGCUGUGCAUGAAGAAGGGAUUUCUAAAGCUGCCAAGUCAAGAAGCCGUGCUACCAAGACGCCUGGUCUACCAACAAGGAGGAGCGCGAGGCUCAAUGCUGCUGCUGUUGAGCCCAAUGCUGCUGUUGAGCCCGGUGAUGUAAUUUCACCAAUUAAGUCACCAAUUAAGAAGCUAGCCAAAAAAAACAAAAACAAGUAAGAAGAACGUUGAUGAGCCUAGUUCCCCGUGCUACUGCAAGUUGCUCCCUAGCUAUGACGCAGCAGGGUGUCAGUGUGUCACCUCUGCUGUGUUUUGAGCUGUUCUUUUGCCCCGCUGUGGGUGUGUGUUAAAACUUGUUGACGUUGAAGCCAUGACUUGCUAGUUUUUUUCUUCACAUUCAGAUUUCAGGAGCUUGUCCUGGUUGCAGAACUAGUGGAAGAAGGCACGCCUGAAAGAAGGAAGAAGUGAUCCUGCUGCUAAUGCAUGAUAGGUUGUACAUACAGUAGCUGGUAGCUGGUAGCUGGUAGCUGGCGGUAGUAGAUGUAUAUUUUGAAGCUGCAAUGCUGCAGGGCUGUUAUCUAGAAAGAGGGCUGGUUGCCAUGAAACUCCUCAAUACCGUAUUUGUUAAUGCCUAGUUCUUUAGCUCGAGGUUGCCGCCGAAAUGGAGUACUUUAAAACCCCUUGUUGAAGCUAAAACCUUCCUCGUAAAACCGGUUUUAUUAUGUCGUCGAGCAGACCAUUAAAUAUUAAGUAUGAACUUUGUGCUUUCUGGCGAGAUAGUACUUCAGGUUUUACUAUUUCUCUCUGGGCUACUAAAAUCUCCUUUAUAAAACCGGCUUUAUUAUACCGUCGAGCAGAUGAGCACUUCGGGUUUCACUCGAUGUCUCUGGGGUGCUAAAACCUUACUGAAUAGAUGUAUCCAUAUCAAAAGUAAAUAUGAGACGUCGGUAAAGUGUGAUGACUGCUUUUUUUCAACGUUAUUUAGUAUGAAAUAAGUUGUAAGGAGACAAAGUUUCAGUUAAUAUUACCUACUCUAUGCAGACAUCCAUUUGGGGGAGGGAAAAAAAGUUAAUUAGUUGAGUGGAGCCUUGCAAAGAAAUAUUGCUUCCACUUAGAGGGUCAUCAUCUACAACUAAUUAACUUUCAAAUUAAUAAAAAGCAGGAUGCAUUAUAAGCAGGAUGCAUUACAAACUCGUCCCAAUUUCGUUUACGCGCGGCCCACUGCGGAAGGCCGAGCCCAGCAGCCUGUUUACAGCCCUCCCCGCUCCGCCACCCUCCCGACCAGAUCUGAACUCUCCCUCAGACCUCGCUCAACCCUCCCCGCUCCUCCUCCCCACCUGCGCCGCCGCCACCUUCACCGUCGCCCCGAGCCGCCGCCGCCACCGCCGCCUUCGUCUCACCGGCGCCAUCAAAAGAUUCUUCACCCUCUUCUCACCGGCAGACAGCAGGUUCAGGUCAGUAAUCGACCAUUAUGAUUUAGAUGAUUAGUUGAAGUUAGUUUAGGUACCACAUUUGAAGGGGAAAUGAUGGCGCAAAGGGUAUCUUCUGCAUGUUUCCAUGAUGUCCUUGGCGAGGCGCUCCUGCUCCUAGCGCUGCUCCUCGGCCUUUUGAUCGGCAGGGUUGGGAGGAGCGGAGGCCUUCUUGGCGGGGUCGAUGAGAUCGGAACCGCCGCCGAGGCCGGGAGCGGAGGGGGCUCCAGUCAUGGCGCGACAGGGAUGGAGGGCGGUGACGCCAGGGGGUAGGGGUCAGCGGCGUCGGUGGCAUCUCGCUAGGGUUGCGAAGUCCUCGUGGAGGCUACCGGCUUAUAGACAUCCACUUAGUUAUGAGUCAUCCACUUAGUUAUGAGACAUCCAUAAAUUUGGGCGAGACAUCUACUCCUCCUUGGCGAGGCGCUCCUGCUCCUAGCGCUCCUCCUCGGCCUUUUGAUCGGCAGGGUUGGGAGGAGCAGCAAUUUUACUCAUGACGGCGUUGCACGCCUCCUUGGCGAGGCGCUCCUGCUCCUAGCGCUCCUCCUCGGCCUUUUGAUCGGCAGGGUUGGGAGGAGCGGAGGCCUUCUUGGCGGGGUCGAUGAGAUCGGAACCGCCGCCGAGGCCGGGAGCGGAGGGGGCUCCAGUCAUGGCGCGACAGGGAUGGAGGGCGGCGACGCCAGGGGGUAGGGGUCAGCGGCGUCGGUGGGAUCUCGCUAGGGUUGCGAAGUCCUCGUGGAGGCUACCGGCUUAUAGACAUCCACUUAGUUAUGAGUCAUCCACUUAGUUAUGAGACAUCCAUAAAUUUGGGCGAGACAUCUACUCCUCCUUGGCGAGGCGCUCCUGCUCCUAGCGCUCCUCCUCGGCCUUUUGAUCGGCAGGGUUGGGAGGAGCAGCAAUUUUACUCAUGACGGCGUUGCACGCCUCCUUGGCGAGGCGCUCUUGCUCCUAGCGCUCCUCCUCGGCCUUUUGAUCGGCAGGGUUGGGAGGAGCGGAGGCCUUCUUGGCGGGGUCGAUGAGAUCGGAACCGCCGCCGAGGCCGGGAGCGGAGGGGGCUCCAGUCAUUUACAGGCGACGAGAUAUUGCAUGUGGAGUGUGCAGUACGUACCGGCUCUGUUCCUCUAACUAAUCCUGUGGCAUCCUUUUGCUCUGUUAUUAAACUCGUUCAGUAUUGUCAAUUUUCGUCAGUAAUAAACUGCAAGAGGUACUGCAGUCGAUGUGAGUGGUUUGUUCAAUUGAUUAACCACCGAAUGCUUCUGUAAAAAGUGGCCAACACUUCUGAAAGAUAAGAUUAUAGAGUAGUAACAUUUUGUGAUAAAACUAAGACAAGAAAGUACACUAUGCAAGAAAGUACACUAUGCACAAGUUCCUGAAUUCUUACAGAGCCAACUUCUUUGUUUGUUUGUUCUAUUUGUUGUGGUAAAAAAAUUGUGCUUGUUCACUUUCUUGCAGGGGCGGGCCCACGUGUAUUCAUGGGUAUUCAACUGAAUACCCAUUAUUUUUGACAAAAAAAUUUGUAUGUAUAGUGUAUACCAAGCAUAUAUACCAAAACAAACGAAAAAAAAUAGCAUGUGUUCUCAUCAAUUCUAGCCCGUUAAGGCAAAAAGCCCAUCUCCCUCCUCUUCCCGAAGGCCCAAACGGCCCAAACGGUCCAAACCUAAACUCCACCCACCACCAGCCCAUCUGACCAUCUCUGAUUCAGUCGAAUCGUUCCCCAUCGACGCUCAUUCGCUCCCGUCGCGGCUCGCCCUCGCCCUCUCGUCACGUCGUCACCGCGUCGGGCGUCGGCGGGUGCUAACCCUAGGCGGCGGCCGCCGGCCAGCAGCGAACAGCCCAGGCGCGGAGGCGCCCACCAGCGGAGCAGAGAGGGCAGUUCGCGGGAGAAAAGCAGCGGGAAAGGCUGUCCCGCGUUCCCUGAUUCCUAGAAUCCAGCUCAGGCUUCAGGUCAGUAAUCGACCAUUAUGAUUUAGAUGAUUAGUUGAAGUUAGUUUAGGUACCAUAUUUGAAGGGGAAAUGAUGGCGCAAAGGGUAUCUUCUGCAUGUUUCCAUGAUGCUAUGGUGUAUUAUUUUUUUAGACACAAAAAUCAUGAGGAGCACUGAAUCCAAACAUAGGUACAACACUCACUAAGAAGUCUACUGGAGACUGGAGUAACUAAAUUGUUAGCUGACCCUACCCUGUUCCAAUUUCAUAGUGUUUACUUUUUUCUACAUAUAGUUUGGAUAUCAUGUAACAUCUUGGGUCAAAGGCCAAAGGCAAGUUUGCAUGGCGAUAUGACCGAUCUCCUUACGGACUCGAGGACUGCAUCAUAGAACUUGAGGUCGCCAUCGUCGAGCGCGUAGGAGACGCAGAGCCGUGCGUCGGCUCGGAGAUCACGGCACUGGGUGUAUUCCAUGGCCUUGGAUCACACACGAAACCUGGCGCAGAGCACUCUCCUGGUCUCUUGGCCCUCCGCCAGAGCCACUAGAGCAAUAGCAAUGGCACCCUCCACGAGCUCCCUCAGUCCCGCAACCCUAGCGUAAAUCCUGCAGGGGCACGCCAUGGAUCCCGCUGCCUCCACCCGCGCUAGUAGAGCUCGUGACGUACAUCUGCAUGCCUGCGCCUCCUUCCCCUCCCCUCAGCCGCCUCAUUCUCUACAUUUUUUACAGCAGCAUCUCUCUCGGGUAUCAUCUAUGUUUGGAUUUUGUUCAAAGGUAUGAUGGUUACUCUACUUCGUAGAUCCCCAUUCUUUAAUAGUUGCUUUCCAGUUUCUUCUGUAUCAACCAACUCUUUUGUGAGCUCCUCUGCUCUGUUUGGAUUUUGUUCAAAGGUAUGAUGGUUACUCUACUUCGUAGAUCCCCAUUCUUUAAUAGUUGCUUUCCAGUUUCUUCUGUAUCAACCAACUCUUUUGUGAGCUCCUCUGCUCUUCUUUUCAUAUCAGCCGCCUCAUUCUCUACAUUUUUUACAGCAGCAUCUCUCUCGAGUAUAGACCUUAAAAAUAAAAAAACUAUUAACUUUUUUAGGAGUCAAUGGGCCGAUGGACGCGCUGUAAAGUGGAAACAACCACCGCCUUUUCUCUCGUCCCUCAAAGUCGGCUGGCUUGCAAAUGUCCAAUAGAUGCGUCUUGUUUGGAUUUUGUUCAAAGGUAUGAUGGUUACUUUACUUUGUAGAUCCCCAUUCUUUAAUAGUUGCUUUCCAGUUUCUUCUGUAUCAACCAACUCUUUUGUGAGCUCCUCUGCUCUUCUUUUCAUAUCAGCCGCCUCAUUCUCCAAAGUUAGCCGAGUGUCUCGCGUCCACGUCCCCGUCGCCGCCGAAGUCGAAGUCGAAUCACCGUGCGUUGUGUGCGUGUCGGUGUGGUUUCUCGCACACGUUAGGGUUGGGUUUAUAACAAACGAAUGGUUCUCACGGACGGCGGCACUUGGCAUGCGGCAGGGCAACGCCUCGGCUUCGUUGAAUAGGUCAACUGAAUGGUACCAUCCUAUUCAGUUUUGUUCAGCCCCCGAGCCCUCGGAAGGUUCGCACUCGGGGGUAGAGUUUUUCCGCCCUCGGAAGGUUCACACUCGGGGGUAGAGUUUUUCCGCAAUCUUUUUCACCCUUCUAUCAAGUUUUACUGUUAACUAUAUUUACACCCUUCUAUCACUAUAUUUACAGUGACUUUUUCAAUGUAAUUUAUUGAAUAGAGUGGUGUAAUUUGAUAAUAACCCAAAUAUAUGUCAAAAUUUUUCAAACAAACAAGAGGACGAUGAAGCCGUCCAUGGUAACCCAUUGGGUGAAAUCUGGCUCGGCGUGAUGCCGAAGUGGGCAAGCACCUCGAGGAAGAACACGUGUAGCAGGACGCGCAUGCCGGCCUCCAUCACCACACAGAGACCAACAUUGGUGGACCAGAGGGAUUGCACAGCAAUCAGAUAUUAGACUCUGGAACCAGGUUGGCAGUUACAAUAGUAGCAUACAUCUCAGGCAUAUAUUCAUAGAAGGAUCCUUGGUUCAGCUAACACAUAAUAGUUCAUUAGUCCAUACCAGUACUCUACACAGUUCAUUAGUACCCUACACAGUUCAUUAGUACCCUACACCAACAAAAGGCACCAGACGACUCAGGCACAGGAGCAGCUUCGAUGACAGAUGGCAUGGAAACAGAGUACCAGGUGGAGUGAGGUUGACACAUGGGCAACCUCUAUAUUAUGGCUUCAGCACCUCCCUAAGUUCAUUAGCAGAAGUCCAUCAUCCUAAGUGCAUUAGCCUAAGGGGCCAGAAUAAGUCGGCUGAAUGCUUCAUCCGCCCCAUUCAUAUGUCCCACUACAAACCACCCAAUCAAUGCGAAAAGAACACACAGUGCCACACUCCCAGGUUUCACUGUAAUUUUCAGCUUUUGAGGCUCAUUCUUCAUCAGUCGCAGCUCAUUCUUCAUCAGUCCCAAUGAAUCAGCCGUCGAUUCCACAUGUUGAUCCACGGUUGCCAGCAGCUCAGUCUUCAUCAGUUCUAAUGCAGUAGCCGUCGAUUGCUUGUGUUGAUCCAUGGCUGCCAGCAGCUCAGUCUUCAUCAGUUCUAAUGCAGCACCCACCUCUACCAUCUUGAGCUCCAGGUUUUCCUUCGUCUCUCUGAUGGAUUUGGUAAGAGAAUCGAUGGCUUGCUCAUAAUCAUUAAGUGCUAUCAUUAACAACUGAGUGACAUGGGGAGGAUCAGAGAUAAUCCCAUCCUUGAUUAACAAAAUAGCAUAGCUCCCUUCCCAGUGGAAAAAAUCACAUGACCUCCCAUCCUGUAUAGAAGAAAAAUGGAAUAUGGUCACGUGAUGGUUGAAGUGGAUCAUAUCAUUUGGUGAUUGGUUGGUACAUGUGUUGCAUCAACAUUGGAGGAGAUGGAAUGGAAUGCGCAAGGCAAAGGUAUAACCUAGGGCAUUUCCAUUUCACCGGUCAUAGGUGUGUAGAGAAGUUUAUGACCGGAUUUAGGAUAGAUGGCCGUACUAUCAAGAGGGGCAAACUUGUUUGCAUAUCGGUCAUCUAGUGCCACUUGAGCGAUCUAACUUUGCAUAGGUGUUAGGAUCGAGUGGGGUGGCAAGUUGAGAGGCUAACUCCUUUGGGAAAUUGUUUGUGAAAAGCUAACACACUUGCACAUUCGGCGCUUUUAAGAAAAUUAAGUGCAUAUUUUCUAUUGCGUCGGUGGGAAAUUUGAAGAAGUCGCAGGAGUGUUUCUCGUGGACGCUGGUGUUGGCAGCACCGGACGCUGGUCCAGAGCGUCCGGUGUGGUGUCUUUGACUCAGUGUGCAGAGCGCACCGGACGCUGGCACCGGACGCUGGGCGGUUACUGUUCGAGCGUCCGGUGAUGCGUGACGACAGCGAGUGCACGCGAGGAGUUUCUGACCGGCGAGCACCAGACGCUCAGGGUGCGUCCGAUGGUUUACGUCCGGUGACCGUGCGAGUUUGCAGAGGUGGACUCGUUGAGCGUCCGGUGGUGCUGUGCAGGCGCGCGUGCGCAGUAGCCGUUGGCGGCAACGGUCGAGUUCAAACGGCUAGUGACACGUGGCUGACGCCUGAGCACCGGACGCUUGGGGUUGAGCGUCCGGUGGCUCCUUAUGAGCGUCCCGUGCCCUCGUGUUUUGCCCAGUGAAGGGGCAACGGCUAGUUUAGCCCUUGGGGCUAUAAGUAGAAGUGGUGGCCGGCCUUGACCGGUGCUGAGCACCCUUGGGACUUAGUGUCCAUGCUUGGGGAGUGCUAGGAAAGCCUCUAACUCACUUGUGCUUGCAAGAGUCAAUAGCGAGUGAGUGAUUCUAGUGCGUUGCAUUGAGAGAUUGCAUCUAGUGGCACUAGGUGUUCGUGUUGCAAGCCAGUGGUGCUUGUUACUUUUGGAGGUUGCCACCUCCUAGACGACUUGGUGGCUUGUGACUCCGUCGAAGCACGCAAGGAGAUUGUGCGGUGCUCCGGAGAAUAGAUUGUGAGGGGUAUGGUGCUCACCCCGCGGGGAUCGCGAAGAGCAACUCUAUUGGAUCGUGCGUGUCAUUGAGCUACCUCAUUUGUGGGUAGGUUCUUGCGGUGUCCUAGUGGGGACGAGGUUCGUGUAACACCUCUUAGCCGCCGAACCACCAAGUGUUGGUCGACACAACGGGGACGUAGCUUGGUGGCAACCAAGUGAACAUCGGGAGAAAAUCAUCGUGUCAACUUUGUUCUUCCCGUUGGUUUGCAAGUCCCUAACACAAGCUUGUUUUUUACAUUCAUAUAUUUGUGCUUGUGUAGUUGCUCUUGUAAUUAGUUAGCUUGUGUAGCUUGCUAGUUACCUUCUUGCUUGUGUAGCUAGAAGUAGUUCCCUUGCGUGACUAAUUUGGUUUGUGUAACCUUGUUAGUCACAUUGCUUAGUUUGUGUAGCUAAGCAAUUUGCGCUCUCUAAUUUGGCAUUAGUUGCCUUAUUAUUGAGCAUUGCUAGUGAGCUUAGGAGCUUUGUGCUUUUUGCUUACUAGUUGUGUAGGAGCUUCCCAGUUUGCAAAGUACUAGUUGCAUAGGUUUGUGUGACCUUGCUUCUAGAUUUGGUUAGGUGAACUCUUGCUAAGGUAGCACCUUACUUGCUUGUUUAGGAUCUUUUCAAGGUGUUAGAGAACUUAGAUAGAGGGGUAUAGUCUUGGCUAGACCGAUAGUUUUAAUUCCGCAUUUGUUUCGGUUAGCCGGCGCGAUAAAUUUAGAAAGGACUAUUCACCCCUCUCUAGUCCGCCAUCUCGACCCUUCACGGUGUCGUUGUCGCCGUCGACUAGUGGUGAAGCUAGAGCAAAUAAAAAGGUGGUGCAUUUCUUUUAUAAAAACAUAAACUCUGGCUAUAAUCAUGAUGAAAAAUUGAUUUACUUAAUGAUGUUUAAUUUUUUUUGGGUGUACGUGCACACACUGCCUUGUAUGUGGCUUCGCCACUGCCGUCGACUCCGGCGACGAUGGAUGUCCGUACGUGCGACGCUGGAGGAGACUAAGGUCACGACGUCGUCGGCGAGGUGGAGGCUCGGUGCUACAGCUGCUCGCCGAGGUGGUGCCGUGGCCGGUGCGCACGCCGCGGCUGCUGCCGCACGGUGAACGGCGAGGCGAGGGCGAAGAGCAGCAGGUGGAGGAGAGGUCGCGGCCGUGGACGUGGUGCUGCGUGCGCGCCCAACACGGCAGUCGUGUGGCUCCAUGGCGGCAGCGGCGUGGUCGCACCGUCGCGGCCAUGGCGGCCUUGGGGGCUGGGAAGGUAGGCAGAGGGGAUGCUGUGGCGGCUGGCGUGCGGAGUAGGUGAGGCGAGGCUGGUCGAGGGUCUUUAUAGCCAGGCGACUAGGGCUCGGCGCAGGGAGAGGCGUCCUUGCAGGUGGCCGUGAUCGUCUGAGUGCGUGCUCGCGGACACGCGGCCUCCAUCCGCGGCUCAUGUAGGUGAGCGAGCCGAGAAGGUUCGAGAAGCACUCGGCCGCGUUAGUCCGAGGCGUGGUCAAGAUGAGUCCGCACUGGCGUAGGCAGCAACGAUGGGAAAUGGAGCUGCGCCGUCGGAAGGGAAGAGGGAGCGCGUACGGUCGGAGGAAAAAGGAAACGACGCUGGCCGCUGGAUGGAAAAGAGACGGAGAUUCGGCGUCAUCCCGUGCGUGUGCUUUGCUCGUGAGAGGGUAGGGCUGGCUGCCCCUUGUGCUUAGCUGGGCUGGUUCAGUCCUCAGUCGGCUGCAUGGGCCAAGACCGAAAGGAGUGGCCUAGGAACAGCAGUGGAUACAUGUUGAGUGCAGUGCCGUGCAUGGUUGCUUGGCUAAAUACGUGGUUCACGUACAAACAAAGACACAGGAGCAUGCAGCUUGGUGCCACGUACUGCCACACCACGUGCAUGCACAGGAAUUAGGAGAUGGAAAUUAGGAAAGAGGGGGCCUGGUGAUUAGAGAUUAAAUAGGGAAUUAGGAGAAAACUACCUCCAAGCACAAAAAAAAGAACCAAACAUUCAUGCAUCUAACUAAACAUGGUGCAUAAAAAUAUUUGUAAAUCCAGUUCGAAGAAGAUGGGAGAGAGUUGGGGUUUGUGUUUUAGGAAAUAAUAAAUCAUAAGUAAUGCUGCAUGUUAAAUUCGAGUGCGGCUCGAAUUCAACCAAGGUUUUAAUUUUUCUCCGAAAACAUUUUAUUUGAAAACGUCGUUUGUCAUGUAGGUGAUCAAUCCAGGUGACAACGGUUUGUUGUAAAAAGUUUUUAAGAUCGGAUUUUGAAUUUGGGCAGGAAGGAGAAGCAUUUGACUUAAGUUCGACCUAACAAUUCACAUGCAACACACAUUCAAACAAAAUUUUUAACAAGUCGGGAUUUUUCUAUUACACAAAUUCUCGGAAUGUUACAUUGAAACUCUUCUGCAUUGUUUCCAAAAUAUAGAUGUGUUGAAAACAAACUCAUGAAACCCUACAGAGGAUGGUCUUAUCGGAGUCAUUGUAGAAUCAUGGGCAGUGACCAAGGAGAAAAUAAUUCGACCAAUGAAGAGAGUUGUAUGCAAAUAGUUAAAUUAAUUAGACCAGUGAGAGGAGCCGCAUGUGCUUAAAAAAGAUAAAAAUAAUUAUUCCUAGUUUAGAUAACUCUGAUUUUUAAAGAAUUUUUUCGGGUAAACUACGAUAAAUAGAUGGAGAGAGAGUACGUGCCAAGCACGCUUUCGGAUAAAGAAGUUCAAAAGGAGGAUGGUUGUAACAUCAGUCUUCCCAAUACUAGAAAUUAUAUAUAGUUGUUAUAUUUAUCAAUUUUGAUAGACACUUCAUAUAAAAAUCAUAGUUCAUGGAUAAUUUCUACAAAUCAAUAUUUUAUCAAAUCGCAUAUAUUCUACCUCCAUUCUCUCUGUCAAUCAUAUUCCUCUGCGUCUUGGUUCUCGUGUAAACAUGAUUUUGUCUUGGUUCUCGUGUAGACAUGAUUUUUAACUUAGACCUAGUUUGUAUGAUUCUUAUCUCUUUUCAAUAACUACUUUGUUACAUCAGCAAAAACACUAUAUGACAAUAUAAUUAAUGUUCAUAUAAACUAUGAUGGUUUCUGUAUUAAAAGUGUACUUAGUGCAUCAUCAUUCAUCAAUGAACAAUUGACAGCCAUGGACAUUAACUUCUCAGCAUACAAACUCUUAGUCUUAAAUGAAAUAGAGUGAAUUCCAUUGAGAAAUUUUAAGAUUUUCUUAACCUGGAGAAAGGCUUUGCGAGUAAGCAGUUCGGUAAAAAUACAUCCAGCGGCCCAAAUAUCCACCCCCAGGCCCCAGAUCCAUACUGCUUCGAGCCAAAUAAUAAUUCUGGUGCCCGGUAAGAACGUGCAAAGACCUACUUCAUCCGUCCUAUAAAUAAUUAUAUUUUUUACCUUUAUGAUUAAUAUUUGACUGUUCGUUUUAUUUCAAAAAAUUUUAAUAAAUAUUAUUUAUUUUUUCAUAACUUAUUUUAUAGUUAGAUAUAUUUUUAUAAUGAUGUAUUUAUUUUAUUAUUUGCAAAAAAACUUAAAUAAAAUGAAUGGUCAAAUAUAAAUCAUAUUAGUCAAAAAAUAUAUUUAUUUGUGGAACGGAGAGAGUACGCGUAAAAACAGUUAAAAGUCAGGUGCCUGCCAUCACCAGGGUAAAAUAAGAGGGCAUUUGGUUAAAGGUGCCGAAACUUUAACAGGUACUACAAUAUAUUUAUAACUAAAGUAUUUAGUGUUUAAUUAUAGACUAAUUAGAUUUAAAAAAGAUUGUCUUAUAAACUAUUUUCAGCUCUAUUUUUUGUUUGGCAAAUACUUCGUACAUACUCCCAGAUCCAUACUGUUUCUGGUGCCCGGUACGAAGGUGCAAAGACCUACGCGUAAAAACAGUUAAAAGUCACGUGCCUGCCACCACCAGAGUAUGUCCAAACAUGGAUAGAUGUUCAAAAAAAAAAAAACAGCACAAACUAACGAGGCCUAAAUCUAGUCUUCUAGUUACUAAAGGAAUGAAAUACAAGGGAAACUCUAAAUAACUGCUCAACACAGAGAAUUAGAGUUGGCCUUUGACUGCAUAGAAUGUUACUAAAUAGGAACUAUGAUGAGCAGAACUUCCAGUUCAGAUGACAAACAGCGAUGGUAAUUAUGUAAGAAAAAUGAUAUCCUUCACAAAUGAGUACUCCCAAAUAAAAUAAAUUUACUAACUGACACAGUUCCAAUUAUCACUGCUCUUGCAAGGAAGCUGCAUAGUCAACAAAUUUCGGCAUGCCAUGGUUUUUCGGGGCGCCGUCUAAGGCUUUCGGGAAAAAAAUUCAAGAUUCUCCGUCACAUCGAAUCUUGCGGCAUAUGUAUGGAGUAUUAAAUUUAGACGAAAACAAAAACUAAUUACACAGUUUACCUGUAAAUCGCGAGAUAAAUCUUUUGACCCUAAUUAGUCUAUGAUUGGACAAUAUUUACCACAAACAAACGAAAGUGCUACCGCAAAAUCUAAAAUUUUUGCCAGCUAAACAAGGCUUAAGUAGGAGUAAUCAUCCAUGCGACCAUGCCGGCACGCAGAUUUGAAAGUCCAGCAAUGCAGGAAUGCAGGGUAAGCAAAUGCAGCUUUUGGUAUUAGGAAUCAGGAUCCGGAAUUCAGCAUUGUUACACCGUGUAAAGCGAAACCAAUGAUGCAGAAUGGGAAACCACUUGAGCAGGUUAAUAUUUAUGGACAAGAAUGAAUGACAGUACUGAGACGUGUUUUAUGCCUAGCAAGCAGCGCUUGUUGCUCAUGCCAUCUGAAAGCAGCUCCACAAGGAAACCAAUUUUUUUGUCAGAAGUUAAACAGUACUACAAGAUAACUGGGGCACAAGUAGAGCAUUACGUGUGAUCUACUGAUGACAGAAUUAAGCCUAGAAAAAGCUUUCCCAAACAACAUGACCAUCAGGUUCCCGCCUCUUUAUCAGCUCCCACUGAAGGUAAGUUGGUGCCAACUGGGGCACAAGUAGAGCAUUACGUGUGAUCUACUGAUGACAGAAUUAAGCCUAGAAAAAGCUUUCCCAAACAACAUGACCAUCAGCUUCCCGCCUCUUUAUCAGCUCCCACUGAAGGUAAGUUGGUGCCAUUGGAAACCUCACAUAGUUGACGAGUUCAGAGCCCUCCGCCUUGUAAGGCGCAUUGCGUGGUGCAUCCUCGCCCUCCUCGGUGCUCUCCUUGGUAUAAGACCUGUACGGCUCCAUUCUGUGUACAGUUCGAUUUCUCCAAUAAUCGAUCAGCCUCAGUUGUUUGAUCAUCUCUUCCUGCUCAUUACUCAACACACUUUGGUUCCUAGGUGGAUUGAUCCCCAAAUCAUUUAAGCAACCUUUCUGGUAUUUAUUCAGGUUCCGCUGAUCUGGUUUGUUUUGUGGUACCUCAUAACUCUCAGGUCUUCUAUUGAUAGGGUAACUGAGCAAGGCAUUGUUCAUAACUUUUUUCUUCCAGCCAUCCACAUAUGGUAAUUUAUCCAGAAUUGCUCUGAACUCCUCAAAUGAUAACACAGAUCUGAUGGUCUCAUACAUCUUUUGGAAGAAAAAUGAGCACUGCGUCAAAGGAACCAACGAGGCAUGAACUGGAAACAUUGACCUGGACUCGAAUUCCCUCUCAAUUACAUUGAGCAGGUGCAAGAUAUCUUCAGGAAUGUUGUACUGUAUACCAGUUGGAGUAAUAAGCUUGAAGAGAUCUCGAAUAAUGUUAGCAGCACACUUGAAGUUUCUAUGGAGACGCCUCUUGAAUUCUGGACCUCUGCGAAGACAACUGAUAAUGGUGACAUUCUUGAAUUUCACUUUUCCUGUUUCAGUAAGUACAAUAUUAUCUUCAGUGAAAUCCUCAAAACAGAUUUGCAACGCUUCAUUGAUAACAAGGCCCUUGAGCAUAGUCCUGAUACAUUUCUUGCAGCGUUCGCUGGCAAUGGUAAAGCUUUUAGGGUCUUCAGUUUCCCCGGGCAAUGGAUUACAUCCAUCUUCAUCCAGCCCUACGAGAACAACUUUUGGAACGAGCAUGUGGUACUUCAGCUUGUACACCUUCAAGUCAAUGUAAUGUUCACAGUGUACUUGUCCAGACAUGACACACAGGUCAUAGGCUACAUACGGUAGGGUUCCUGCAGAAAAAAAACUACGUGAUUGACAGGAAUAGAAAUCAUCUAAAAAUAAGAUAGAAGUAUGGAAGUUAAUUUAAGAAGCCAGCGAACAGUAAAAACAUAUUUGCAAGCUAAAAGGUUAGUAGGUAGUGGUGUAAAGUGGCAUCAUUCAGAUUAUAAUGUUCCUAUAGACAGUUUAUAUCCAGCUAAGAAUAUAUCCCAAACACUAUGCAAUCUCAGAAUUUCAUGUAAAGCUGCUCACUUGAGAAACUUCCGGAUGGCACCCCCAGCAAGACGAACAAAUGAUGUUCAGCAUAUUUUACCAGCCUAGCAUGCUUCUGUAGUGUAGCCCUCAACACAGAUGUCUCCUACAGAUACAGAAUAAAGUGCAAGUUAAAUAAGGUAUGUGUGCUUCCAUCAAUUUUUUUUUGCAACUAGACUGUUACUUGUAACAACACUAGCAUUCAAAAUGGGAACCAGCACUUUCAGGAGAAUGAGUCAGUGAAGCAUUGGGGAGGGGGAACUUACAGGCAACACGUUGAGCACAAAAAGAGCGUGUCCCAAAACCAGAGCAUCUACAUCUUUAGGACUACAUAGAUACAAAAGGAUAUAUUAGUGAUCCAUUAGGCCUAUCAUAAAUAAAUAAAUAAAUAAAAACUAAUACAAACAACACAGGUAUAUGCAGGACGAUUGUAAGUGUACCUGUUCCCAAAGAGGUACACUUCAUCCUUAGUUAAUGUUUCAGACAACAUAUCAUAAACAGCCUCUGCCCUCCAAUAAAUCUGUUUAAAUAGAAACCUGCAUUAGGUUAGGUUGGCAGUAGCACCUAAAAAGAAAAAAGAAUAAUAAUAAGCAAACCACCUCUUGUCCCAAAUCAGCAGUUGACCUAUUCAACCUCGAACAUAGAUCACGUUUUUCAUCUCUUAGCCCCUUCCAGUGAAGAAUCUUCCGAAUUGGCCAAGCGAUAUCAGAGAAGUAGAUAUCAUUUGCAAUGCUUCCAUCACUAACUACCCACAGUUCAUACUGCAGGGCAUCAGCAAGCCAGGUCGAAACCAUGACCUUUGUGCGCUCAACAGAGGCUGAUUGUGUAAUCAGUUGGCUGCAUGGAGUUUAAGUCAAGAAUGCUGGUAUCCCUAAGAUAUUGAAUCACCCCUCCGCCCUCAUUGUUCAAAGCCACACAAUCUCCAAAUUCAACAUACGGUAUUUGCUCUGCGCAAAAAACAAAACGCAGUGAACUUAUCAGCAGGGGGCGAAAAAAUCCCAACCAGAACAGUGACCUAGCACACAAAUGCAGAUCCAGCAGCGACAAGUGAUUCUGGCAACAACUAUCUAGCAACAAGGGUAGACAGAUGCAACUAUGGAAGAGCACCAAGCAAUUCUGGCAACGACCACCUAGCAACAAGGGUAGACAGAUGUAACUAUCCAGCAGCAACUAGUGUCGAUCCAGUAGAGCAUCAAAUGAUCUACCUAGCAACAAGGGUAGCAACAAGAUGCAAAUAUCCAUGUGGAUCUAGCAACGUCAUGAUAUAACAUUAAGGCACAGUAAACAGUGGAUGAGAGGAGGUGGGGACUGGGGAGAUCACCUGCGUUUGGGUUGCAGGUGUCCACUUCGAGGUCGAAGGGAACAUCAGCCAUUCUGAGGUAGAGAAGUACGGUUAGGCACAUCGGGCAAGCGGUGGGGAGUCGGAAGCCUGGCUUCCGCACAACCAAAGUCUUCCGCGGCGCCGCCUCCCACUCGCGCGCCACAGGACCAGCACCCGCGGCCCUGGCCGCCACGGCCAACUUCGCGGCCAUGGGCCCGGCAGCAUUAGACGUCCCCCACUCCUUGACCGUGGCAGCGACCAUGGACGCGGCCCCAGCCGCCAGUACUUUGAGCCCCAAAUCCGCGGCCGCGGACCAGGUGACCGCCUCCACGACCGCGGACCCGGUCACCGCCUCCAGGGCCACGGACCCGGUCACCGCCUCCCACUCCGCGGCCGUGAACCCAGCCGCCGCGGCCGCCACGGCCAUGGCACCCGCCGCCGCCACCGAUGGCAUUGGCUGGCUUCUGAGUAGGGUUUAGGUUCGGGACUUCGUCUCGGUUUGCCCUGAAUCCGAUUUCAAGAUGGAGGGUUAAAAAAUCAGGGCCCAGAUAACCACAAAGCCCAGUGUGUGUGUGGUGAUAAUCCAUCACUAGCGCGAUAGGACGCUUCGCAAUUCUCACGGUGCUUUCAUCCGUACAACCAGCUAAUCAUCUGUUAAAGACGAGCCCAAAGCUGAUAGGCUGAUUUGUUUUAGGCCCUGUUCGUUUUGCCUCCAAAACGAAGGUUAUUGGGAAGCAUUGAGGCCCUGUUAGUUUGAUCCAGGGCCAAGGGGAUUGAGAGAAAUCGAGGGGAAAUUUACGAGUCAAAAUCUUCGUCAACACUCUCCAAUCCCUUUGAUUUUGAUUUUAAAAGGGAGAUCCAAAACCAAAUGAGUUGGAGGGGAUUGAAAGGGCCUAUAUUGUAAGUCAAAAUCCUCGUCUAACCCAUUCAAUCCCUCCAAUCUCAAGAUCAAGCGAAGUCCCCUCCAAUCCUCAUGAUUUAAGGAUGGAAAUAAACAAACAAAUAAAGAAACUAAAAAAACAUUGUUGUUCAAAAAAAAAAGUAAGCACAAGUAGGCAGAUGGAUAUUAUCAUACCAACGAUAAAUCUCCCUGAGGCCUUCUUGUUGGGUUUUGAUCCACCAUAGAGGACCCUGAUGGAUGGAUCGGAAGCCGGAAGGCCGCCCUGCUGCUGGCUGUACAGCCCGACCGACGGGCCGUGCAACCCAUCUUCCUGGCAAAGGUCAACCGGAGAGGCCAGACAACCGGCCGGGCCGAUCCCCGAUGAUGACCAUGGCACUUGAGAAGACUCGGCAAGAGCCUCUUCUUCCUCCUCAUCGUCUUCUUGUUUUGAUGGGUAUAUGGAUGCAAAGAAGAGGACGACUGCUGGAGAUGAAAGAGGUGGGGGGGGGGGGGGGGGGGUGGGGAGGGGAUUGUUUGGGGGCAAGGGUGGAACAGCUUAGGGAGGGGAUAUAAGUAGAGGAUGAGGAGCGUCCGGGACCGGCCUUUCCCAUAAAACCAGGGCCGUCGGUAGAGUAUAAUUAAUAAUAACAACAACUGAUAGAUCACGCGACACGACACGCGUGCAUAUCGAUUCGUUUCCGCCAGCGCGGCGCACGGUCCACAUCAAGGCCCCCCACCUUUGAAAAAGAGGGCCCGAUGGAGACGGCGACGGCUGCGGUAACCCAAGCGGCCACGUCUCGUCUGGUCUCCUCUCCUCUCCUCUCCUCUCGUCCGGCCCGUCCCACUCCGACGCGGACCCAUCCAAAUUUAAAGAUGGUCCAGGCCUGCUCGGCUAGCGUUCAGCCCAUCCAAAUCCAAAUUAAAGAUGGUCCACGCAGGCACGCACGCACCCCACCACGGACGGAUCCGACGAGUUGCAUUUUAUGGCGUUUUCCCUUUGGAUUUGGACGCACCACCGCACCAAUGCACGGCUUUCCUUCCCUCCACAGUCCACACCAACAACGACCACCGCAUUUUCCCGCCCCAGGACCCGUAGUCGUCGCACGUGUCAAAAGGUAUGGCCGGGCGCCGGCCAUUCCCUCGGUUCCUCCGCCCCUGCUCCCGCUACGCCAACGACUUCGGCCUUGUUUAGAUAAAAAAUUUUACAAGAGCACGAAUAUUAAAUAUAGAUAAAAAAACUAACUAUAUAGUUUAUCUGUAAAUCAUGAGACAAAUUUUUUAAGCCUAGUUACUCUAUGAUUGGACAAUGUUCUAAAAAGUUUUUAAAUCUAAACAAGGCCUUAGUUUACCAAGAAAAUCAAAAAAGUUUUCAACACAUUGAAUCUUGUGAUACAUAUAUGAAGCAUUAAAUAUAGACAAAAAUAAAAAACUAAUUAUACAGUUUAACUGUAAAUCGCGAGACAAAUCUUUUAACUCUAAUUAGUCUAUAAUUGAACAAUAUUUAUCACAAACAAGCAAAAGUGCUACAAUAACAUCCAAAAAAUUUUCACAUUUACAAAACACGGACAUGUGCUGGUCAACAGGAGUUUACUGUUCAGUUUACAAAACAAUUGAAUUUUAAAAAUAGUGUAGAAGAGUUUUAUUUCUAUAAAACUAUCUCUAUUUUUAUAAAACCAUCAUCUCUACUUCUUCAUCAAUAUAAUGUCAUAUUAACAUAUUUAAUGUGCAUAAAAUUUUCAUGAAACCUCCAUCUUAUUUACCAAAUUUAUUAGUCAUUAAAUAAUAUUUUCUCUCAACUGAAAUUGUUAAGUCAGACAUUAGACCAAUCUUAGUGGCCCGUUUAAUGCACUGUUUCCAAAAUAAAUCCGCUGACAGGGCAACAAUGAAACGAAUAAUAAAACAACCUCCACAAAGCAUGAGUUUCACCUUGACAUUUCCUAGGCUGGGCAAAGCAUUUAAUUACUGCAAAAUGAUUGGAUCACAUGUAAGAUGGUGAAACGAUUUAGCCCUCAAUGGGGACUUCAUCCCGUUUCACCGCGUGGGAAACAACGUCCGCGGAAUUUCACUAUGAUAAAACUACUUCCUUCUCUCUCCUUUUCGUUUCAUGCAAAAAGUGUAAUUUUACUUACAUGACGCUCUAAUAAAUGUGCAUGACAUACUAGUGAAACCCCCCGCUCAGACUGACUUUAUUAUCACAUAAACAUGAAAAGUAGCGAUCUUCAUCAGUUCUAUAAAUGCUAAUCAGAUGAGUACCUGGUGACAACACGACCGCCGUAGCCUCUUCGGUAGCUGAGUAUUUGCUAUAGGACAUGUUUAGAUCUAUUUUUUUUAGAUUUUGAACAUUGUAAUAUUUUUGUUUGUAUUUAUAAUUAUUGUCUAAAUAUAUAAUAAUUAGGUUUAAAAUAUUCGUCUCGUAAAUUACAGACAAAUUGUAUAAUUAACUAUUUUUUAUCUAUAUUUAAUAUUUUAUACACGGGUCUAAAGAUUCGAUGUAAUAAAAAAUCUUAUAAACUUUUAGAAUUUUAAAGAUAUCUAAAUAGGUCCAUAGUCUGCAAAAAAUGAUUCAUCUGAAAACCCUGUAAGGCUGCAAGAAUUUAUAUCCUUCACUGUUAGAUAGGAUACAGAAAAAUCCUGAAAAUAUUAAUAGCAAGUCAACAACAUACAGUACCAUCAAAAAAUAAUGGCACACAGCAUUUCUCAGUACGUAAAGAUAGAUCAAUAAUAGUUUGUUGGUUUGAGAUUAUCUACCAAAUCUGUCAGUCAUUCAGAAGUGUUCAGCAAAUAAUAUUUUUAGUCAUAACUAUUCAAGAGUGUAACAAAUAAUAUUUGCAAGCGACCAAGCUGAAAAAACUAGUAAGACCCAUGCGGCAAAUGCCGCGGGCGCUAGGCAGCUACUAUUCUAGCCAAUUAAACAAUAUUGAGAUAUGUGCAGCAGAAAAGAGAGUACAAAAUACUAGGAAAGAAAGUGCUAGUGCUGAACACGUAAGAGAGAGUGUGUAUUGCAACACGAAUCUUAAAACACUUUUGAAUGGUGGAAGAUAAGCACCACUAAACAGCCACAUGCUACGAUACAUUAUCGCAAAUAACUAGUGAUCUUGGAAGAAUGGUCAUAUUUAUUCUUUAUUAUUGUAUAAAAGGAGCAUCAGAAUAACAAACGUAGUCGAAAUAAUAAUUAAUGUUCAAAGUAUUACAAAAUAGAAAUCAUGAAAAGAUCAAAAUCGCCUAUGAACAGGUAAUCUAUAGUAGGUACAACCUAAGCCCUAUUCUUUCUAUUUGAAGUAGGCGAAGCAUCAGAAUUUACAGGACACUGUGAUAAUAUGGUCUUGUUUAUGCUUUGUUUACUUCCACCUAAAAAUUCAAAAUUUUUCAAUAUUCUCCGUCACAUCGAAUCUUUAGACGCAUGUAUGGAGUAUUAAAUGUAAAUAAAAAUAAAAACUAAUUGCACAGUUUGGUCGAAAUUGACGAGACAAAUCUUUUAAGCCUAGUUAGUCUAUCGUUAGACAAUAAUUACCACAAACAAACAAAAAUGCUACAGUGUCGCAAAAAUUUUUCCUUCACGAACUAAACAAGGCCUUAAUUCAUCCAAAAAACCAAAAAAUUUUAAGAUUUCCUGUCACAUCGAAUCUUACGGCACAUGCAUGGACCAUUAAAUAUAAUCAAAAACAAAAAACUAACUAUACAGUUUGCCUGUAAAUCGCGUAUAACACUCCAAAUUUUUGAAUUUCAAAUUCAGUUCAAAUUUGAUUUAAUUUUGGCUUAGUUUGAAUUUUUAGAGAAUUAUUAAAUAAUUUACAAAAUUAAUUAAAAUAAAAUAUAAGGUAGAAACGUGUUUGAUUUUUGCAUUCAUGCUGCUGCAUAAUUUUGAUUGAUUUGAUUUAUUUAUUUUGCUGAUGCUUGUUUUGUUUUGUUUUGGAGCAAGAAAAUUUAAAAAAAAAAGAGAAAGGGGAGAGCCCCCGCCUGGGCCGACUUCCGGCCCAGCACCCCGCGCCCCUCCCCUCUCCCCUCAUGCCCAAGUGGGCCGCGGCCCAAGCCGCACGGCAGCGGCCGGCCCCGCACUCACCCCCCGCUGCUCCCGCCCGCAGUCGCUGACGCGUGGGCCCCGCGAGUGGGACCCACCGCCUUCUUCCACCUCCGGCCGGGACGGACUCGGGGCGCAACCGACGCCCCGGUUUCCGCGCGCGGCGCCCCCAAUCCGAGCCGCACGCGCCCCAAGGAUCGUCGUGCCUUUAAAUAGCCCCCAGCCGCCGCUCGCGAACCCCCCCUAGAACCCUAGCUUCGAAAUCCGCGCCGCCGCCGUUCUCGCCAAGCUCGCGCCGCCGCCGUUGAAACCGCCGCCGUCGAGCUUCUCUUUGACUUCGUCGUUUCGCGGAGGUGAGCUCGUCAUCGCGCUCGUCGUGACGCGCCGACCCCGCCCGUGCCCUCGGCACGCUCCCCCGUGCCCUGCAGCACCGCCGCCGAAGCUCCGGGCGGCGCCAAUGGCGCCACCGCCGCCGCCGGCCGCCCCUGCGCUCCGCACCGGCGCGCGGUCCACCGUGGACCGCGGCCCUGCGCCCCCGUGCGGCCGGUCCACUGGACCGGGUCCAGGAGGCCGCCCCCCGCCGCUCCGCAGGCGCGGUCCACCAUGGACCGCGGCCUUUCCCCCCCCCCCCCGCGCCCCGGUCCACAGCACAGUGCCGUGGACCGGCCACUCCCGAGCCGCCACGUGGCCGAGCCGGCCAGCACCCACGCGCGCCCCUGCACGUUUUGCAAAAAGGCCCCUGUUUUUAUUUAAAAUUAACCCGCUAUCCUAUGCAGUUUAAAAUAAUUAUGUUUAUGCCCUUAGUUUUCGCAGUUUAACCCCUGGCUCGGUUAGAAUUUAUUUAUUUAGUCCAAAAUGAGUUUUAAUUCAGUUUUUAAUUAGUUUUAAUUACGAAAAAUAGUUCAGUUUAUCUACAGAAAUGCCAUUCAACUUGUUUUAGCCAUAACUUUUGCAUCGUGACUCCGAUUUAGGUGAUUCUGGUCGCUAUGGUUUCGUUUCGUCGAGUAGAAUACAGUAAUGCAGUUGCUUUUUGUUUCCGCAUGCUUUGGUGUACUGUUUCUGAUUAAGUUUGUUUGCUUGCAUGUAUUGUUCCUAUGAUUGAUGAUUGUCGCGUAUAGCCAACGAGACGUUCGUGAAGGAAGAGGUUCAGGAUCCCGCUGAGUUCGAGCAACCCGACUUCGAUCAAGGCAAGUGCAGACACCGUUUGAUCAUUUUGAACCUACUCAUUAAUGCCAUUUACUUUAUAUGCAUGUGUCCAAUGAAUGCAAACCCUAAGGACAUGACUAGCUUUGCUUAUUAUUCCUUGCUCACCUGGGGUUAUGUAUUUGGGUAGACUAGGCUAUACUAGGUCUGCUUAGCUGCUCUACUCAUCUUAUACACAUGUCUAAACAAGAAUUACUCUCUCUCUACUUAACUUGAUGCUUAAACUGUGCUGAAUCUUUGGUCACUGCGGUGAUGGCGAUGUUGGAUGCUUGCGAGCAUCGUGAUGAUGGUGGUGACAGGGGGAGCGGGUACCGUUGGUGGUCCGGUUUGCCGGGCGUACCCGUCUCUGCUCUCCGUAAGGACUUAGUCAGGGAGCGGCCCCCCUGGGACUUACAGUGCAGCUCCAAGCUAUAUGGCUCUGGCUUGACUAAUUAGCAGGACCUCCACUAGUAGGGUGUUACUUUCCGGGUAGGCGUGAGGAAGUAACUUGGGUAAUGAAUAUUAAGUUGUCGGUUGAUCGGUACGCCAUGGCUAUGGGUAUCGACUGCCGAGCGCCCCGACAAAAACUUGCGAGUGGCAUCCUAUUAGUUGGACCCUGUGAAAGGUCUCGUAGUGAGACCCUGCCUGCUCACCUUGGAAGUGUUUUGGGGAGUCGCGACCCCGGGCAAAUGGGAAUCACGACUUGGAGUGAACGUGCACACCUCUGCAGAGUGUAAAACUGAUAUAUCAGCCGUGCUCACGGUCACGAGCGGCCCAGACCCUCACUUGAUGAGCAAAUUGGAUUCACUGGUUACUUGGAGAUGGACCUUGGCGAGGUUGCUACCUCGUGUUUUGGCGGAAUGGCUAUUCCGUGAUGGCAGGAUUGCUAUCCUGUGGUAAUAAUUGGGGUUAAUCCCUGGAUUACUAUAAUAGUUAGGAUAGUCAUUUAAAAGAUGCUAAUUACUACUUACACUAAUUAAGGGUUGGGUUUAUACUACUCAUAUUUAGUAAUAGGUUGUUCUAGUAAUUGUUAUAAUUAAAAGCGAUCAACUAAAAUGCUACCGCAGUCAAACCAAGUCAACUUUACCUUGUUUUAAGCCUUGCAUGUCAUUACUUUCCGUCUGUGCUUGCUGAGUUCGACAUGAGCUCACCCUUGCUAUAAUCAUUAAAGGUUGCUCGGACGAUCAGGAGUACAAUUGCGAUUUCCCUGAGGACUACCCUGAGUCUCCUGGUUGUUAGGCUCGUGUGGUUCUGCCGUCGACCUUCCUGUGGCAAGGUGGUCCUGCUACGUCGGCGUUUAGUUUUCCCUUUAUUUAUGGAACAGUUUAGUUUAUGUUUCCCCUCCGCACUUUGAUAAACAUUUGGCUUGUAAUAAUGGUACUUUUACUCUCAUUUAUGUAAUUCGUUUGAACACUGUGUUUUGUACCAUUGAUGAUGUCGGUCCAUGUGUGUGAAUUUGAGAUCCUGGCGCACAUGUGAUUUGGCACCCGAAUGCUCUUUUACAUCCGGGUGUGACAGAAGUGGUAUCAAAGCCGUGUUGACCGUAGGAUCACGCAGCCUAGUUAGAAACAGCCGUUUAGACUGUCCCUUUUGGGUGGAAUACACAAUUGGAUCUAUUAACUACCUUACUAACCUGUCUCAUUAGACUUUAUCUAUUAGCCUUGUCUACUUACUUUUACUAACAGUUCAGUUUAUUCACUUAUUUCUUGCAUUUAUUACCUUGUUAUCAUUUAUUGCUUUCUAUUUCUCAUAUUGCAUUUAUAUUCUUGUUUCAACUUUUACUACUUGUUAUUUGAACCUUUCUUUUAUACCUUGUCAUUUAUUAUCAUUCUACUCAUAUUACCUUCUUGUUCCUUGUUUUUCAUUUAUUACUUGAGUUAUGUUUUAUUUCUGCCUUGACAAUAAAUUUCAUUACCUUGUUUUCACUUUAUACCUUCAUUACUUGCUUUUAUAUCUUACCAUAAAUACCACCAAAGUUCAUAUUGUCCAUCCAUUGUAUAAUCUGGGUUCAUCUUCAUUACACAUACACUUUUACCUUCAUUUAUGUUAUUCCUUUUACCUAUCAUUGUCAUGAUCUAUUAACCGUUUCCUGCAUGUCUAUGAUCUUAUGCAUAAGUAGAUGACUCGCCACCUGACCUGCCGCAAGAGCGUUAUCCGUUUCCGCCCCGUUCAAGCUGUGGAGUUCUCGUUGACUGGUCGCGUGGAUAACAUCGUGUUCCAGCCUAACCAGCAUCUUGAUGACGGUGCUAACCUCCAAGACGCGGAACCCUAUGAAGGACAGCAACCACCUCAAGCUCUGGUGGUGCAUGGAAGGGCGCCUUGCUGGGCACCUGGAGGAGAUGAUCCCUUCGGUGAUGAUGACAUGGAUGAUGAUGAUGAGGAUGAUGAUGAUGAUGAGGAUGCACCCGGAGGACCCGGAGGACCCGGUGGACCUGGAGGUCAAGAUGGACUUUUUGCUGCUGAUGAUGGGUGGAUUGUGACAGUCUGCACCAGGGAUGGUGGAGAGUGUUUCUUCCACAGCGAGCUGAAGCGUCUCCUUGACCAGCAGCUGGGACAUGGCAUGUUCUCAGUGGAGUACCGCAGUGAGCACUGGAGUCACCCAGACUACCCGGCGUACUGGAAGGUCUGGGCACACGUCGGCAGGCCUAACCCGACGUUGAGGGCACUGAGGAUCAUGUCCAUACAUGAGGCUGUGGCUGAGAGGUCUACCCAGAUGGCAGGCAUUAAUGAUGCUGCUCGCCAGGCUUUCUACGCAUACCGUGAUCACUUCUUCGAGGAGAUCAGCCAGGAUGAGCGUCGCUACUACCCUCGCCGUCGCCGUGGAGAGUUGGCGAUGACUAUUGCUUCCACCACUGAUGAGCAAGACCCCCGCAUGCACAGGACUGUCAAGCUGGUGGCGGUCACUAACACCGAGCUCAACAGUUCACUAGUGGAGUUGAAGCAAGUCAGGAAGGAGUUGGACGACGCCAGGAAGAGGAUAGCACAACUGGAGGCUCAGAUCACUGGAGUGCCACCGCCUUCACCUAAGUGGCCUGCUUUCUCUCCGCCUCGUGAAGAUCCAGCCUAUGGGGAUGCCAGCGCUCGUACUACUAUAGAAUAGGAGCUAUUCCCAACUUAGUAAUAAAUAGUGCCACGCUUAGAACGUUAGCACGAUCUUAGCUAUGCGAGUUUAGUGCUUAGUCGUUUGCUUAGUGUGCUUUGCUUGGUCUGUGUGAGAACUUGAUUUAUUAUUGUGUUAAUGGUGUGAUUUGGUUCUUUGUAAUGAGUGCGAUGAGUGGUGGGUUAUGUCCACAACGCAUCAAGAAUAAGAUUAAGUAUUAAGUUUAUUUGAGAUAGUUUGGGUUAUCAUCGGUCUCCUUUAUUUGUGCCUUAUCAUAUUUCAUAUCGCUUUAUCUUAUCAGUCUUACACUAUCAUGAUCAGUUCAUUAUCUAUAUAUUACAUCUGUUGUGAGUACUGUGUUUAUCAACUGAGACAGGAAAGUAACUAUCAGCUGGGUCAUACUUUGGGGAAAGAUUAUUACAUUGCAGUUUACAUUACAGCUCAGGUUUACACAUAUGAACUACAUCUGAUUUUAUUAUUUCUAUAUAUCAGAUGCCUGUCCACACCAGGAGCAACACCAAUGGAGGAAACAAUGGACAGUCCAACAACAACAACAAUGAUCAGAGCGGGACUAAUGCCAACCCUCCUCCUCCGGGGAAUCAGCCCAUGACCAUAGAACAGUUGAUGACUAUGCAGACUCAACUGAUGCAAGGGAUGGCUCAUAUUAUGAACCACAUGCAGCAGAACCAAAACCAGAAUCAGAACCAACACCAAGGAGGUAACAACGCGUUUGCCCCACCUAGGGACAAGCGUGGAGAGUUCAUGAAGGGACGUCCACCGUUCUUCUCUCACUCAGCUGAUCCUAUGCAAGCUGAGGAUUGGCUUAAAGCUGUGGAGAAGCAGCUGGUUAUUGCUCAGUGCAAUGACAGGGAGAAAGUUCUGUAUGGCUCUGGGCAGCUUCAGGGAGCCGCACAGGACUGGUGGGAUUCAUAUUGCUUUGCACAUCAGGACCCGGAUACUAUCACUUGGGAUGAGUUCAAGGUCGCCUUCAAGACUCAUCAUGUGCCUGCUGGAUUGGUGAAGUUGAAGAAGAAGGAGUUUCUGUCUCUGAAGCAGGGCUCCAUGACAGUUUGUGAGUACCGUGACAAGUUCACUCAGUUGUCGCGGUAUUGCCCCAAUGAAGUGGAGAAUGAUGAAGACAAGUAAGAUCACUUUCUGGAAGGUUUGAAUGAUGGUCUGUCCUACAUGAUGUCGAAUGUCAAGUACGCCAGUUUCCAGGAGAUGGUGGACAGGGCAUUGGUGCUUGAGAGCAAGCGCCGUAAGAUGGAGGACAAGAAGAGGAAGUAUAACUCCUCUCAGCAGCAGGCUGGUGCCAGUUGUCCCCGCUACAACAACCAGCAGGGCCCUCAGUCUCGCCCUGCAUAUCAGUCAGGCAACCAAGGACAGCAACAGAAUGUCAGGUACAGCAACCAGAGUCAGCAGACGAGCCAGCGCUACAACAACAACCAAGUGCAGCGCCCCGCUAGUCAGGCGCCUCGCCAGAAUGCCCCAGCACCAUCAGGCUCUCGCCAGAACUCCAACACUGUCCCAAUGAAGCCCAAUGUCAAUCCCGCCCCCACUGGAAAUACCUGCUUCAAGUGUGGUCAGCUUGGACACUACGCGAAUGCGUGCCCCCAGAGGCAGAGGAAUAACAACAACAAUGGAAGGGUGAAUCAUGUGAAGUUGGAAACUGCGGAGGAGGCUCCAGAUGUGGUAGUUGGUAUGUUUCUUGUCAACUCUUGCCCAGCUACUGUUUUGUUUGAUACUGGAGCAUCACAUACUUUUAUAAGUGCACAGUUUGUUGAGAAACAUAGUAUAGCCACCUGUACCAUGCAAAACACCAUGAUAGUUAAAUCACCUGGGGGAAAGAUGCAUACUAAUACUUUGUGUCCAGAAAUGAGCAUUAAAAUAAGGGGGGUAGAUUUUCCUGUCAAUCCCAUUGUGUUGGGUUCAGAAGGUUUAGAUAUGAUAUUGGGAAUGAGAUGGUUGUCCAAGUUUAAGGGUACUAUUCAGUGUGCUGAGAAGACAGUGGCUCUAACCGCACCUAGUGGGAACAGAAUUGAGGUCAGAGUUUCUAUGUCACCUAGUAGUGAAGGAACAAUUUACCAUCUGAGCAGUGGGUCAGUAGAAGAUAUUCGAGUUGUGAAAGAGUUCCCUGAUGUGUUCCCAGAAGAUUUGCCAGGUAUGCCACCUGAACGUGAGAUUGAAUUUGUUAUUGAUUUAUUACCUGGUACUGCACCCAUAUCUAAGAGACCUUAUAGAAUGGCUGUUAAUGAGUUAGAAGAACUUAAGAAACAACUAAGGGAGUUACAGUCUAAGGGGUAUAUCCGUCCUAGUUCCUCACCUUGGGGAGCUCCAGUUAUCUUUGUAGAGAAGAAGGAUGGGACACAGAGGAUGUGUGUAGACUAUAGAUCUUUGAAUGAGGUCACCAUUAAGAAUAAAUACCCUUUGCCUAGAAUAGAGGACUUGUUUGACCAGUUGAAAGGAGCUUGUGUGUUUUCCAAAAUAGAUCUGAGGUCAGGUUAUCACCAGUUGAGGAUUAAACCUAGUGAUAUUCCAAAGACUGCUUUCACCACCAGAUAUGGACUUUAUGAGUAUACAGUUAUGUCUUUUGGAUUGACGAAUGCUCCAGCUUACUUUAUGUAUCUGAUGAAUAAAGUUUUUAUGGAGUAUUUGGAUAAGUUUGUGGUAGUCUUUAUUGAUGAUAUCUUGAUCUACUCCAAGACUGAGGAAGAACAUGAGGAACACCUGAGACUUGUGUUGCAGAAAUUGAGGGAACAUCAGCUCUAUGCCAAGCUGAGUAAGUGUGACUUCUGGUUGAAGGAAGUGUCUUUUCUUGGUCAUGUCAUUUCAAAUGGUGGAGUUGCUGUUAGUCCGAAGAAUGUGGCAGAUGUUCUUAAGUGGAGUCCACCUCAGACUGUUGGGGAGAUCAGAAGUUUUCUUGGAAUGGCCGGUUACUAUCGGAGAUUCAUUGAGGGAUUUUCCAGUAUUGCCAAGCCCAUGACUGCUUUGUUAGAGAAGGGUAAGCCAUUCAAGUGGAAUGAACAGUGUCAGGCUAGUUUUGAGGAAUUGAAGAAGAGGUUGACUACUGCACCAAUUUUGACUUUGCCAGAUGUGACUAAAAGCUUUUCCAUCUAUUGUGAUGCUUCCAAGCAAGGUUUGGGAUGUGUACUGAUGCAAGAGGGAAAGGUGAUUGCCUAUGCAUCUAGACAGUUGAAGAAACACGAGGUGAAUUAUCCAACUCAUGAUCUUGAGUUAGCAGCUGUGGUCCAUUCACUGAAGAUCUGGAGACACUAUAUUCUGGGUCAUAAGUGUGAUAUCUACACGGAUCACAAGAGUCUGAAAUACAUCUUCACUCAGAAUGACUUAAACCUGAGACAGAGAAGAUGGUUAGAGUUGAUCAAGGACUAUGAACUGGAGAUUCAUUACCACCCUGGCAAAGCUAAUGUAGUUGCUGACGCUCUGAGUAGAAAGAGUCAAGUGAAUAUGAUGGAAGCCACGGAGUUACCGAUGGAACUACUGGCAGAAUUUGAGUAUCUCAAUUUGGGGUUUGUUGCUAAUACCCAAGGUACUUCCAUGGACAUAGAACCAACUCUUGAGCAAGAGAUCAGAAAAGGUCAGAAAGAGGAUGAAGAGAUCAAAAAGAUACUUAAGCUGAUAGAGGAAGGUAGAGCACCUGGAUUCAAAGUUGAUCAAGAAGGGAUUGUUUGGCACAAGGACCGAUUGUGUGUCCCUGAUAUUCAGAGAAUUAAGGAUGUGAUACUGAAGGAGUGCCAUGAAUCUGCUUACUCUAUUCAUCCAGGAGGUACUAAGAUGUAUCAGGACUUGAAGCAAAACUAUUGGUGGCCUGGUAUGAAGAAAGAUAUUGGUGAAUAUGUGGCAUUGUGUGACACCUGUCAGAGAGUGAAAGCGGAACAUCAGAGGCCAGCAGGGUUGUUGCAACCGUUGAAGAUACCUGAGUGGAAGUGGGAUGAGAUCAGCAUGGACUUCAUAGUGGGAUUGCCGAAAACUCAACGAGGUUAUGACUCAAUAUGGGUUGUAGUAGAUCGAUUGACCAAGGUAGCUCAUUUCAUACCGGUCAGAACUAACUACCGUGGGGAUCAGUUAGCAGAAAAGUAUAUGGAACGGAUUGUGUGUCUGCAUGGAGUUCCUAAGAGGAUUGUGUCUGAUAGAGGUACACAGUUUACAUCAAAGUUUUGGGAGAAGCUACAUGAUGCUUUGGGAACCGAGCUCAGAUUCAGUACUGCUUAUCACCCUCAGUCCGAUGGUCAGACAGAGAGAGUCAACCAGAUAGUAGAGGAUAUGCUCAGGUCUUGUGCUUUACAGUAUGGGGAUAGUUGGGAUGCUAGUUUGCCCUACGCUGAGUUCUCCUAUAACAACAGUUAUCAGACUAGUCUUAAGAUGACUCCUUUUGAAGCCUUGUAUGGAAGGAAGUGUAGGACUCCAUUGUUCUGGUACCAGACUGGUGAAAGGCAAGUGUUCGGCCCUGAUUCAUUGAGAAUAGCCGAAGAAAGAGUUCAAUUCAUCCGACAGACUCUGAAGGCAGCUCAGUCUAGACAGAAGAGUUAUGCUGAUGUGAGACGAAGGGAACUUGUAUUUCAGGCAGGUGAUUAUGUAUACCUGAAAGUGUCUCCGAUGAGAGGUCUAAAGAGGUUCAAUGUUAAGGGAAAGCUAGCUCCAAGAUACGUUGGUCCUUUCAAGAUCUUGGAAAGAAAAGGAGAAGUGGCUUAUGAGCUUGAAUUGCCUGCCAGCUUAUCCAAUGUGCACAAUGUCUUCCAUGUCUCCCAAUUCAAGAAAUGUUUGAGAGUGCCUGAGGAACAGUUGCCACUAGAGGAACUGGAUUUACAGGAGGAUCUAACUUAUGAAGAGAGUCCUAUCAAAGUUCUGGACACAGCGGAGAGAAUUACCAGGAGUAAAACUAUCAGGAUGUGUAAAGUACAAUGGAAACACCAUUCCGAGAAAGAAGCAACCUGGGAAAGAGAAGAUGAUCUAAUAUCCAAAUACCCUCAGUUAUUCCCUGGUUCAUCCUAAUCUCGAGGACGAGAUUCUUUUAAGGGGGGUAGGUUUAUAACACUCCAAAUUUUUGAAUUUCAAAUUCAGUUCAAAUUUGAUUUAAUUUUGGCUUAGUUUGAAUUUUUAGAGAAUUAUUAAAUAAUUUACAAAAUUAAUUAAAAUAAAAUAUAAGGUAGAAACGUGUUUGAUUUUUGCAUUCAUGCUGCUGCAUAAUUUUGAUUGAUUUGAUUUAUUUAUUUUGCUGAUGCUUGUUUUGUUUUGUUUUGGAGCAAGAAAAUUUAAAAAAAAAAAGAGAAAGGGGAGAGCCCCCGCCUGGGCCGACUUCCGGCCCAGCACCCCGCGCCCCUCCCCUCUCCCCUCAUGCCCAAGUGGGCCGCGGCCCAAGCCGCACGGCAGCGGCCGGCCCCGCACUCACCCCCCGCUGCUCCCGCCCGCAGUCGCUGACGCGUGGGCCCCGCGAGUGGGACCCACCGCCUUCUUCCACCUCCGGCCGGGACGGACUCGGGGCGCAACCGACGCCCCGGUUUCCGCGCGCGGCGCCCCCAAUCCGAGCCGCACGCGCCCCAAGGAUCGCCGUGCCUUUAAAUAGCCCCCAGCCGCCUGUGGCAGAACCACCCUAAUUAUAUGGCCCACAUGCACUUGACAUUGUCCUUAAGACCUCUGACUACUGCACAUGAGAGUCAUAUAACUUGGAUAGUCUGUCGGGUGCCCUCGGAGGACCCCGAAUCAUCCACAUUUUAACUCGUACAGGAUCAACAUGGAGUUACCACAACAUUACAACAUUUGUUACAAAAAUAACUUACAUCAGAGUGCGGAAGAUUUAUAACUUAAUUUACAACAUAUGAUGAAGUAUAAACUUAACUAAAUUUCCAAAAGGUGUAUAGAGUAGCGGAAGCAUCUUAGGUGAAGCUUCUAAGGUAGAAGAGGUGGAUAAAUCAUGUCGCGCCCACCGACACGACCACCAUUAGCAGACUAAGUCAGCACCUGCAACAGGGGUUAUAAAACCCUGAGUACAAAAGUACUCAACAAGACUUAACCGACUAGAAAAGAGGUGAAGACUCAGGUAUGCAGGCUAUAGGGAUUCAAGGUAAAGCUUUAUCAAGAUAAAGCAUUUCUUUUGCAUAAAAGCUUACUAAGAUUAAACCUACUUUCAAGUUUUAACUCAAGGUUAUCAUUUAUGACUAACCAAAACUAUUAUCAAACUUGCAUAAUCAUACCACAUCUUUCUUAUACCAAAGAUUCACUUGUUACUACGAUGAUGGUGUGAGGAUUGAGGCUCCAUAUCCGAGGAAACACGGCGAUUCGAAUCGAUUAAACCCAGCUGGGGAUUCAGUACCACACGACAUAUGUAGAACUUAAUCUUGCAUAUGUCAACCUGUUUCUAUAGAUCCUCCCAUACAAGAACGGGUCCAGCGUCACCCGAGAGUACAGUACACCACCAUCCUACAGCCAAUCUAGAUGUUUCCCGGUCAUCUCAGAUCCGUAAGGUGGGUACACGCUACUCUCGCCAUCUUUCCACUCCCAGUACGCGGUUAGCCGUUCUCAAGUAUCGGAAUAGCUAUAGGUAAGGCUUACCGCCGCAUGUGGGCUGUACUCAAAGGUCUCAAUCACAACAGGCCAAUCAACGGUACGGUCCUUAAUCGACUCAGUUGGAGACACUACUUUAAGACUCCAUUCUUAAAGCAAGUCCACCGACCGGUCUCAAGUUUAAACAUUAUUAACCAUAACAGUAUACCACAACGACCCUUCAAACUCUUUCAUUUGAAAACUUAUCUAAUAAGCAGGACUAAGCAUACUAAACAUUUUCAUAAAGCAAGUAUCAAGGUAAAUAUUGAAAUCAUCAAGGUAGAUAAUGCAGCAAAUAGGAUUCACUCAACUCCUAUUCACCUAAUGCAUCAUAUUAACUCAAGUGAUAUAGAUAACUUUAUGAAAAUACAAGGAUAGGGUUUAAUGUCCGGGGCUUGCCUUGGUCGGAGGGGACGUUCGGCAACUCAACAACACUCGAAGGAUCCACAAACUCGGAAGAAACCCACUGGGGAUCAGAUUCUUCCGGAGCGUACUCUAUACGUAAAAGUGCAUAUGCAUGAUUAUGAUAUACUCAUGGCAUGAUAAAGACAGGUUACAUGUUCUUGGAUGACAACCAUAAGCAUGACUAUCUCAAGUACAAUUUACCUUCAUGAUAGAGAAACAAACUAAUCUAGCUAUCAAAGCAUGGAUUAUUACUAAGCAAAUUUUAUCAUCUUCAUUAAGCAAUGUUGUGUAGUUAUUAAGCAACAAAGAUCAUUUACAUGAAAGAAUCCUUAACCAGGGAGAAUGUUAUGCUAAGUGACCACUGGUUGUCAAACAAUCUAAAAUAUCACCCAAAUCCUAAAGGGAUUAAUUAUUUCUAUUUCUUUUAUAAGCAUUUAAAUAGCUUUAUUAAGAAACAGAGCAUACUUAAUCAAAAAUAACUGAAAAUAUUUCUGAAGCUAGGUAAUAUUAACACAAGUUCACAUAUUAAAUUUCAUGCCAUUUGAAUAAGUAUAGCAGUUUCCAUGAAAAAGAUAAAUUUCCAUCACAAGAAAGCAUGUAACAACAAGAUAAAUAAGAAACUCGACAUUUUCUACAAACACAUAGCUAAAUUAUGUAUCUAUAUGAUAUAACAAUUUCAUAUAAAGGUAGAGGAACCAUAUUUUACAUUUAUUCCUUUUUAGUUUAAUUGUAAAUUAUUUAAUAAGCACUACACAAGAUAAAUCAAUAACUUAAUCAUAUGUCAUCUACUGAACAUGAAAUUUUUACUGCAACAUUCAAAUAACAUCAUGAGAACACCAUAAAAAUUUCAGGGCAAUAGGAUCUACACAGAAUAAGAUAUGAAUUUCUCCCUUUUAAACAUAAUUAAAAGGCAUAAAUCAUAACCAAUUAUUUUACUACAAAACAUGAUCAGUUUCAUAUUUUUAAUAAAAACUAGACAUCUCAAGGAGCACAACAAAAUUUGGUUCACCAAAAUUGGAGUUGCCAAACUCCAGAUAUGAAUUUUCAAAGAUCUAACAAAACAUCUACAAACAGGUCCUGAUGGCACUAUUCACCCGAGUCACGAACUUCGCAGUUAGACCCUUGCCUUGUGUCGAAUUCCAACGCGAAGUCCCUGGCGCGAAAUGGAAACAGAGGAGGCGCGCGGGAAAGCCGGAUUUCCGACCGGCGACCGUCUGUUGGCGACAAGGGAGAGGUACUGGAGCAUGGUUGGGCCUAUGUGCACCCUCUGGUGACCACGGCUUGCUGCGAGAAGGCCUGAGGUGGCAUGGCCACGGUGAGGUGCUCCUCGGCGGCGCUUUUGGCCGGAAUGGAGGAAGAACGGACGUAGCCGGGGCUAGAGAUGGUUAGAGCUUGCAUCAAGGGGGCGCGAAUGGUUGCUGAGACCUUGGUAAAGCUGCUGGGGUGCUCUGGUGGCUUAGAAAGGAAGUGGGAGAGGUGAAUUUUUGCGGGCGCAGGGAGCUCACCGGCGUUGAGCGAAAGGAAGAAGAGAGGGUUGCAGUGAGGUGCGAGCCAUGGGAAGAAGUGGAUGAGGACGCCAGGAGCUCGGCCACUUCACCGCGACCGUAAGCAGGCGAGCAGCUGCGUGGCUGGGUGCGUGGCGGCGUCCUGAGCAGCAGUGUCUGCCGCGGCGGCAGUGCAGCCCGUGAUCCUCAUCGGUUACUGUAGCAGGCUUUAUCCAACCAGUUUUGUGGUUUUGCAAAAUUCGUCCAAAUUUUGAACUGAAGACAAAAUUCCACCAAAACAAAAGUUAUUCAGAAUUUUACAAACUACAAAUCUUCUUUUGGUGACCAAAGCCAAUUCUGGGUGGAAAAUGACGAAUUUGACAAAACAGUUUGAAUUUCAAAUCCCAAAUUGGGGAAAUUCCAAAUUUUGAAUUGGAGCAGAUUAGAAUUUCCAAAAUUACUUUUGAUUUUCCAAAACAACUUGAAAAACUCCCAACAUGAAAGUUGUUCAACUUUUCAAGCCCUACAACUCUCAUGUUGACCAUUUUUCAAAAUUCCAAACAGAUUUUGAAUUGGAGAUUUAAGUUUGAAAAGGGGACACUUUCCGGAAAUCUGUAUUUUCAAAAUUACUUUGAAUUUUGUACUGAAACUUCAAAAACUCAAAACACCAAAGUUGUACAUCUUGACAAGAUCUACAACUUUGCUUUUGAACUCAACUUCAAAUUUUGCUUAGUUUUUAAAUUACACAAAAGGGGACAAAUCUAGGGUUUCCCCCCUAAGCCUUUCGGAAAAACUUUCACCCAAGGUUUUUAAAUUCCAAAACAAACAUCCAUACAUAAAAUAAACACACUUUACUUCCUAAACACAUUCAACCAAAAUAACCUUAUUUUAAGUUGAUGCAUAAUAAUGUGCUCAACAAUUAUGCUUUGCAAUGCUUAUGAUGACAUGAUCCAGUUUUAGUAUUCGUAACAUCAGGGAUGUUACAGCCCUUCCCCCUUAAAGAAAUCUCGUCCCGAGAUUUCCAGGGUACUAAAACCCGUGGGGUUAAGUAAUGGAAAAGGAAAUGUGUCAAGCACAUUAACUUCUGAGAAGUUCAUAAAACAAUUACAAUUGGUCCGAGAAUUACAACUAAGAUCAACAGAAUGUUGUAAUCAAUAAGGAAUGUUAGAGAAUUCAUAAGAAGAUAUGAAUCUCCAAAUGAGCUUCCAAGGAGAAUGAAAGCACACUAACUGUAGACUAUAGCGGAGCAUGACCAGAGAUCCCGAUGUUUAACGAGCACCUAGUAGUAUUUCCUUAUGGCUGCAGUCCACAGGAGACUACAAGGUUCGACGCUAUAACGUGAUCACGGAUCAUGGUACCUACUAUAGAGUACGGUUAUAAUAGCUUUCAAUGACCUAUGUUGGUUAUCUAAGUCAGGGGUUUUAGGUAAUUCCAAAGAGAUAUGGGCAUGGAUUCCCAUAAUAUUGUUCAAAGAGUGAGGUCACCUAAGUUGUGGGUCUAUAAGGGAUCAUGAUCAUAGACUUUGAUAACAGCGAGCGCCCGGCAGUAUUUCCUUAUGGUCGCGAGCCAUAGGAGACCCCAGGUUUCGGCGUUGUUACCUAAGUUAUGGGUCAUGGUACCUUAAGAGGACACAAUCAUAGUGACAUUCAAUCAACAGAAAUGUUGACAAAUGACAUCAAGGAGGUAGCAUGUGUCCGAAUUAGAUGAAAUCAAGGAAGGUCACAUGCAUAACAAAUGAAUCAAGGAUUAGGAUCUUAUGGAGUAAAAGAUUAUCAAUCAGUUAACGAAACCUGGUACAUGAUGAGAUUCAUCAAUAAAACAGCUAUACCGAAUAAUAACUGUUUUGAAGCAUAAGGAGGGGCUUUUAUGUAUCAUUAUAUUUGUCAUGUUAUGCUUGAUAUGCAAUAUGCUCGCCUAUACGUCUUUACAACGUUAGCUAGGAGAUAAUUGCUUAUAUAGGGCAUACUUUAUACACUAUCUUUAUUGCUUCAAAAGGGAGGCUGCAAGACUGUUGACAAAGCAUUGUUGGAGUAGUUUGAUUCUUCACUUGGCUUGUCGAAGACUUGAAGCCUCUUUUAAUGUCUUCUAUUUGAGUCAGCAGAAAGUCUUCGUAGAACCCGAACAGCAAGCAUAAGAAAAGUUAAGGAAUAUUUAUAAGUUGUUAUCCUCAAAAACUUUUAAUUUGUAAAUUUCUUUUGAACUUUUCACAAUUAAUGUUGUAGAAGAUCCAUGUAUGAGCUCUGAUACCAGCUGUGGCAGAACCACCCUAAUUAUAUGGCCCACAUGCACUUGACAUUGUCCUUAAGACCUCUGACUACUGCACAUGAGAGUCAUAUAACUUGGAUAGUCUGUCGGGUGCCCUCGGAGGACCCCGAAUCAUACACAUUUUAACUCGUACAGGAUCAACAUGGAGUUACCACAACAUUACAACAUUUGUUACAAAAAUAACUUACAUCAGAGUGCGGAAGAUUUAUAACUUAAUUUACAACAUAUGAUGAAGUAUAAACUUAACUAAAUUUCCAAAAGGUGUAUAGAGUAGCGGAAGCAUCUUAGGUGAAGCUUCUAAGGUAGAAGAGGUGGAUAAAUCAUGUCGCGCCCACCGACACGACCACCAUUAGCAGACUAAGUCAGCACCUGCAACAGGGGUUAUAAAACCCUGAGUACAAAAGUACUCAACAAGACUUAACCGACUAGAAAAGAGGUGAAGACUCAGGUAUGCAGGCUAUAGGGAUUCAAGGUAAAGCUUUAUCAAGAUAAAGCAUUUCUUUUGCAUAAAAGCUUACUAAGAUUAAACCUACUUUCAAGUUUUAACUCAAGGUUAUCAUUUAUGACUAACCAAAACUAUUAUCAAACUUGCAUAAUCAUACCACAUCUUUCUUAUACCAAAGAUUCACUUGUUACUACGAUGAUGGUGUGAGGAUUGAGGCUCCAUAUCCGAGGAAACACGGCGAUUCGAAUCGAUUAAACCCAGCUGGGGAUUCAGUACCACACGACAUAUGUAGAACUUAAUCUUGCAUAUGUCAACCUGUUUCUAUAGAUCCUCCCAUACAAGAACGGGUCCAGCGUCACCCGAGAGUACAGUACACCACCAUCCUACAGCCAAUCUAGAUGUUUCCCGGUCAUCUCAGAUCCGUAAGGUGGGUACACGCUACUCUCGCCAUCUUUCCACUCCCAGUACGCGGUUAGCCGUUCUCAAGUAUCGGAAUAGCUAUAGGUAAGGCUUACCGCCGCAUGUGGGCUGUACUCAAAGGUCUCAAUCACAACAGGCCAAUCAACGGUACGGUCCUUAAUCGACUCAGUUGGAGACACUACUUUAAGACUCCAUUCUUAAAGCAAGUCCACCGACCGGUCUCAAGUUUAAACAUUAUUAACCAUAACAGUAUACCACAACGACCCUUCAAACUCUUUCAUUUGAAAACUUAUCUAAUAAGCAGGACUAAGCAUACUAAACAUUUUCAUAAAGCAAGUAUCAAGGUAAAUAUUGAAAUCAUCAAGGUAGAUAAUGCAGCAAAUAGGAUUCACUCAACUCCUAUUCACCUAAUGCAUCAUAUUAACUCAAGUGAUAUAGAUAACUUUAUGAAAAUACAAGGAUAGGGUUUAAUGUCCGGGGCUUGCCUUGGUCGGAGGGGACGUUCGGCAACUCAACAACACUCGAAGGAUCCACAAACUCGGAAGAAACCCACUGGGGAUCAGAUUCUUCCGGAGCGUACUCUAUACGUAAAAGUGCAUAUGCAUGAUUAUGAUAUACUCAUGGCAUGAUAAAGACAGGUUACAUGUUCUUGGAUGACAACCAUAAGCAUGACUAUCUCAAGUACAAUUUACCUUCAUGAUAGAGAAACAAACUAAUCUAGCUAUCAAAGCAUGGAUUAUUACUAAGCAAAUUUUAUCAUCUUCAUUAAGCAAUGUUGUGUAGUUAUUAAGCAACAAAGAUCAUUUACAUGAAAGAAUCCUUAACCAGGGAGAAUGUUAUGCUAAGUGACCACUGGUUGUCAAACAAUCUAAAAUAUCACCCAAAUCCUAAAGGGAUUAAUUAUUUCUAUUUCUUUUAUAAGCAUUUAAAUAGCUUUAUUAAGAAACAGAGCAUACUUAAUCAAAAAUAACUGAAAAUAUUUCUGAAGCUAGGUAAUAUUAACACAAGUUCACAUAUUAAAUUUCAUGCCAUUUGAAUAAGUAUAGCAGUUUCCAUGAAAAAGAUAAAUUUCCAUCACAAGAAAGCAUGUAACAACAAGAUAAAUAAGAAACUCGACAUUUUCUACAAACACAUAGCUAAAUUAUGUAUCUAUAUGAUAUAACAAUUUCAUAUAAAGGUAGAGGAACCAUAUUUUACAUUUAUUCCUUUUUAGUUUAAUUGUAAAUUAUUUAAUAAGCACUACACAAGAUAAAUCAAUAACUUAAUCAUAUGUCAUCUACUGAACAUGAAAUUUUUACUGCAACAUUCAAAUAACAUCAUGAGAACACCAUAAAAAUUUCAGGGCAAUAGGAUCUACACAGAAUAAGAUAUGAAUUUCUCCCUUUUAAACAUAAUUAAAAGGCAUAAAUCAUAACCAAUUAUUUUACUACAAAACAUGAUCAGUUUCAUAUUUUUAAUAAAAACUAGACAUCUCAAGGAGCACAACAAAAUUUGGUUCACCAAAAUUGGAGUUGCCAAACUCCAGAUAUGAAUUUUCAAAGAUCUAACAAAACAUCUACAAACAGGUCCUAAUGGCACUAUUCACCCGAGUCACGAACUUCGCAGUUAGACCCUUGCCUUGUGUCGAAUUCCAACGCGAAGUCCCUGGCGCGAAAUGGAAACAGAGGAGGCGCGCGGGAAAGCCGGAUUUCCGACCGGCGACCGUCUGUUGGCGACAAGGGAGAGGUACUGGAGCAUGGUUGGGCCUAUGUGCACCCUCUGGUGACCACGGCUUGCUGCGAGAAGGCCUGAGGUGGCAUGGCCACGGUGAGGUGCUCCUCGGCGGCGCUUUUGGCCGGAAUGGAGGAAGAACGGACGUAGCCGGGGCUAGAGAUGGUUAGAGCUUGCAUCAAGGGGGCGCGAAUGGUUGCUGAGACCUUGGUAAAGCUGCUGGGGUGCUCUGGUGGCUUAGAAAGGAAGUGGGAGAGGUGAAUUUUUGCGGGCGCAGGGAGCUCACCGGCGUUGAGCGAAAGGAAGAAGAGAGGGUUGCAGUGAGGUGCGAGCCAUGGGAAGAAGUGGAUGAGGACGCCAGGAGCUCGGCCACUUCACCGCGACCGUAAGCAGGCGAGCAGCUGCGUGGCUGGGUGCGUGGCGGCGUCCUGAGCAGCAGUGUCUGCCGCGGCGGCAGUGCAGCCCGUGAUCCUCAUCGGUUACUGUAGCAGGCUUUAUCCAACCAGUUUUGUGGUUUUGCAAAAUUCGUCCAAAUUUUGAACUGAAGACAAAAUUCCACCAAAACAAAAGUUAUUCAGAAUUUUACAAACUACAAAUCUUCUUUUGGUGACCAAAGCCAAUUCUGGGUGGAAAAUGACGAAUUUGACAAAACAGUUUGAAUUUCAAAUCCCAAAUUGGGGAAAUUCCAAAUUUUGAAUUGGAGCAGAUUAGAAUUUCCAAAAUUACUUUUGAUUUUCCAAAACAACUUGAAAAACUCCCAACAUGAAAGUUGUUCAACUUUUCAAGCCCUACAACUCUCAUGUUGACCAUUUUUCAAAAUUCCAAACAGAUUUUGAAUUGGAGAUUUAAGUUUGAAAAGGGGACACUUUCCGGAAAUCUGUAUUUUCAAAAUUACUUUGAAUUUUGUACUGAAACUUCAAAAACUCAAAACACCAAAGUUGUACAUCUUGACAAGAUCUACAACUUUGCUUUUGAACUCAACUUCAAAUUUUGCUUAGUUUUUAAAUUACACAAAAGGGGACAAAUCUAGGGUUUUGAAAACUAGGGUUUCCCCCCUAAGCCUUUCGGAAAAACUUUCACCCAAGGUUUUUAAAUUCCAAAACAAACAUCCAUACAUAAAAUAAACACACUUUACUUCCUAAACACAUUCAACCAAAAUAACCUUAUUUUAAGUUGAUGCAUAAUAAUGUGCUCAACAAUUAUGCUUUGCAAUGCUUAUGAUGACAUGAUCCAGUUUUAGUAUUCGUAACAUCAGGGAUGUUACACCGCCGCUCGCGAACCCCCCCUAGAACCCUAGCUUCGAAAUCCGCGCCGCCGCCGUUCUCGCCAAGCUCGCGCCGCCGCCGUUGAUACCGCCGCCGUCGAGCUUCUCUUUGACUUCGUCGUUUCGCGGAGGUGAGCUCGUCAUCGCGCUCGUCGUGACGCGCCGACCCCGCCCGUGCCCUCGGCACGCUCCCCCGUGCCCUGCAGCACCGCCGCCGAAGCUCCGGGCGGCGCCAAUGGCGCCACCGCCGCCGCCGGCCGCCCCUGCGCUCCGCACCGGCGCGCGGUCCACCGUGGACCGCGGCCCUGCGCCCCCGUGCGGCCGGUCCACUGGACCGGGUCCAGGAGGCCGCCCCCCGCCGCUCCGCAGGCGCGGUCCACCAUGGACCGCGGCCUUUCCCCCCCCCCCGCGCCCCGGUCCACAGCACAGUGCCGUGGACCGGCCACUCCCGAGCCGCCACGUGGCCGAGCCGGCCAGCACCCACGCGCGCCCCUGCACGUUUUGCAAAAAGGCCCCUGUUUUUAUUUAAAAUUAACCCGCUAUCCUAUGCAGUUUAAAAUAAUUAUGUUUAUGCCCUUAGUUUUCGCAGUUUAACCCCUGGCUCGGUUAGAAUUUAUUUAUUUAGUCCAAAAUGAGUUUUAAUUCAGUUUUUAAUUAGUUUUAAUUACGAAAAAUAGUUCAGUUUAUCUACAGAAAUGCCAUUCAACUUGUUUUAGCCAUAACUUUUGCAUCGUGACUCCGAUUUAGGUGAUUCUGGUCGCUAUGGUUUCGUUUCGUCGAGUAGAAUACAGUAAUGCAGUUGCUUUUUGUUUCCGCAUGCUUUGGUGUACUGUUUCUGAUUAAGUUUGUUUGCUUGCAUGUAUUGUUCCUAUGAUUGAUGAUUGUCGCGUAUAGCCAACGAGACGUUCGUGAAGGAAGAGGUUCAGGAUCCCGCUGAGUUCGAGCAACCCGACUUCGAUCAAGGCAAGUGCAGACACCGUUUGAUCAUUUUGAACCUACUCAUUAAUGCCAUUUACUUUAUAUGCAUGUGUCCAAUGAAUGCAAACCCUAAGGACAUGACUAGCUUUGCUUAUUAUUCCUUGCUCACCUGGGGUUAUGUAUUUGGGUAGACUAGGCUAUACUAGGUCUGCUUAGCUGCUCUACUCAUCUUAUACACAUGUCUAAACAAGAAUUACUCUCUCUCUACUUAACUUGAUGCUUAAACUGUGCUGAAUCUUUGGUCACUGCGGUGAUGGCGAUGUUGGAUGCUUGCGAGCAUCGUGAUGAUGGUGGUGACAGGGGGAGCGGGUACCGUUGGUGGUCCGGUUUGCCGGGCGUACCCGUCUCUGCUCUCCGUAAGGACUUAGUCAGGGAGCGGCCCCCCUGGGACUUACAGUGCAGCUCCAAGCUAUAUGGCUCUGGCUUGACUAAUUAGCAGGACCUCCACUAGUAGGGUGUUACUUUCCGGGUAGGCGUGAGGAAGUAACUUGGGUAAUGAAUAUUAAGUUGUCGGUUGAUCGGUACGCCAUGGCUAUGGGUAUCGACUGCCGAGCGCCCCGACAAAAACUUGCGAGUGGCAUCCUAUUAGUUGGACCCUGUGAAAGGUCUCGUAGUGAGACCCUGCCUGCUCACCUUGGAAGUGUUUUGGGGAGUCGCGACCCCGGGCAAAUGGGAAUCACGACUUGGAGUGAACGUGCACACCUCUGCAGAGUGUAAAACUGAUAUAUCAGCCGUGCUCACGGUCACGAGCGGCCCAGACCCUCACUUGAUGAGCAAAUUGGAUUCACUGGUUACUUGGAGAUGGACCUUGGCGAGGUUGCUACCUCGUGUUUUGGCGGAAUGGCUAUUCCGUGAUGGCAGGAUUGCUAUCCUGUGGUAAUAAUUGGGGUUAAUCCCUGGAUUACUAUAAUAGUUAGGAUAGUCAUUUAAAAGAUGCUAAUUACUACUUACACUAAUUAAGGGUUGGGUUUAUACUACUCAUAUUUAGUAAUAGGUUGUUCUAGUAAUUGUUAUAAUUAAAAGCGAUCAACUAAAAUGCUACCGCAGUCAAACCAAGUCAACUUUACCUUGUUUUAAGCCUUGCAUGUCAUUACUUUCCGUCUGUGCUUGCUGAGUUCGACAUGAGCUCACCCUUGCUAUAAUCAUUAAAGGUUGCUCGGACGAUCAGGAGUACAAUUGCGAUUUCCCUGAGGACUACCCUGAGUCUCCUGGUUGUUAGGCUCGUGUGGUUCUGCCGUCGACCUUCCUGUGGCAAGGUGGUCCUGCUACGUCGGCGUUUAGUUUUCCCUUUAUUUAUGGAACAGUUUAGUUUAUGUUUCCCCUCCGCACUUUGAUAAACAUUUGGCUUGUAAUAAUGGUACUUUUACUCUCAUUUAUGUAAUUCGUUUGAACACUGUGUUUUGUACCAUUGAUGAUGUCGGUCCAUGUGUGUGAAUUUGAGAUCCUGGCGCACAUGUGAUUUGGCACCCGAAUGCUCUUUUACAUCCGGGUGUGACAUCGCGAGAUAAAUCUUUUAAGCCUAGUUAGUCCAUAAUUGAACAAUAUUUGCCAAAAAAACGAAAGUGCUACAGUAUCCGAAAACUUUUCAUUUUGCCAACUAAACAAGGCCUAUGCUACAUGGGCAUCACCACUCUUUGCUUGUACCGUCUUGUUCGUUUGAGCUUAUCAGCCGAAUCUGUCAGUCAUUCAACAAUGUUUUUCUCUCAUAAUAAGCCAACAAUACUUUUUGUCAUAUCUUAUUAGCCAAACAAACAAGGCUUGCAAAAUUUCUCUGUUACAGACAAAAGGUUCUGUGAACUAUAAAUCAACAAUGUAGCAUUUAUAUACCUUAUUAGAUGGCCCCUUUCAAUGAGAACACAAGUUUUAUAGACUUAGAGCAACUCCAACGGCUUGGCAAAAUUUAGUAGUCAGAUUCUAUUUGUUUAGCAACUUUGUCAAAUAGAAAACUUUUGAAAAAGAAGAGGUCUAUAACAGCUUUGCUAUUUUACAAAAUUAGAUAGCUAAUGUCACUGGUUGGCUAUAUAUAGCCACCGAAAAUCAAGAGAUAGCCAAGUUUGUAUUUUACAAAACCAGAUAGCACAUCUGUUCGAACCACCUACAUUUUAGGAGCGGAUCUGCAGCCCAGGCCUAGUCGUUGGCCCAAUAACAUCAUAUAUCCUAUGUAAACUUUUAGCCCAACAAGGCAACAACCAAGGCCCAACACAUAACUGGCCUUAGCUCCAAGGCCUUGUUUACUUCCAGCCCAAAAUCUAAAAAAAAAUUCAAAAUUCUUCAUCAAAUUGAAUUUUUAGACAAAUUCUUCAACAACCAAGGCCCAACGCAUGGAGUAUUAAAUAUAGACAAAAAUAAAAACUAAUUACACAGUUUGGUCAAAAUUUAUAAGACAAAUCUUUUAUGCAUAGUUAGUCCAUAAUUAGACAAUAAUUAUCACAAACAAACGCAAAAUCAUGAACUAAAGACGGCCUAAAACUCUCACCUGUCUGUCUGUCUCCCAGUCCCUACUACGCCACACCAGCGUAUGCCCCACGACCCGCCAUAGUCACGCACGAGGGGAGGGCAGAAGGUGAGGAAUUGGCCGCCACUGACCGCUACGUCGCACGCAGCUGGAUCCCAGAGCCGCCCAUCCCGCCGGCAUCCCCAACUUCUUUCGCCAUUCCGCGUCCACGGCUUCCGCUUCCGUCUUGCUGAUGGUCGCCAGCCCCUAGACACUAGGUAUUUAUUUUCAUCUCAACAUAUGUGUCUGCAACAUUCUUACCAUCCUAGAGGCCUAGUCUUGAGUAAAACCGGGCUCUGCCACCGCUACUUUUUGCUAUGCAAAUUCUAAAACAACCUCCACAACAAGAAUAACCAAGCUGUUGGAGUUACUCUUAAAUGCCAGCAAUUGUAAAAGCUUGUUGUGACACUACUCUGGUAGACAAAGGUAACUUGUGUUUCUUUGCUUCAAUUAGCAGAACCAUUUAAGUACGAUAUGUAGACAGCAGGUGGUGCAUAUCAGUGUUCAUUGUCAGGUGGUUUAGUACAAAGCAUUAUCGAAACUUCACGCACUCCGCAUAACACUGAAGGCAGCAUUGCAGAUGCAAAGUAUUCAUAGCUUGAAGAAUAAAUAUAACCAAGUAAUCAUGAUGCAUAAAUAAUAAUUAGCUAAUUUGGACGCCACCAUCUCAUCAGCUAGAAUGGUUGUAUUAGGGAAAAAAAUUAUACAGUUUGUACCGAGGCUACGAGAUCAAGAGCUUUUUCUGUGCUGAAGCAUAAUGAACCUGGAUGAUGAUAUAGAUCCUUUCAAUCGAGAUGGCAAUGGUUGUCAUACUUGAGUACUCAACUACUCCAGUGGCAAUAGCCAUCUAGAGAAUUGCUAGCAGGUUCACAUGUUCAGUGUCAAGAGAAAUUGCAUGCAAAAAAACCAAAAUAACUCAACUCACCAUGAUGGCAUGAUGCAUAAAUAAUUAGGUACUUUGGAUGCCACAAUCUCAUCAGUUAGAACGGUUGCAUUAGGAAAUUAUAAAAAAUGAAUACAUAUGCAGGUAAUUAGGGAGUUGAGUAUGCCACUGCAAGAGGUACAAUGUUCCAAUAGAAACAGCCUACAGAACCGUACAGAAAUCAAAGAGGUCAUUGUAGUUUGUUAAGGCAACAGAAAGUUCUAGUUUUCUAUACCAUAAAAAAGAAAUCCUGAUUAGCAAACCAUCCAACCAUCAAAUUAACAUGCUGAGAUUAUUAGUACCUUGUUGCAGCCGACCUUGAAACUGAACAGGGUUGAUCUGUUUUUUCAGCAAGCAUGCUCUGACCAUGCACCCGAUAAAAUACUGCGUUUCUGAACAUUAUCUAUUUGAAGAAUUAAUAAUCUGUAGUGCGUCAUCCUCAUGUCGAUAAGAUUAGUUACACAGUAAACCGACUGAUAUUUGGUUGGAUGUACACUGAUCAUGUGUUUGAGCACAGAAGCUGAGAAGCAGAAACAUCGAUGGAUCGAUAAGAUUCUUUGUUGCAGUUGAAAAACCUUCAAAAAUAUUUAAGUCGGUUCCAAACUUAUGAACUGAAUAUAUAUCAUCAACGGGGGAUGAUGUAUAUGCAGAACCAAGCCGUCGUAAGGUACAACUGGUGGUACGUGGCCAACAAAUCUAUGAUCUUGUCAGCCUGUACCAUGUAACAAAAGCAUACGGUGAGCCUCAUAGCAGAGGUUAAAAAAAGACUUGCCAACAAAGUAACAUUCAUGACAGAGCACAGCGGAAAAAGUAGUGUGUAAAUGCCAUGUAUAAGUGGCUUCGUAUUCUUUCCAUUUUUCAUGACUGCUAGCAAAGAAUGGGUUGUAGACUUGGACAACAUUUGUAUUGCGAUAUGGCAGAACAUGCAUGAAGCGGAGGCUCUACACUAAUCUGUAAGUCAGCAAGAAUUGCAUAAACAGAAUCAACAUUUAGGUUAACUGGAAACCGAAGAAUGACAAUUUGUAAGAAGUAUCGUAGCACACCAUGAUCACCGGAUUCAUUGUUUUUUGUGAAAAUUGCCAGGAAAAACAAGGUAUGACCUGUUAUGUCAACAUGGUAUGAAUGGUAACUGUACAAAUGAUGAUUAUGGGAGCAGUUAUUAAGAAAUCAUAAAAACUAAAACAAUAUUAGCGAAAAAAAUACCUGUUUAGGUUCAGCUCGUUGAUCAAACAUACCCGUGCACGUCUCCAUCACAUUCUCGUUGUCGGCAUGCGCUAUCUGGUAAAUUAAGGAUGAGCUAUAAAUGGGUAUCCACAGUUCUUCUCUAGUCUAACCUAUUUAAGUAAAUGAACGAGACAGACACGGUGGUUGGAACCUUGGAGGAAAAUGCAAGAUCGUGUGGCCUAUGGUUUGCGCUUCAAAAUACUACGGCGGCUUGGGUCUGCCAAACAUGAGUCCUCGGGUUCACCCUUCGCCUCCAUUCGGACUGGCAGAAGAGGGUUGCAGAUGCGCCACCAUGGACCAAGCUGCCGUCCAAACUAGAGAAGCUUCUGAGCAUGUUCAGCUGCUCCGUCGUGGUCGAGCUUGGCCAUGGUGCUUCGGCUCGCAUCUGGACUGAUUCUUGGCUGCCAGUCAGGUCAAUUGCGACCUUUGCCCCGCACUUGUUUCGCACCAUUGGUCGUUGCUUUCUAUUGGUAUCCAUCAAGGAGGUGCUCUCCGGUCACCAUUACUGCGUCACAUCUCCGGGGCACACACCACGCCAGUGUUGUAUGAGUUUGUUGAUCUCUGGCAAAAGCUGGAGGACGUCCAGUUGCAACCGCUUGUGAGUGACCGCUUUAAUUGGCGAUGGACGCCACAUAGCACGUACUCAGCGUCCUCAGCAUAACGCUCAUUCUGGGCAUGUCCUCCCUGUUGGGAGCCAAGGAACUUUGGGAAGCUUCCGCGCCGCCAAAGGUGAAACUCUUCUGCUGGUUAGCCCUGCAUGGUUGCAUCUGGACGGUGUUAGGUUGAUCUCUGCCAACCCAAGUCCAAAGAAUGCCCCGGACCCUUGACCUCGUCCUGAUCGGGGGCGUCCAGCCCAAUGACUUGGCUGGUGGGCACCCGUUGCAGUGUAUAAAGAGAGGGUGGGGGCUAGGGCACAAGGUACGACGUUCAUCGCUACAGUGCCGUGAGUCCCCACCCUAACCCUAUACCGAUCCAAAGGGAAGCACUGCCAGCGACGGGAAGUCCGCUGCCGCGACUGCCUUGGACAACGUGCUUCUCUGCGAAGGUAAGGUUAGGUAUCUCUCUCAUCCUCUCGUCCUCACUUCCUCUCUGGAUCCAAGAUGUUCUAUGUUAUUUAUCCCAAAUGGAAAAGCGGAUUCCCCACUGAUCUACACUCUAGACGAUCUAAGAAUAUAACAAAUGGUAUCGGAGCCAAGGUUACCGUCGCGCGAGGCACCGCCCUCGCGCGGGCAAUGUGAGAAGAGAAAGAAAUCGGAUGAAUCCCAAACAUAAUGAAAGAAUCUUAACCUAAAUCCUAACGCUCGAUUAGGGUUUCGGUAAGAACUAACAGAGUAGGGAGGGAUCCGAUACGGUCGGAUCCUACCCCUAACCUUAGAAGGGAAAGAAGACGACGGAGAGGAUGGAUCCUACCUAGGGCCCACCUUGCUGCCGGCCGUCAAUCGACGCCGCGUAGAAGAACCGCGCCGCCUCUUCAUCGGCGUGCGCGUAGCUAAGCUGCACCGUCGUGGAAUUAUUCGACGGACGCGUGCUCGUCCUCGUGGGGAACGCGCUCGCCGACGAAUGACUCCAUGGCGGCGCCGCCGUUUCUCCUCUCCGGUCAUCACCGGCGGCCGGCUCCUGCUGCUGUUUUUUGCGGCGUGGGAGAGAGGAGAGGAACCAGAAAAGAAAAGAAAGGAAGGAAAGAAGGGGAGGGCCAGGGGCGCUCUCCCUCGGCGCUCUCUCCCCACCGGCGCUGAUCGCGGCCGGGAUCCAUGUCUGCCGCCGCGAAAGAAACAGAGGGAAAAAGAAUGGACUAGGGUUUAGGGAAGUCACCGGCUCAGGGUUUUUGUUUGCCGAGAUUGAAGAACGACCGUCGAUCUCGAUCGGACGGUGCAUAACAGCUGGACUGGGGCCCAAGAGGGUAACCGAAUUCCCGGCCCAGGCCCAGGUUGCGGCCUCGGCACGGGGAGAGCCGCUCGCCAUCUCCGCCGAUGGGUCGGCCUGCUUCGCCGACGCACGGGUCCCGGGCUGGGGUGGAAGGUGGCCGCGGGCCACUGCUGUGCCGCAGCAACAAUCGUGCGCAGGGGGAAAGAGAGAAGACCAUGGACUUUUCUCAAAAAAAAAAGAGAGAAGACCAUGGACCGGCCAGCCUGGGCCACGAGCUCUAACUAGGCCAUGGGGAGAGGAAAGGGGAGCGCGAGCUGCUAGAGAUUUUCGUUUUUCUAUUUUCCAGAAGCAAAUUUUGAAUGCAGUUUUGAAUAAAAUUGUAUAGUUUUGAUGCUAUUUUCUGUACAAAUAUUGUCCAAAGAUAAUUUUUCACAGAAAAUAGUAAAGUAUCUUAAAGAGUUUCUAGAAAAUAAAAUUAAGAGUAUACUAAAGUUUUCGCUGCGUACUUAUAAUUAUUUAUUUAUUUUUUCAUUGUUAAAGUCGAAGUAAAGGGAGAGUUUAAUUUUGAAAAAUAAAACAAAUACAGAUUAUUAUAAUAUUGUAAUUGUUCUAACCAAAGUUUAUUAAUAGCAAUAUUAUGAUGUUAUUAUGGUUUUUUGUCAUGCAUUAAUUCUAUUUUUGGCCAAAGGUAAUGUAGAAUUAGUGUAAAAGAAUUAAUUGUAUGUUAUAAUCUAAUGUGGAGAGCAGUUACAAAUAUUCAAUAAAUUAUAAUAUUUUUAUUUUCUGAGCAAAGUUGAUGAUAAAAAUAUUAUAAGUUAUGUUUAAAGUUUAAAUCUCUGAUGAAUUUUGCAUGAAAGUGACCAAUUUGUUAGAAAAUGGAUAAAGAUUUAGAAAUGUUCCUGAAAAUAGAAAAUAGUAGUAUUUUUCACAUUUUCGUUGUAGAGAUUAUUAUGAUACUGUCCUUUUCUGAGCAAAGUUUUCAAUAGUAAUGUCAUGAUAUUGUUUAUCAAUUAUAUAUAGUAAUGUCAUGAUAUUGUUUAUCAAUUAUAUGCAUUAAUUCUAUUUGUACCCAAGGGUGAUUUAGAACUGAUGUAGAAGAAUCAUGACAUUGUUUAUCAGUUAUAUGCAUUAAUUCUAUUUCUGCCCAAAGGUGAUUUAGAAUUGAUGUAGAAUGAUGAUUUAUUCUAUUUCUAUCCAAAGGUGAUUUAGAAUAUAAAAAGAAAGAUUUAAAAUUUUAAUGUGCAUGUCUUUAACCGGGUUAUUUUCAUGCUCCUUAUUUUCAUGCUCAUUAAUAUAAAAGGAUCUGCUACCUCGCUUUCUUAAAAGCAGAGGCUUUGCCUCCUUUGCCUCCUUUUUUUAAAAGAAAAAGGACAUCUUUGGAACUAAACAAGGCCUUACACGAGGAUGAGUCAAUACAACAAUUAUUGUUUAACCAUAAACUAACUAGACUCAAAAGAUCGUGUCUUAUAAAUUACAGAGAAAUUGUGCAAUUAGUUAUUAUUUUUAUCUAUAUUUAAUACUCCAUACAUGUGUUGAAAGAUUUAUUUAAUGUAAUGAGGAAUCAUGAGAACUAAACAAGGCCUUACACGAGGAUGAGUUGAUACAACACAUUUAUGUGGGUCUGUCGCCACCAGCAGAGAAUUGCGAACAGACUGUUCGCUUGAACUUACUAACUAAAUCAGUAAUAUUUUUUUAUAACAAAUCAACAAAAAGUAAUUUCUAUCAUAGCUUAUCAGCUAAACGAACAAAAAAUAAUGUAACGUGCCACAAAAAAUAAUGUGACGUUGACUUCCGCCUCAGUCCCUCACAAUACAUGAGAUUGGAUUGCAGCUAAACAAAAGUUCUGUAAUGUAUUCCAAGGUAUUUUAGAUUGUCAUCUAUUACUUAGAUAUCAAAAUUUGCAUGCAAACCUGGUAUGACACAGGCAAGUUCAAGGACCAAGUGACACAUCCACACAAUGACACUAUACAUAAAUAUAAUACUUAAGGCCUGUUUGGUACAGCUCACAACAGCUUCAUGAGCUGUUUUUUUUUGCCAAACACUUAUUUCCAAAACAACUUCAUUGAAGCUGUUUUUCUCCUCCUCUCACAAAGACAUAGUUGGAUGAAGCUGGAAAAAAGUAGCUUAUUGCAGCUUCUCCCUCAUUUCUCUCUCUCAACUAUGCAUGAAGUAGUUGGUGAAGCUAUUUUGCCAAACACUUUUUCCGAAACAGCUCAGCUUCAUCUAGAAAGUCACUCAUGAAGCUAUUUUCUAAAAAAACAGCUUCACUAGUGAAGUUGAGCUGUGCCAAACAAGCCCUUAAAAGAAGACGCCACAAACUAUUUUUUAACAAAACCCACGGAACAUGCCGCAAACUUGAUGUCUUAUCGAUUUAUAUAUACAGCGUAAAAAUAGUAAAUACGAUCCCUUCCUAGUCCACAACACGAAAUAGGUCCUUAAAUUUUAUUGAGAAACACGAGAAGCCUUUCCUGUGGAACCAUCGGAUAUACAGAAGAAGAAAGCAAAAUGGUUGGCAGGAAGGCAUGUCCAAAUGAGUUGGCAAGGCUAGCAGGAAAGUGAUGCAGGCAGACAUGACUCGAUCCAUAUCCUUCUCCCUGUAAUACAUAAAUACUGUGAGAAAAAUGGUCUAGAUGGAUGAUGUUCAUAUUAUACUUGCUUCACUUAGCAAGAGAAGGGUACCAUGCAAUAUGUGGCAUACCAAGCUCUUGAAUCUUCUCCCUGUAAUACAUAAAUACUGUGAGAAAAAUGGUCUAGAUGGAUGAUGUUCAUAUUAUACUUGCUUCACUUAGCAAGAGAAGGGUACCAUGAAAUCUGUGGCAUACCAAGCUCUUGAAUCGUGCCUGGGCAAAUCACAGGACCUCUACCAGACCGCGUGUCAUGAAGCUUGCUGCAGAGGGUGGUGCAACGAAACGUCUAGUAAUCAUCCGUGGGGCAGGCGCCCAGGGUCUGCCAGUGCAUACAAGGAUUAAUUUGUAAAGUAGUUUUUUUAUAACAAACUUCAUUAACUUUAACAGCAACAUACAGAGAGGAGCCUAAAAUGCUCCCAGGUUACAGACUGCAAUGCCUCUAGACAAGGCAAGAAAGAUAGCUGCUAUGAGCAGAACAUGUACACAAGAAUUGGGUAAAGGCAUGUGAUGGACUAAAGACUGCGGAGUAGCAUUUAGUGAGCGGUGAAUUUUGAGAGUCUUGAAGCCGUUUCCUGCCAUAUGUUCUAGGAAUACUUACUUUUUGUAAAGGCUUCUAGUUGUACUGUGCCUCUGCCAAGUGCUAUAUUUACAGGAUACAAUUGACAGAAACAGACACUAAAGAUAAUGAGUGGUAUACUUAGCUUCCAUACUAAUAAUUUCCAAGAUUUAAAAAUUGACAACUCUUAUUAUUCAUAAGCCUGAUAAAUAUAUUUCACUUGAACUUGAAAGCUACAAUGUUUAGACACCUUUGGAAAACAUUAUUUAGUUUCAUGAACCCAGUGCUUUGUCAUAUUAAAUUGACUUGAUUCACGUGAAAUUGCAUGCGAAAUUUCUGUGUGCCAAAGGGGGCCUUUGCAGUACUUUUCUAGUUGGAGAAAGAUGGUGGUCUCCCAGUAAGUGAAAUGCCAAGACAGGGUCUGCUUGGAAUGCGGGAAUUCCCGAUAUAGGUUUAAUUUCACUAGGAAGAUGCAGUUUUUUUUUUUUUUGGGGGGGGGGGGAUGCUCCAAAAAAAAACGAGGACAACAGUGAAGAACAGGUGCAUAUAUGCGUCAAUAAAUAAACAUACAACCAACCAGCACAAAUCAAUUAAGUAUAAUAUGAUACAUAAAAGCCAGCACAGCAGCAAAGCAAUACAUAUUAUUAUUACCUUGAGAGGAACUUGGAGAACUCGGAGGGGAGGAAGGGCAAGGGACAUGCGGACUUUACUUGGGUCAACUCAAUCUUAUCAGUGUCAAGGUCCGCAAACCCAUUGAGAUACUGAGAACAUGACUCCACGAUCUUGGUGCUCAUGUUGAUGGUGACCACCCACAUCUUCAUCAUCACGUACUCAUAGUCACAGCAAAGGAAGUGCACCACAUGUGGCCUGUAGAUGUCCACCUGAGGGAACAUGAGAAUGUGGCGUGGGAGGUCCUUUGGGGUGUUUGCAGACCAGAGCUCCUUGAGGUGAUCGUGUAGUCCUUCUCCCACUCCAUGGAUUCUAAGGAGAGGGUGUGGCAGGUGAUGGUGAAGCCACCAACACUGGUUUUGAGUGCCCCAUAGCCAACGCCGUCAUGGCGGGCAACGUCGACGAACUUGAGCUCUCCACCACCGAUGUCAGACGCGCCACGAUACAGCCAACUGGAUGGUUUGCCCCGGAUAGGAAACUCAUCCAGAGGGAAGCGGAGGAAGGAGACGGUAGGGGUGGGAUUUCCAAACACGUCGCAGAAGAUGAUGCCACGGUAGUAGUCGAUCCAGCACAGCCAGCGGUCAACAGGGAUGACAGUGUCGGUCUGCCAGAUGCAGAGUUGCCAGUUAUCAUCAGGGUCAGGGUUCUUGCAGAAGCUGCGGAUUGGUACGCGGCAGGAGUUCCAUUCGCCGCAAAUGCCACCAGAUCUGGGUAUAGAUUGUUGGUGCAGCCAGAAGAUGUCGGCACAGACAUCACGGCGCAGAUAGUUGGUGCCGCCAGGCCUGAAAAGUCGUAGUUCUGCUACCACGAACUCCUCUUGGUCUCGGCACAAGAUGCCCAUGGAUCGGACCGCCAUCAGACGCCGCCGCCGCUGCUCCUUAGGAGGAGGAGGAGGAGGAGGAGGAGCAGCAGCAGCAGCAGCAGCGCGCCGGCGCCGGCGACGGCCACGGCGACCAUCGCGGAUGGGCGCGAUGGAAUAAUCCACUAACGGCUUGUCCGGCAAGUUACAAGCGGGCAGUGCUUUGAGUUUGGAAGGGUCGUCGGCAUCUGAGGCGCUGUAGAUGAAGAGCUCCUGCCGCAAAUCAAAUGUAUCGUCCUCGAUACAGACGCGAAACAGGACGAGAUGUUGGUGGCUCGCCAGGAUGGCUAAGGGCACCUGUUUUAAGGGAUCCGGAAAGCCCGGCAGCCGCGCGUAGAGGCGGGAGAUCGCCGGGGGCUCGGCGAGCUCGAAGGCGACGUCGAAGGGUGCCUCCCACCAGGUGAUGCCGGAAGCCCUGAUGGGCAACUUGUUCUCGUCCGGGAAGGCCUCAUCCAUGCGGAAGACGAAGCGCUCCAGCGUCACCCACUUGAGGGGGGAGGCGGCGGCAGACAUGACCGCUGCCAUGGCGACCUUGAGACAGAUGAGGAAAUUAGGGGACCAAGGGGAAUCACUCUGAGGACAAAUCGGGAGAGUUGUAAGAUGAGGUGCCUUACCUACGGAGAAGUAGGCAGCUGCCGGCUGGCCGCCGACCGUCGAGAAGAGCGGAGGGGAAGGCGGCAAGACGCGUGCAAUAGCGGCGCUCCGGCGAUGCGGCGGCUUCCCGAUUCUCGAGAGGCGAUGCGGCGGCUUCCCGAUUCGAGACAGAAAAACAGAUCUAUGGUUACCUUGUUGAGUUCAAAAAAAUUUUGCAAAAUUUUUCAGAUUUUCCGUCACAUCGAAUCUUUAGACACAUGCAUGAAGUAUUAAGUAUAGACAAAAAUAAAAACUAAUUGUACAGUUUGGUCAGAAUUGACGAGACGAAUCUUUUAAGCCUAGUUAGUCCAUGAUUGGACAAUAUUUAUAAAAUACAAAAGAAAGAGCUACAGUGUCAAUUUUGCAAAAUAUUUUGGAACUAAACAAGGCCAGCACAUAUGCACUUUGGGUCAUAGGCCUUUACGAAAGCUGUAACGCUGGGCCGGGACUAUGGUUCAGGAUCCAAAAAGUUUUUUAAAUUGUAACUCUGUAGUAUUUUUUUAUUUGAUAAUUAUUAUUCAAUUAUAGACUAAUUAGACAGAAAAAAUUCGUAUCGUAAAUUAUAGACAAAUUAUACGAUUAGCUAUUUUUAUUUAUAUUUAGUGUUCCAUACAUGUGCAGCAAGAUCUGAUAUGAUGAUAAAUUUUAAAAGGUUUUUGGAUUUUGGAACUAAACGAUGUCUCACUAGUUUGGGUAAGAGACGCCAACCGGUUAGGCCACUUUCCUCCGCCAGCUGGUGCAGGGAAGGGUGGACCUCUAGAGUCAUCAACAGGCAGAUGGGUUUGGCAAGAGGACAAGUGCCGAGGCCCUGGGUGGGAGAAGGGAAGUGGGGUGGGAGAGGCUUCUGAAACAAUGGGUGUAGGAGUUGGAGAGGAUGUGAGGGGGUCUGACAUUGUUUUAAGCCUGAAUGAUGAGGGUGGCGGGAACAAGGAAGGAGGCGAGGCUGUCAUGACGAGUGGAAGAUGCUCCAAGUGUUCAAAGAAAGGCCAUCAGGCUGCGGCAUGCAAGACUGAGGUGUACUGCGUCAUUUGUGAUUCACAUGAGCACAUGAAUCACCGAUGUCCUCUCCUCAAGGCGCCAAGGCCUGUGGCUCAUGCUGCGGGGUAUGCUGUGAUGGAUUUGGGUUUCUAUCAUAUCCCUCAUCCGCCUCUGCCUAGGGUGAAGAAGGAUUCCAAGAUGGCUCGAGUAUCAGUGGUAGGAGGUGUGUUGUCUGGAGAUCAGCUGAUCAUGCAACUUAGGAGGAUUGUGCCAGUCAAAUGGAAUUGGGAGUUAAAGGUUCUUGGGGAAGGGAAUUUUCUUACCCAGUUCCCUUCCAGGACUGAGCUUCAACGCUCAAUUGCUUAUGGAGGAGCUGAUGCAAAGGGGGAGGGAGUGUCGGCUGGUACGCGAUUGCAGUUUGAGGAAUGGCAGGAAAAGGAAGAAGGUUUUUUAUUACCUAAAGUUUGGGUGAGGGUGAGCUGUAUUAGGCAGCCACUCCGAGAGUUUCCCAUUCUGUGGGCAGUGGGUUCUCUAUUGGGCUCAACCCAAACAGUGGACAUGGAGACCACCCGGAAGAACGAAUUCGGUCGAAUCAUGGUCGCGGUACUUGAUCCUAAGCUAAUUCCAAAAAAGUUGGACGUUGUUAUCGGAGACCAUUAUUUUGAUUUGGAGUUCGAAGUUGAGACGAGAGGCUAUGAUGAGAACGGAGAGGAGGUAGACAUUGAGUGGGAUGACGGAGGAAAUGAGGGGGAUGGUGAGGGAAAGGAACAGGAUCCGAACAGCGAGAACGGUCUCUUUGAUGACCAGGCUUGUGAGCGGAAUAACAAGCGUGCUAAGAGGAACGAAGGGGGUCAUGGCGGGGGUGGAUUGGAGAAAGGUUCUCGGUCUGGGAAGGAGGCUCCAGUCUGUAAGGGACAUUUUUUGAAUGAAGAGAAGUUUCUGGAAUUCCUUAAGUGGAAGGCUAACAAGGUUAUUGAGGUAGCAGUGGAGAAGGCUCUGGAGGAGGCUUCCACAAAGGUGGCGGAGGAGAAGGAGGGUUCCUGGGAGGAGGAGGCUUCGGCGACACCUGAGAUGAGAGGUGACUCCUCUGUUGGGACAAAAGAAGAAGUGCAGGCGAUGGUGGUGGAAGUAGGUGUUGCUGUUUCUCAGGUAGAGGAGUUGGAGAAAGGUUCAUCUAAGCUGGAUUCAGAGGAGCGUGGCAUGACGGUGGCUCAGGAUAUUUUUGCUGAUGCAAAGUUGGUGGAUGUUGCGAUGAUUCCAGAGGUCGUGCUCUCCCCCACCAGGGUGAGCCCGCGUUUGGCUGGGGUGGCGGCUGAGCACACUCUAGUGCGGGCUGAGCGCUUGGUGCAGUCCAAGAAUUUGGAGUGUAACAAAGGUAACAAAUCUAUGGUCCCCUCUGCUUUUUCUUCUGUCUCUCAGGCUGUAGAUAAUCUGCGGGCGAUAGGCUUAGGAGCGGGCAGUAGUGGUAGUGCUUCUUUUGAAACAAAUGUGCAAAGUCUUUUGGAAAAGGAUUUUAGCCAUGUUGGGCAUGGGGCUGUUCUGGGGACAGGGGAGACAGAGGUUUCAGAUGCUGAUUCAGUUGAAUCAUAGGGGUUUGAGAGAAAAGCCCUAGAAUUUCUAUGUGGGGAUCUAAUGGAGGAAAUUUUUGAUGAUGACAGUUAUCACCUAAGUAGUGAUCUUAAAACCGUUCAUAGGAAGCAUGGCGCUAAGCCGUCUAGAAAGAGGGCUUCAAGAAAGCUGAAACUAAAGCUUAAUAAAAUUGGUAUACAAUGAGGGGAAUUUUCUGGAAUAGCAGAGGUCUUCGCGACAUGGCUAAAACAAAAUUUCUAAGUAAUACUUCGAGGGAGCAGGGGCUAGAUUUCAUUGCUCUUCUGGAGACUGGAAAAAAAAGAGUUUCUACAAGCUAAGCUUGAUAAGUACUGUGGGGGGAGAAAUUUUGUCUAACACUGGACUGAACCACAUGGAAGGUCUGGGGGAAUGCUACUUGGUGUGAACCUAGAUGUUUGCGAUGUGGGUAGUAUAGAGGAGGGAGACUUCUUCAUCAAGUUUCAUCUUAGGAAUAGAAGUGAUGACUUUCAUUGGUGCUUAGUAGCGGUUUAUGGGGCAGCUCAACCUGAGUAUAAAGAGAUCUUUCUAACUGAAUUAGUACAGGCGUGCAGGAAAGUCUCUCUUCCUUUGCUGGUUGGAGGAGACUUUAACAUAAUCAGAAACCCAAGUGAGAAAAACAAUGAUAAUUAUGAUAGUCGAUGGCCCUUUUUAUUUAACGCUAUCAUAGAUGGGCUGAACUUAAGGGAGAUUGAGAUGUCGGGAAGAAAGUUCACGUGGGCCAAUUCCAAAAAUGUGCCAACGUACGAAAAAUUGGACAGGGUUUUAGCUAGCACAGAGUGGGAGCAAAAAUUCCCCCUAGUCACUAUUGAUGCGUUGAGUAGGGAAAUCUCCGAUCACACUCCCCUCCUGUUGAGCACAGGCGAGGGGGUGAAAAAAGGAGUCAACCUGAGUUCAAAUUUGAACUUAGUUGGUUCCUU
Molecule: long non-coding RNA, 92025 nt
Filed under: Sorghum bicolor (sorghum)
Lineage: Eukaryota; Viridiplantae; Streptophyta; Magnoliopsida; Poales; Poaceae
Description: long non-coding RNA (SBIC_LNC000083)
Source: RNAcentral